RNAcentral lists this long non-coding RNA (120070 nucleotides) under Citrus x clementina. RNAcentral describes it as "Citrus clementina (C. clementina) long non-coding RNA (CCLE_LNC006762)". Lineage: Eukaryota; Viridiplantae; Streptophyta; Magnoliopsida; Sapindales; Rutaceae. The record is from RNAcentral.
GUUUGAGAAGUUCAAAGAUGAUGAAGGUAAAUUCAAGGAAUCAUUGAUCAACGAUAUACGAGGCAUGUUGAGUUUGUACGAGGCAGCAUACCUAGCAAUUCGGGGGGAAGACAUUUUAGAUGAAGCCAUUGUUUUCACUACCACUCACCUUAAGUCAGUAAUAUCUGUAUCUGAUCAUUCUCAUGUAAACUCUAAUCUUGCUGAACAAAUACGUCAUUCUCUGCAAAUUCCGCUCCGUAAAGCCGCAGCAAGGUUAGAGGCAAGGUAUUUUUUGGAUAUCUAUUCAAGGGAUGAUUUGCAUGAUGAAACUUUGCUCAAGUUUGCAAAGUUAGACUUUAAUAUAUUACAAGCAGCACACAAGAAGGAAGCAAGUAUCAUGACCAGGUAACUUCAUAGAUAUUCUUUCAACGUGGAAAAGCCUAUUAUUGGUGUUGUUUUGAAAUGGGAGAUUGUCACUUUCCCUAGAAAGAGAAAUCAUAUUUUACCAGUUGCCCCCUUGUAUAAUCAAAGGCUCAAGGCAAAAUAUCUUAUAAUAGUUAUUAUUAUUAUUAUUAUUAUUAUUAUUUAUUAACACCAAACCAAGAUUUUCAGUUUGCAGUAAAAUUUUUAUGUAUUCUUGAUUUGUCAACAGUGGUAGUGGUUGUAGUUUUUGUAUAUUAUGUGCUUGUUGCUAAUAAUAAUAAUAAUAAAAAGUUAUAGUGUUUGGGAGGAUAAUGUGUAUAAUGAAAGAGUAAUGAUACAAUUAUAAAAUUUUUUUAAGAAUGGAUGUGAUAUAAAUUUAUAAAUUAGAUGAAAAUACAAAACAAUAAAAAUAAAUCACGUAAAUUUCUCUCUCUCUCUCUCUCUCUUUUAAUGAAACAAAUUUUCCAAAUAUAAUAUGGAAGAUUUACAACUUCUCUUUAAAAUUUCUAACUUUUUUCACUUAUCCCUCGAGUUUUCAUAUUUCCUUGCUACCUCCUUAAAAGAUGAAACCAAAUUGUGUUCUUGUUUGUAUUUUUUAUAUAAUACAGAAGUAACGAUUAUUAUAUACUACAGAAGUAACGAUUAUUAUAGUGACAACUUUAUAAUGUAGCAAAAUAUCUAUCUAAUUAGAUUUAAAAUUGAAUUUCAGGUGGUGGAACGAUUUAGGCUUCCCUAAAAAGGUGCCUUAUGCAAGAGAUAGAGUAGUAGAGACAUAUAUUUGGUUUUUGCUGGGAGUGUCCUAUGAGCCCAAUUUGGCAUUUGGUAGAAUUUUUACAUCCAAAGUGGUGUGCAUAAUAUCCAUAAUAGACGACACAUUUGAUGCUUACGGUACUUUUGAAGAGCUCACACUUUUUACUGAAGCAGUCACAAGGUUAUAAAACCAUAUGCAUCCCUAUACAGCAGUUGUUAAGUUGCAUUAUCUGUAUUCUAUAGGUUACAAUAACCUAAAUAAUGGGGACAUUAUGAGUGACUAUUAGGGUUGCUGCAGGUUAUACAUGAUGUAACUUAGCAAGACCUCAUGCCUAUAUAAUAAAAGAUUAUUAUCAUUUCAUUACCUCAAGAAUUAUAAAAUAUUAGAUAAGUACAAGAAGUAUUAUUUUCCAUAAUUUUACUACUAUAACUUUGUAAAACCUUUUAUUUUACUACUUUUUUGUUAGAAUCGUUAGCUGACUAAUAAAAUAUUAAUUUUACCCUUUAAGAUAAAAUGCACAAAAGAGGUAUCCAAUAGUAUACAUAAUAUUAUGAAUAAUAGUUUUAAACAUGAAUUGUUAAAUAAUAGUUUUAACCAUAAUUUUUUGAAUAACGCUUGAUUUAUUGCGACCAUAAAAGUAGUGAAUUGACAAAAAUACCCCUAGAAUUUUUUGCCCAAAAAAAUCACAAUCUAUUCUAGAAGAAAAAAAAUUAAAUAUGGAAGUGUUGAUUCUGUAAAUAAGCUUUAAGUGUUUUUUUUAAAGAAUAAAUUGUGUGUUUUUUUAUGAAAAAUAUCCAGGAGUAUUUUGUUAAUGCACCAUUUUUAUAGUUACGAUAAAUUUAGGGUUAUUCAUAAAGUCAUUUAAAACCAUUAUUUUAAAAUUAAAGGGCAUGCCAAUAAUUUUUGUCUAUUAUUUGAUACCUCUAUUUGUGUAUUUUAUCAUAAAAGGAAAUAUUGAUAUUUUACUAAUUAACUAAUGGUUUUAACGAAAAGGUAGUAAAAUGAUAGGAGAUAAUACUUCUUAUAGUCAUUUGAUAUUUUACAACUCUUGAAUUGGUGAAACAAUAAUAACCCUAUAAUGUAAUUCUUUGAUUGGAUAUUUAAUUCAUAAUAUACUUUUAUUAGAAACAAAUUAAUUGUAUUGCUUAUAUAUUUUCUUAAGAACGUGCAAAUAUAUCGAUUAUAUUUGAUUUUUUCAGAUGGGACAUUGGUCUCAUAGAUACAUUGCCAGAAUACAUGAAAUUUAUUUUCAAGGCACUCUUAGAUAUUUAUAGAGAAGCUGAGGAAGAAUUGGCAAAGGAAGGAAGAUCGUACGGCAUACCAUAUGCAAUACAGAUGGUAAGCAAUUACUUUAUUAAUAAUCAAUUUCAUGUUAUAUGAUUUUGCAAGGUGAUUAUUAUUGACUUGGGUUAUGUUGCUUAGAUGCAAGAAUUAAUUAUAUUAUACUUUACUCAAGCCAAGUGGUUAUAUAAAGGUUAUGUUCCAAGCUUCGAUGAAUACAAAUCAGUUGCAUUAAGAAGUAUCGGUUUACGUACGCUAGGGGUCGCUUCCUUCGUUGAUUUGGGUGAUUUUAUUGCAACGAAGGACAAUUUUGAAGGCAUUCUUAAAAACGCUAAGAGUGUUAAAGCGACAGAAACCAUUGUCAGGCUCAUGGAUGACAUAGCAGGUUAUAAGGUAAAUAAUUUUCUUCAUUCUACAUUAUAAUUCAUUUCAAUAAGACUAUAUUCACCACUAAUCUCGAAGAGAAAUUUUGUAACGUAUCUUAUGGCGUGCACCAUAGUAUACAAUUUCUUCAUCUAUUUUAAAGGUAGAGAUGUGGGUGAAGCCCACAUCAAUUUUUCCAACACCUAGCUUCUCAAGAUUCAAACUUAGAAAUUGUCAAUAAAAUAAAGGUUGUUGAAAACCAUUCGGCCUUGCGGCUGCAUUUCUUUUCAACUCUCUUUAACACACAACAACACAUAACAUAACAUAACAUAUAUGCCCAAGGAAAAAAACAAAAAAAAAAAAUUAGCUAACUGAUGAAUUUUUUGGUUUUUUUGGGUUCUCUUAUAACCAAUUCAUAUGCAUCCGUGAUGUAGUUUGAGCAAAAGAGAGGACAUAUUCCAUCAGCAGUUGAGUGCUACAAGAAUCAACAUGGCGUCUCCGAGGAAGAGGCAGUUAAAGAGUUGUUGUUAGAAGUUGCUGACAGUUGGAAAGAUAUAAAUGAGGAGCUUCUCAACCCAACGACUGUCCCGUUACCUAUGCUUCAGCGGAUUCUUUAUUUCGCACGUGCAGGCCAUUUUAUCUACGACGAUGGUCAUGAUCGCUACACCCAUUCAUUGAUGAUGAAACGCCAAGUUGCCUUGUUGCUGACGGAACCCCUUGCGAUCUGAAGAUUAACCUCAUGCUAUUGAUUUUCCAUCGGGUAUAUUUGAGCAGUUGUAAUAAAUGAACGUCGUGCUGGCUAUUUAGCUAGCUACUCAUGCCUAGCUAGAAAAUGGAUCGCCAAAUAAUGUGGUUCCAAAUUGUGGUCCUUUUAGUUAAAAAAUUAAUAAUAAAAUAUUUUUCUUCUAAUUUCUUUAUUAUUUUAUAAACAUUUUCUUAUAAUAAAUAUAGAAUAUAAAAUAUAAAAAAAAGCACAAGAAAAUAUCUUAUUAUUAAUUUUUUAUUCACAUCAAAACAUAUAUAUGUGUGUGUGUGUGUAUAUAUAGUAUUUUUAAUAUUUAAAUUUGUUAUUUAAAUUUCUAUUUAUUUCAUUUAUUUAAUUUUUAAUAAGUAUGAAUAAAAGUGUAUUUCAAAAUAAAGGCAAUAUUGUAAAAUUAUAGUGCUGGCGGGUUAUUGACUAUUAUGAAGAUAAUAACGGGUGAGUGGUAUAUAUUAAUUUCAAUAUGGAAAAAUUGGCAAUCUCCCAAUUGAAUUUUAGUCAUAUAACCAUAGAAUUAGCAAUCUCAAUUUAAAAGAUUAAAUUAAAAAAAAUAUCAAUUUAUGACAUUUCUUAUAUUUUAUUUAUUAAUUAAAAUUAAUUACUUAAUUAUUUAUUUUAGUUAUUCUUUAUUUUUUUAUUUUAUCAUUAAAUUAACAAUAAUUUCAUAAAAAUGUAUCAAGAAGCGUAUAAUAGUAAAUGAAAAAAUAUUAGGUUUUUUAUUACCCUUUAUCUAUAGGGAGGAAACAAGUAAUUACAAAUCUAGUUGGAAUGUAAAUAAUUAAAAAUGGAUCUUUCAAGGAUGAAACUUUUCCCCCAAUCUAAAUAAUAUUCAUUGUCUGUUUAUACAUUAAUUUAUUGGUGCGAGUUUGCCACCUACAAAGUAUUUUAUUUUCACAUUUAGAGGAGGCCGUUUUUUGACCUUAUUAUUAUAUAUUAAUUUGUUGGUGCAUGAUUAAAAGAAAUUUACAGAUAAUAAUUCUUGCUUUUAGAAUGAUUUAAAUGCCAUGCGUCACAAUAACUUUAGAUGCUUCAAAAAAAUUAGAUCAAGAUGAACCAUGCCCUCUGACCUUGUAAUAUGUAAGCAAAUAAUCCAAUAAAAAAAAUUGCGAAUAUCAGCUAAUUAAAAGUUUAAUAGAAAUGUCUGACAACUAAAAAAAAAGAAUUAAAUUUCUUUUUUCCAUUAAUCGGAAUUGAGCCACCUCAAGAAUUGAGGGUCGCGCAACCCUAUUUAACCUAAUUUACACUCUCAGUCAAUCUGGAAGAACUAUGGCUUUGACUCAUGUAUUAUUGAUUUAAAUUGUCAUAGCACCACCAAUUCUUGGAGUUCCCGGAAGAUUUUGGUUGCUCCAAGUUCGAUGGGUUUGUUAAAGUUUCUAUGCAUUGCACGGUAGACAAAAACCAAUCAGAGAGAUAAUGAUAUAAGAAUAUCGAUGGCAACUUCCUCGAUUAGACUAUUGUCUUAUUAAUGACAAAACAUGUUUGACAGAUCUUGUUCUUGUUGCUUGUCAGAUUUCUCAUUUAUCUGCUUUUGUUUUGUCAGCAUGUUAGCUAUGAAAACACUACCUGUGGAUCUCUUGAACUUCCCGGCCAUGGAAACCCUGGAUGCAAUUUUUAUUGAAGUUGGUGAGUUCGUUACCAUCUUCUUCUGCUCGAAAAUUGCCGUCAUUAGAAAACUCCAUGGUAACAUGAAAGCUCUUCAGAAAGAACUAUGUUGAAAGCAGCAGCAGUGGACAGUCAACAGUUGAGCUCAGAGACACGUUGGCAUGCCACCUAAGCUACACCUAUCUGCAGCCAGCUAAUGAGAGAAAUGAGAUGGAUUUAAUGAGGUGGCUGAGGAAUAUCAGCACAUGAGCAUGGAAGGAUGGAGAUUCUAGAAGCUCUACAUCAUUGGUUAAUGAUAGCUAUAUUGACGGAUCAAUUUUUUUGCUUAUUUCCAAGUGCUGUCCUUUAGCUAGCUGUCGUUUUUCAUAGCUUGUGUAUAAAUAAGCCAAUGCUUGUAAACUUUUAUUCAUUCGAGUUAUUAAUAUUAAUGGAAGUGCCUCUGGUUUAUGCUCUGCUUGCAUCAAUAAGCAAUUCUUAAUGAAUUUAAGUAACUAGAAGAACUCACAGAAAGGAAAAAUGAAAUUGAAGAAGAUAUCAGAUUAGCUGAAAGUGAAGGAAAGUGUCGCAAUACAUGAGUCAGGGUGUGGCUCAGAAAGGUAGAGGAGACAGCACGAGAAGUGCAACCUACGAUCGAGGAGGGUGGCAGACUUGCUAUGCAAGGCUGAAGAAUUGACCUCCACCUAAUCUGAAUAUGUAACCUGUUGUUGAUCUUCGCUUAAAAUCUGUAUUUUUUAAAACUUAUUUCUGACUAUAAUAUAGUCACGUUUUCUAAUUAAAAAAUUAUUUCACAUACACACAUAUAAAUAUGUAAUCAUUAUUUUUAGAUGCGCAAGUACACACAAAAUUUUAAAAUAAGUACAAAUUUUCACAAAUAUCUCUAAGAUAACGUGAAAAAUAUGCCCAAGAUAAUUUUUCUUAAUUUUCAAAGGCAGCUGAUUAGAAUGAAGAGGCUGCUCGACUUAGUACUUCGGUAGAAGUAUCGUAAAGUUUAUGCCACCUGUUAUUUAUGAACUUUUAUCUUUCUAAAAUAAUCCUCCCCAUUGAUUCAGUUCAGAUUAAUUAACUAAGUUCUACUUGAUUUCUCUGUAAGGAAGUUGUCUAUUCUAAUUCCAUUCGAAGAAACUAUUCGUCACUGUUUGAGGGAAAUACUUCGACGAGACCAGACGUGAUGAGCAGAUAUUUGAUGGCAGGGUUCUGCGAACAGGUGUGUCCUGUAAGAGCCAGGUAGCAGGGGAACAGGAGCAGAAAUAUUCUGCUCAUCCGCGAAUAUGCCAUUCACGAGGUCGAACUCCUGUUAGAGGCAUAAGGCCAUUCCGGCUAGAGGUCGAGAGGGGAGGAGACCCAGUCAACGACAGUUGGCUAGACGUGCAUUCCUAUCCGAGAAUCAAGGCACGAAGUCCAUCUCCAUUCGCCCACAAUGGCGAUAGUGGGGCAUCCACAUCCGAGGGUGGGGAGAAUAACGGGCGUGGACUACGGAAGACCGGGAUUCAGAGGAAGCCUAUAAAAAGGUAGCCAACAAAGGUAAAAGGGUUAGAAUUUUUGCUAUUAGAACAAACAAAAGAGAGCUUUAAGAACUGAGACUAAAGAGAAGCCAAAAGAUUCACGGCGAACAUUCCCCGAACCUUCAUAUCUGACUUGAGCGUCGGAGGGUUUGCGCCGGGGAAACAACCGGCGUACUCUGACCUGUUUGUGUACGCAGGAACCUCUGGAGUAGAAGUUUUACGAGGAGAGAUCCUGAUCGUGGUAAAGUUGAUCGAGCAGAGACCCUGGUCGUAGAGAGAGGACAACCAGAAUCUCGCAUCAACAUUUUGGCGCCGUCUGUGGGGAGCUGAGCAAAAAGCUUUUGUUGAUAGCAAGAAGAGGAGUGAAGCAAGUGAAAAGCGAUGGAGACAGGAGGAAGUAGUGCACAAGGGGGUGAUAUGAGGCUUAAUGAUUCCGUGACGCUGAGGGAGAUAGCCAGUGAAGCACGGGAAAAAGCCAUGUUCGACCGGAUGGAACGGAUGGAAAAGCAGAUGGAGACCCUGACAACCAUCCUCCAUGAGCUGCGGAGUGAACGAAGAGUAACUCAGGAGGAAAGGGUGAGAGGUGGUGGAGUGACACCAGGUCCCGAUAGUAUGAGGAGAAGUCAAACCACCGGGAGAUUUGGGGGUGAGAGAGGUAACAUACCUUUGCGGGGAGAAAUUCAGAGGGAGGAAGAGCAAUCCCCAGCGAGACAGACUUUUGAUGAGGACGACAGGGUAGCGAAUGCAGAGGAAACAGAGCUCAGACAACACUUACAUGAUGUAGAGCAAGAGCGGGAUCAAGUUGCAGCACGUGACCCUGGUUGUGCAGUGCAGCUGGAGGAGGAAGUGCGCAGACUAGCGCAGGUAAUCGAUAACAUGCAAGGAAGGAGCAGAACUCCUGGUUGGAAGAUAAUGUUGGACGGAGAAUCACCGCUCGCAGCAGAGAUCAUGAGGGCAAUCAUUCCAAGAGAUUUUUGCCUCCCAGACCUUAGAUAUUCGGGACGAACUGAUCCGUUGGUGCACAUAGAGCGCUUCAACGACAUUACCGGGGUGCAAGGAUUAUCUCAAUCCCAAAGGUGAAGAGUGUUCCCACUCUCCUUUGAGGGACGUGCACGCGAGUGGUACAGGAAACUUCCUCGGGGGAGCAUUAAAACCUUCGAGCAGAUGUGCUAAGAAUUUGCAGAGCAGUUUAGUGGGGCAAUGGCACCAGAAGAUGACAUGAUGGAGCUGAAAAGCAUGAAACAAGGGGAGCAAGAAACCCUUCGGGAAUUCAUCAAGAGGUUUCAUUGUGCUGUCCUCGACUUGGGAGCCUUCAACCACCCUCAGGAAUUAAGGGGAUUGAAAGAAGGGGUGAAGAUAGAAAGGCUGUGGUACAACUUGAGAAGCCCAGUUAUUCAGACGUAUGCGGCUGCAUAUGAGCAGGCUAAGAGAGACAUUGAGAUUGAAAAGGAAAAGGCAGCACGGAUUAAGACAGACCAGUUAGAAGGGUUGAGGAAGAAAGAGAAGAAAGUAUUACCAGGGAAUGAGCCGAUCAGGAGGAGGGACCACCAGGCCUCAGGUAGUGCAGCAGGAGGUCGGAUAACUACUUACCAGCCUCAUCAGAGGCCACCACAGUAUCAGCGCAGCAGGGCGCAACCUCCUCGUUCCCCAGUUAGGGAGCCUUGGAGAAUGCAUGACUCAGCAUAUGGUGGUCUUCAUCAACACUCCCACGAUAGCAGAGGGAGUAGACCAGAAGUACUGCCACCGUCUCCAACUCAGAACGGAGCAAAUAGAGAAAGAGCAGUGCACCUGAUCGACCAGAACCAGGACUAUAGGCGGUAUACUUCCUUGAAGAUGUCUCUGGACGAGGUGUACGAGGCCAUAAAGGAUCGAGGGUUGCUAUACCUCCCUGCCCUAAUAACAAAGCUACCCAGCAGGAGGGAUAGGGGAUGCUAUUGUAAGUUCCAUGGCACUCAUGGCCACACCACAGCAGAUUGCAGAGAUCUCAAGACCCAGGUUGAAGAUUUGGUGAGAAAUCGGUAUCUGGACGAGUUUAUAGACGGGACCUUCGCAAUGGUAGCCUUAACAAGUGAAAUGAAGCAGAGUGACAGGAACUUGAGGCACGAGCAGCCUGCAGUAAGGGUGAUAGCUGGGGGCCCAACAUUGGCCGGAGAUUCCAACAGGUCGAGGAAGAAUUAUGCUAGAUACGCCAUGACCAGCAAAGAGGUACUCUUCAACACCCCAGCAGCCAAACGAGCAAGGGUCAGGCAAGUGCCAAUCAUGUGGACGGAUGAAGAUGAGGAAGGAAUUCUGUACAGCCUUAAAUUCUCCAUGCUAUCAAACACCGCCCAUGAUUAUGAACAAAUGAUUAUACAUUGAUUGUUUAAGAACUUAGCAACAACAAUACUAAGACCAAAACACAAGAAUUUGAUCAAAAAUAACAAUCAAACUAAUUCUCUCUAGAAAGCUCUCUAAUUCUUGCUGAAACUGCCUCAACAAUCAGCUUAUAUAACAGCUGAUAACAAACCCGGAUUGCCCAGGAUUCAGUCGUAUGGAUAACGGCUUUACCCCUAACUUGAUUCUCUUUUAAACAUGCAUUCUCAAGUGCGUCACCUAAGCGUUGCUUAAAACGUCAUCCCGUGUUGCCGUUUUAAUGUUUAAGUAAGCCGCAUGACCAGCCCGUGACAAAUCGAAAACAUAAUUAAUAAGCAAAACGAUCCCGUAUAAAUGCUUCAAGUUUUGAAUUCAUCAUUUUAGUCCGCAUGUACAAUUCAACUUUCUUCUUAAUUUCUCAAAUUCUUUCCUGCCUAGGAUCCGAGGUUUACUUGGUCAAGAUUCAAGUUUGCUUUGGCUGUUUGCUUUCGUCACCUUCUUUUCUUUUCAAGUUUAAAUUAUUUGUAUUGACCUCUUUAAAUUCAUAUUAUUAAUAUGAAAUCUUCUAUUAUGAACUUUCAAUUUAUAUUUUUAAGUAUAAUUUAUUAUGUGUUAAUUUACGAAAUAUCUCUUUUACUUUAGUAUUAAGAUUUGUGCAUUAAUAGUUAAUUUAUUAAUUUUAGGUAUAAGUUCAUUUUUUAUAUAUAAUUGAAUUAGAUGGUGUAAUACAUAUUAUAAUGUAUUUUCGUUAGUUUAAGACUUGAAAAGCAUUUAUUUUAUUUUACUGCAAUAAUUUUUAUAUGCAUUGCGGCAACCCCAAACCAAAAUCCUAAUUCAGUCCUUGUUUGUGCGUCGGUGAGUUCUUCAUACAUAUAUGAUUAAUUCGUAAAGAGACUGUUAGAAAUCAUGAGGAUCUCAUGAGGAUAUGAUCAGGGAUCAUGUAAAUUACCAGCCAAAAUGAAGAAGCUUCUCAAUUAAGUCAAUUAAGAGCCAAGAUCUUCUCCAUUAUUUCAUAUUACACCUCAUGGAAUUGCUUGGAUUGUAUCAUAACGCAUCAUGUGGAAAUUUUGCUGCAGGAUAGUGGUUAUUUAUAACGUAUUAUUACAAAAGAUGGGUGGAAAUGUAGUUUACACUUCAUACAAACAAGUUCAGUUUAAAUAACAAUAUUCAGUGAUCUUGAAUCUUUCUGAACUUGAUUGUAGUUUUCUUCUAUUAUCUUCUCAAUAAUAAUAAUAAUAAUAACAAUAUUCAAUCCCUUUCGAAAAUAAUCUUUGGAAAUCCUAUGAUUAAUUAUUAGAAAGAAAGUUACAAUAAAAUGGAAUAAUAUUGUAGAUUAUUUGAAAGAAUAAAUGCUUUCAUCGUGUCUGUUAAUUAAAACAAUAUUUAUCUUUUCAUAACUCUCUUUUUAAAGGAUUAGUACUCUUUAAUUGGUGAAGCAAAUGCACUUUUAUAUUUCUCAUGCUUGCAGAGAGGUUAAUGGUGAUGCAGAUUGUAUAGCUAAUCUCGGAUUGGCUUGUGUUUUUUUUCACUCGGUGGGAUUGAUUUGCCUGCCGAUCCAAUUAAACGGUUCCUAACUCAUAAUACAAAUGACUUUUUGUGCUAUCGUUUUGCCUCGUCACAUGAGGUGUUUUUAGUCUGAUAUACUAUGAUUAUUAUGACAAGAUAAGACUUAUUACAUUCCCCUAGAAGGGUAAUUGCCUAAUUGGUAUACCCAAUGAGGAAAAUAGAACACAGCAAUCAGACAGAACAACAGCAGGACUUAUCAAUUAUAACAACUGCUAAACUGGGAAAAUUAAAAUAAUUAAAAGUGCUGAUAAAUUGUCAUACAUCGUUAUUUUUCAUCAAUAGAAUUAUAAGGAAUGGGAAACCAAUUCUAAAAAAAUGGGUGUGUAGAGAAAAUAGAUCUUUAACGGUCCACGAGAAUUCGAUCUGCGCUUUGAUCAACACGAAAUAGGUGACGGUGACCUUUUUUUAUAAAAAACUUUUAUGAGAUGCCUUUGAUGGAGCAUUUCAUAAUCUAGAGUAAGGGCUUAAAAACAGAUCGCCUUUCGUUCUUAGAGUGACACCGAAAGCCUCAGUCAGAACAAGAUCUUCGUUAUUUUUUCCAUCAUGGAGUUUCCAAUCGAAAGUGGUAGAGCAUUUAGCAAGAGGAAGAUAACCGAAAGACAGACCUGGGCACAUCCUCUUCGAGCUCCAAAUGGGAUUAAUUCAAAAUGAUUUCUAUUGUAACCAUGACUCUGGAAUCAAAUUCCUGAAUUUUACAAGCAUGACCCAUCUUUUUAAGGCACAACCAACACUGGAAUUAUAUUCCUAAAUUUUACAAGCCUCUAUACAUUCGCUUGGGAGUAGCAAUGUAGCAGGAAGAUGUAACCUCGGAGUUUCUUUGAUGACUAGCUUUAAGUAUUGCAAUUCAUGAAGGCAUGCUUCAUCAAUAUUUCUUUUCUUUGUGCCUUUCUAUUACUCAUUGGGGUUAAGCAUUCUUGACAUAGCCCAUUUUCUAUUACUCAUUCUUGGGGCUAAGCAUUCAUAUAUGUAUAUAUUGAUGUAAUUUUAUGAAAUUUUUAAGAAACUACUGCAAAGAAAUGUUGAAAUGGCUCAAAAACAGUAUAUUUUUGUGGAUAUUUGCUUUGAGUAAAAUGAAAUGGCAAGAAUUCGCAACGAAUUUUCAACACCAUUAGUAAAAACCAGAAGCACUUUGGGUUGGGUUCCGGGGCCAUGACAAUCCCCAAAACCAACCCAAUCUAGAUAUGGGCCUUGAUUUUAGGCCCUACUGAGUCCAAUCAAAUUUUAAGCAGAUUUGGCACUGAAACCGGACCCAAUUCAGUCAGAUCCCCGAGCCCUAUAGCAGCUGGUUCACCUUAAUUUAAGUGGAAUGAAAUUGCAACACUAGUUUUAUGGAUUGUGUGCUUUAUUAUUUUUUAAAUUGUCCCUUACUUUAUUAAAAAAAAGAGAUUUUCUUAUUAUAAAAUAAAUAAACAUAAAUUUUAAUAUAUUAUAAAAUAAAACACAUUAUAUUAAUUUUAAUAUAAAAACUAAUUUUUUUGAACAUCAUAAUUUAAGAGCAUGUUCGUAUAAAAAAAAAGAUAGUCGCACCAGAGAAUGAAAUAUAUAUAUUUUAAUAUAUUAAAUAAUUUUAUAUAUUGUAUGGAUUGUGUGCUUUAUUAUUUUUUAAAUUGUCCCUUACUUUAUUAAAAAAAAGAGAUUUUCUUAUUAUAAAAUAAAUAAACAUAAAUUUUAAUAUAUUAUAAAAUAAAACACAUUAUAUUAAUUUUAAUAUAAUUAGACAUCUCUAGCUGAAAAAGAAAGUUUUAGUAUCUUUUAAUUAUUAAAAAUUUAACUAUUUCUCAAAAUUUUAAGAUCGUAAAAAAAUUUUUUCCUUGUGUAUAAUUAUUGACAAGUGCAGAUGUCCACAUAAGUUGAGUACAAAUUUUCACAAAUAUCUCAUAGAUAAUGUGAAAAAUAUGCCGGGAGACAACUUUUAUUAAUUUUCAAAGGCGAUUGACUCAGAAUGAUGUACGUGCUUGUCUCUGUGUGUGUACAAUUAUUCUAGAAUGCGGAUGUCCCACAAAUAUCUCACAAAUUUUUAAAAUAAGUACAAGUUCUCACAAAUAUCUCUUAGUUAACGUGAAAAAUAUGCCCCCGACAACUUUUCUUUAAUUUUCAAAGGAGGCUCUGACUAAGAAUGAAUAGGACGCUUAACUUGGUAGAAGUGUCUUGAUGUUUCUGCAACCUAUUAUGUACUAACAUUUUUUCAAUGUCCCCACGGANNNNNNNNNNNNNNNNNNNNNNNNNNNNNNNNNNNNNNNNNNNNNNNNNNNNNNNNNNNNNNNNNNNNNNNNNNNNNNNNNNNNNNNNNNNNNNNNNNNNNNNNNNNNNNNNNNNNNNNNNNNNNNNNNNNNNNNNNNNNNNNNNNNNNNNNNNNNNNNNNNNNNNNNNNNNNNNNNNNNNNNNNNNNNNNNNNNNNNNNNNNNNNNNNNNNNNNNNNNNNNNNNNNNNNNNNNNNNNNNNNNNNNNNNNNNNNNNNNNNNNNNNNNNNNNNNNNNNNNNNNNNNNNNNNNNNNNNNNNNNNNNNNNNNNNNNNNNNNNNNNNNNNNNNNNNNNNNNNNNNNNNNNNNNNNNNNNNNNNNNNNNNNNNNNNNNNNNNNNNNNNNNNNNNNNNNNNNNNNNNNNNNNNNNNNNNNNNNNNNNNNNNNNNNNNNNNNNNNNNNNNNNNNNNNNNNNNNNNNNNNNNNNNNNNNNNNNNNNNNNNNNNNNNNNNNNNNNNNNNNNNNNNNNNNNNNNNNNNNNNNNNNNNNNNNNNNNNNNNNNNNNNNNNNNNNNNNNNNNNNNNNNNNNNNNNNNNNNNNNNNNNNNNNNNNNNNNNNNNNNNNNNNNNNNNNNNNNNNNNNNNNNNNNNNNNNNNNNNNNNNNNNNNNNNNNNNNNNNNNNCUUGGAGGGGGGGGCGUGGUAAAUUUUAAAAAUGACAGGAAAAGAUGCAAAAUUUUUAGCUGUCCAUAAAGGUAGAAGUGAACAAGUUCUUCGGGAUUGGUUCAUUAUAUGGUAAGAUAUGAAAACAAUACAAUUAUGCGCAAAAAACAGACAAUUGUAGUGCAAGUCGUGGCCUAUAGAAAAAGAUACAGUAUUUAAUACACGGCAGUGCCUACAUCACCUAUUACAAUCCAGUAAUAAUAAAGCAAGGGGGUGGAAUGUCCCAUAAUUAAGGAUGUAUAAUUAAAAAAAAAUAAACCGAUUAUUUUUAUUAAAAAAAAGAAGAUAAAAGAGAGCAAAAUAUGAUGAAAUAAUGAUAAAAAUAUUUGUCCUUUUUGUGAAUUUUUAAUUAAUACGUGUACAAAUGAUCAUUUUUAAUUAAGUAGCAUAUAGACUCAUAAAUAUGAAUUAAGACUUUUGUACAUGCGCGGAUUGCAGAUAAGUGAUACUUCAAAUCAAGAGGAAUACAAGUCAGGAGCCUAAUAACAGCUACGGUAGAUAAGCCUGCCCAGAAGUUACAAUUGAAUGAUGUAGUCCAACGAUUGGGUGUGGCCUAUCACUUCGAACAGGAGAUAGAAGAUGCAUUAGAAAAUAUCUAUCAUGAUAACUUUGACAAUUGUUGAUGCCAAAAUCCAUUGAGUCCGCUAGUGACUCGAUCUCAGAUCCCUGCAUCAGCAUUAAAUUUGUUUGGUGGGAAGCUGCUGGUUGAUUUCCAAGAAGAUCCUCCGACUAUUAACAGAAUAUUCAUGAGCAGAUAAUCUUCAAGCUGCGAAUCAGCAAGUACAUGAAUUACAGAGAAUGGUCAGGGGUGCUGGAAGUUUUUCCGUCGAAAACUCUCCGCUGCUCAAGUCAGUUUAUAAGUUUACGGGAAAAACAAAAUAUUUAAUUUAUAGUUUUUGUGAAGAAAAUAAUCUUAAGUAAAUGUAAUAGAAAAAUCAAAAUUGAGAAAGAAAGUUCAACCUCCAUUACCAUGAUUUUCUUUGGGUUUUUAUAAACACCCCACACCCACGACCUUAGAUCGUGGCAAUUAAUGAAUUAAAUUCAUACCCUGAUUUUUUGGAGGUGAUCUGUGGCGGUUAUUUUGAUUGAGUCAUGCUUCCUGGUGACUUGGUCCAAUGUCUCCUCAAACCCAUCUGCUUGAGGUCACCAAAAUUGCCACAUGGUCGAGAUAGCUUGCCCAAGGCCACAAGAUUUAGCCUCUGGUCGAGGUGAUUGCUCAUGGUCUCAAGAUUACCACCUAGUCAAGGUGGUCUGCUCGUAAUCUCAAGAUUACCACCUGGUUGAGGUGGUCUACUCAUAAUCUCAAGAUUACCACCUGCUCGAGGUGGUAUGCUCAUGGUCUUAAGAAUUACCACCUGGUCGAAGUGGUCUGCUCGUAGUCUCAAGAUUACCACCUGGUCGAGGUGGUUUGCUCAUAAUCUCAAGAUUACCACCUGGUCGAGGUGGUAUGCUCAUGGUCUUAAGAAUUACCACCUGGUCGAAGUGGUCUGCUCGUAGUCUCAAGAUUACCACCUGGUCGAUAUGGUCUACUCAGGGUCACAAGAAUUACCUUUUAUUAGUCUAUCAACCAUUUGCUCACUUUUUAUUUUAGGAGAUCAUGGUUAUCCUAUUUUAUUCCCCCAAACAACUAUCUUUAAGUGUUGUAAUUCAUGUCGGCAUGCUUCCUCAACAAUUCUUUCCUUUUGAAAGUCUUUCCUUGCCUCUACUUCCACCUUUUCCAUCACUCUUGGGUGUUUAAGCUUUUUUGAUAGGGCGCAUUCUAUAAAAAUGUCCUGAAAUGGGAUUAUAAUUUGAGUCAUACAUGGGAUUAUAAUUUGAGUCAUACAUGUAUAUGUUGAUGUAAUUUAUGAAAUUUUUUUAGAAACUACAGCAAAGAAAUGUUGAAAGGGCUCAUAAACAGUAUAUUUUGUGGAUCCUUGCUUUGAGUAUAAUGAAAUGGCAAGAAUUGACAUCCCCGAAUUUUUUAACACCGUUAGAUAAAAGCCAGAAGCACUUUGGGUUGGGUUUUAGAGCCAUGACAAGCAGCAAAGCCAACCCAAUCUAAAUCUCGGCUUUAAUCCUAGGCCCUUUCUGGUCCAAUCAAAUUUUAAACUGAUUCCACACCUAAAAAGUGUCCCAAUUUGGUUGGAUUUAAGGAUGAUAAAUUGGUCUAUUUAAAUUGUAUAUCCAAACAUUUAAUCUAAUUGAAUUGGAUAAUAUCCAUCUAAAAUAUUUUUGAAUGUGGAUAUGGAUAAUUUUAAAAAUAUUUAAUUAGNNNNNNNNNNNNNNNNNNNNNNNNNNNNNNNNNNNNNNNNNNNNNNNNNNNNNNNNNNNNNNNNNNNNNNNNNNNNNNNNNNNNNNNNNNNNNNNNNNNNNNNNNNNNNNNNNNNNNNNNNNNNNNNNNNNNNNNNNNNNNNNNNNNNNNNNNNNNNNNNNNNNNNNNNNNNNNNNNNNNNNNNNNNNNNNNNNNNNNNNNNNNNNNNNNNNNNNNNNNNNNNNNNNNNNNNNNNNNNNNNNNNNNNNNNNNNNNNNNNNNNNNNNNNNNNNNNNNNNNNNNNNNNNNNNNNNNNNNNNNNNNNNNNNNNNNNNNNNNNNNNNNNNNNNNNNNNNNNNNNNNNNNNNNNNNNNNNNNNNNNNNNNNNNNNNNNNNNNNNNNNNNNNNNNNNNNNNNNNNNNNNNNNNNNNNNNNNNNNNNNNNNNNNNNNNNNNNNNNNNNNNNNNNNNNNNNNNNNNNNNNNNNNNNNNNNNNNNNNNNNNNNNNNNNNNNNNNNNNNNNNNNNNNNNNNNNNNNNNNNNNNNNNNNNNNNNNNNNNNNNNNNNNNNNNNNNNNNNNNNNNNNNNNNNNNNNNNNNNNNNNNNNNNNNNNNNNNNNNNNNNNNNNNNNNNNNNNNNNNNNNNNNNNNNNNNNNNNNNNNNNNNNNNNNNNNNNNNNNNNNNNNNNNNNNNNNNNNNNNNNNNNNNNNNNNNNNNNNNNNNNNNNNNNNNNNNNNNNNNNNNNNNNNNNNNNNNNNNNNNNNNNNNNNNNNNNNNNNNNNNNNNNNNNNNNNNNNNNNNNNNNNNNNNNNNNNNNNNNNNNNNNNNNNNNNNNNNNNNNNNNNNNNNNNNNNNNNNNNNNNNNNNNNNNNNNNNNNNNNNNNNNNNNNNNNNNNNNNNNNNNNNNNNNNNNNNNNNNNNNNNNNNNNNNNNNNNNNNNNNNNNNNNNNNNNNNNNNNNNNNNNNNNNNNNNNNNNNNNNNNNNNNNNNNNNNNNNNNNNNNNNNNNNNNNNNNNNNNNNNNNNNNNNNNNNNNNNNNNNNNNNNNNNNNNNNNNNNNNNNNNNNNNNNNNNNNNNNNNNNNNNNNNNNNNNNNNNNNNNNNNNNNNNNNNNNNNNNNNNNNNNNNNNNNNNNNNNNNNNNNNNNNNNNNNNNNNNNNNNNNNNNNNNNNNNNNNNNNNNNNNNNNNNNNNNNNNNNNNNNNNNNNNNNNNNNNNNNNNNNNNNNNNNNNNNNNNNNNNNNNNNNNNNNNNNNNNNNNNNNNNNNNNNNNNNNNNNNNNNNNNNNNNNNNNNNNNNNNNNNNNNNNNNNNNNNNNNNNNNNNNNNNNNNNNNNNNNNNNNNNNNNNNNNNNNNNNNNNNNNNNNNNNNNNNNNNNNNNNNNNNNNNNNNNNNNNNNNNNNNNNNNNNNNNNNNNNNNNNNNNNNNNNNNNNNNNNNNNNNNNNNNNNNNNNNNNNNNNNNNNNNNNNNNNNNNNNNNNNNNNNNNNNNNNNNNNNNNNNNNNNNNNNNNNNNNNNNNNNNNNNNNNNNNNNNNNNNNNNNNNNNNNNNNNNNNNNNNNNNNNNNNNNNNNNNNNNNNNNNNNNNNNNNNNNNNNNNNNNNNNNNNNNNNNNNNNNNNNNNNNNNNNNNNNNNNNNNNNNNNNNNNNNNNNNNNNNNNNNNNNNNNNNNNNNNNNNNNNNNNNNNNNNNNNNNNNNNNNNNNNNNNNNNNNNNNNNNNNNNNNNNNNNNNNNNNNNNNNNNNNNNNNNNNNNNNNNNNNNNNNNNNNNNNNNNNNNNNNNNNNNNNNNNNNNNNNNNNNNNNNNNNNNNNNNNNNNNNNNNNNNNNNNNNNNNNNNNNNNNNNNNNNNNNNNNNNNNNNNNNNNNNNNNNNNNNNNNNNNNNNNNNNNNNNNNNNNNNNNNNNNNNNNNNNNNNNNNNNNNNNNNNNNNNNNNNNNNNNNNNNNNNNNNNNNNNNNNNNNNNNNNNNNNNNNNNNNNNNNNNNNNNNNNNNNNNNNNNNNNNNNNNNNNNNNNNNNNNNNNNNNNNNNNNNNNNNNNNNNNNNNNNNNNNNNNNNNNNNNNNNNNNNNNNNNNNNNNNNNNNNNNNNNNNNNNNNNNNNNNNNNNNNNNNNNNNNNNNNNNNNNNNNNNNNNNNNNNNNNNNNNNNNNNNNNNNNNNNNNNNNNNNNNNNNNNNNNNNNNNNNNNNNNNNNNNNNNNNNNNNNNNNNNNNNNNNNNNNNNNNNNNNNNNNNNNNNNNNNNNNNNNNNNNNNNNNNNNNNNNNNNNNNNNNNNNNNNNNNNNNNNNNNNNNNNNNNNNNNNNNNNNNNNNNNNNNNNNNNNNNNNNNNNNNNNNNNNNNNNNNNNNNNNNNNUACCAAACCAAGAUUUUUUAGUUUGCAGUAAAAUUUUUAUGUAUUCUAGAUUGUCCAACAGUGGUAGUGGUUAUAGUUUUUGUAUAUUAUGUGCUUGUUGCUAAUAAUAAUAAUAAUAAAAAGUUAUAGCGUUUGGAGGAUAAUGUGUAUAAUGAAAGAGUAAUGAUACAAUUAUAAUUUUUUUUAAGAACGGAUGUGAUAUAAAUUCAUUGAUUAGAUGAAAGUACAAAACAAUAAAAAUAAAUCAUGUAAAUUUCUCUCUUUUUUUUUUCAUGAAACAAAUUCUCCAAAUAUAACAUGAAAGAUUUCCAACUUCUCUUUAAAAUUUUUAACUUUUGCCACAUAUCCCUCGAGUUUUCAUAAUUCCCUUGCUACUUCCUUAAAAGAUGAAACCAAAUUGUGUUCUUCUUUGUAUUUCUUAUAUACUACAGAAAUAACGAUUGUUAGAGUGACCACUUUAUAAUAUCGAAAAAUAUCUAUCUAAUUAGAUUUAAAAUUGAAUUUCAGGUGGUGGAACGAUUUAGGCUUCCCUAAAAAGGUGCCUUAUGCAAGAGAUAGAAUAGUGGAGAUAUAUAUCUGGAUGUUAUUAGGAGUGUCCUAUGAGCCCAAAUUGGCAUUUGGUAGAACUUUUGCAUCCAAAGUGAUAUGCAUGAUAUCCAUAAUAGACGACACAUUUGAUGCUUACAGUACUUUUGAGGAGCUCACACUUUUUACUGAAGCAGUCACAAGGUUAUAAAAUCAUAUACAUCCCUAUUUAGUAGUUGUUAAGUUGCAUUAUCUGUAUUUUAUAGGUUACAAUAACCUAAAUAAUGGGGACAUCAUGAGUGACUAUUACGGUUGCUGUAUGUUAUACAUGAUUUGACUUAACAAGACCCCAUGCCUAUAUAAUAAAGGAUUAUUAUCGUUUCAUUACUUCAAGAAUGAUAAAAUAUCAAAUAAGUACAAGAAGUAUUGUNNNNNNNNNNNNNNNNNNNNNNNNNNNNNNNNNNNNNNNNNNNNNNNNNNNNNNNNNNNNNNNNNNNNNNNNNNNNNNNNNNNNNNNNNNNNNNNNNNNNAUACAGCCACAAACUCCUGUACCAACUUAUUUUGUACCAACUGACGUGAGAUUAAUUCAUUGGUUGAAUGAAAAUAUAAAAUAAUAAAAACAAAUUAUGUGGGCCAAGUGAUAUUUAAUUCAACAAAUUUUAUCAUGUCACAUCAGUUUAUACAAAAUAAGUUUCUACAAGAGUUUGUGGCUAUAUCAUUACUCUUAAAAUAAAUGUAAGUUAAAUAAUUAUGGCCUUCUUGGAAUAUUAUUAUUGUGAAAUUAAAACAGAGAUAGGUUUUCAAAAUAAUUUACGGUCGUUACGCUGAGUAGUUAGUUAAUGUACGCACAAUAUGACAAUAUGCAAGUUGCAUACGAAAGCUGAAAAAUGAUAUGGAUCCCUAUCAUCAAUGAACCCCACCUCAAUCUGAUCAAGAUAAAUUUUUGUGGCCAGUUUGUGAUUAAGAUAAAAUUUAAUAUAACUUUAUUACUAUUUUAAUUUUUAUAUAUGUAUUUUUGUAUAGAGUUAGAGAUACAGUUAGAGUUAACUCUCUAUCAUUACCUCAAAAACAAAUUCUAAAUUUAAAAAUUUAUGUAAAAUGAUCGCAAUCAUCUUAGGUUGCAUUUGGGAUUGAGAUGCUGUACUUUUUAAACUACAGCUGCAGUGGAAAAAAAGCUGUAAAUAUGAAACAAAAGUUAAUAAUAUGUAGUAAAUAUAAAUUUUAAAUAAUAAUUUUAAUAAAAUUAUUAAAGAUAUAAUAGAUUCUCUAUUAUACAAGUGAAAAAUUAUAUCAACAUAAUUUUCAAGUUACAGCAGCUAGUGUUUACAAAAUACUUUACUACUAUAACUUUUAAGCUGCAGCUGUCUAACCUUAAUCUCAAACGCACCCAUAAUAUGUUGAGAUAACGGUCCAAGAGUAUUUUAUCAUAUGGUUUAAUAAUGCAUCCCCCAAUCAGAUCCAUUGGCUUUUUUAAUAUUAAAUUUAAUGAUCCCAACGUAGGAUCACUACUGAGCACAUGACAAAGUACCAACGAAAGUGUUCCACUACCUCAUCGUUUCUCUCUAUAUAUAGAGCAUUUGUGUCUUGAGGUUUUUGCAACUCCUACUCUUAAAAACAAACUAUAUAGUUGUAUUUGGUUUGUCUGAAACGGAAUGAAAGAUAUGUCUAUUCCACUUCUAGCAGCAGUUUCCAGUUCAACUGAAGAAACUGUUCGUCCCAUUGCAGAUUUUCAUCCUACUUUAUGGGGAAACCAUUUCCUGAAAUCCGCUGCCGAUGUCGAGGUAAUUAAAAAAUUGCAAUAUCAAAAUAUCUCAUUAAUUAUCAGAGAGGCAAGCCCAAUCGAUGUACAAUCAUAUGUCAUAUGUAAUCGUUUGUUAGACAUACGUAAUGCAUUAAUAUUAAGUAAUUUCUUGCGUUUGCAGACAAUUGACGCUGCAACUCAAGAACAGCACGCAGCACUGAAGCAAGAGGUCAGGAGGAUGAUAACCACUACUGCCAAUAAGCUUGCCCAAAAACUACACAUGAUUGAUGCAGUACAACGACUAGGUGUCGCUUAUCAUUUUGAAAAAGAGAUUGAAGAUGAAUUGGGAAAGGUAUCUCAUGAUCUUGACAGUGAUGAUCUAUACGUUGUUUCUCUUCGUUUUCGACUUUUUAGACAGCAAGGAGUUAAGAUUUCAUGUGGUAUGCAAUAGUUUCUCAUUUUGUUAAUUAAACUAUUUAUGUUAAUUACAAGAUUAUUGUUGAUUAUCAAAUUAAAUUUAAGCAUGUACACUAAUCGAGACUAGCUCGCCUCUUUUGAAUAUGGUCAUCAGAUGUGUUUGAGAAGUUCAAAGAUGAUGAAGGUAAAUUCAAGGAAUCAUUGAUCAACGAUAUACGAGGCAUGUUGAGUUUGUACGAGGCAGCAUACCUAGCAAUUCGGGGAGAAGACAUUUUAGAUGAAGCCAUUGUUUUCACUACCACUCACCUUAAGUCAGUAAUAUCUGUAUCUGAUCAUUCUCAUGUAAACUCUAAUCUUGCUGAACAAAUACGUCAUUCUCUGCAAAUUCCUCUCCGUAAAGCCGCAGCAAGGUUAGAGGCAAGGUAUUUUUUGGAUAUCUAUUCAAGGGAUGAUUUGCAUGAUGAAACUUUGCUCAAGUUUGCAAAGUUAGACUUUAAUAUAUUACAAGCAGCACACCAGAAGGAAGCAAGUAUCAUGACCAGGUAACUUCAUAUAUAUUCUUUCAACGUGGAAAAGCCUAUUAUUGGUGUUGUUUUGAAAUGGGAGAUUGUCACUUUCCCUAGAAAGAGAAAUCAUAUUUUACCAGUUCCCCCUUGUAUAAUCAAAGGCAAAAUAUCUUAUAAUAGUUAUUAUUAUUAUUUAUUUAUUUAUUAAUACCAAACCAAGAUUUUUAGUUUGCAGUAAAAUUUUUAUGUAUUCUAGAUUUGUCAACAGUGGUAGUGGUUAUAGUUUUUGUAUAUUAUGUGCUUGUUGCUAAUAAUAAUAAUAAUAAAAAGUUAUAGCGUUUGGAGGAUAAUGUGUAUAAUGAAAGAGUAAUGAUACAAUUAUAAUUUUUUUUAAGAACGGAUGUGAUAUAAAUUCAUUGAUUAGAUGAAAGUACAAAACAAUAAAAAUAAAUCAUGUAAAUUUCUCUCUUUUUUUUUUCAUGAAACAAAUUCUCCAAAUAUAACAUGAAAGAUUUCCAACUUCUCUUUAAAAUUUUUAACUUUUGCCACAUAUCCCUCGAGUUUUCAUAAUUCCCUUGCUACUUCCUUAAAAGAUGAAACCAAAUUGUGUUCUUCUUUGUAUUUCUUAUAUACUACAGAAAUAACGAUUGUUAGAGUGACCACUUUAUAAUAUCGAAAAAUAUCUAUCUAAUUAGAUUUAAAAUUGAAUUUCAGGUGGUGGAACGAUUUAGGCUUCCCUAAAAAGGUGCCUUAUGCAAGAGAUAGAAUAGUGGAGAUAUAUAUCUGGAUGUUAUUAGGAGUGUCCUAUGAGCCCAAAUUGGCAUUUGGUAGAACUUUUGCAUCCAAAGUGAUAUGCAUGAUAUCCAUAAUAGACGACACAUUUGAUGCUUACAGUACUUUUGAGGAGCUCACACUUUUUACUGAAGCAGUCACAAGGUUAUAAAAUCAUAUACAUCCCUAUUUAGUAGUUGUUAAGUUGCAUUAUCUGUAUUUUAUAGGUUACAAUAACCUAAAUAAUGGGGACAUCAUGAGUGACUAUUACGGUUGCUGUAUGUUAUACAUGAUUUGACUUAACAAGACCCCAUGCCUAUAUAAUAAAGGAUUAUUAUCGUUUCAUUACUUCAAGAAUGAUAAAAUAUCAAAUAAGUACAAGAAGUAUUGUUCCCCAUCAUUUUACUACUAUAACUUUGUAAAACCUUUUAUUUUACUACUUUUCUAUUAGAAUCGUUAGUUAAUUAAUAAAAUAUGAAUUUUACUCUUUAUGAUAAAAUGCACAAUAGAGGUAUCCAAUAGUAUACAUAAAAUUAUGAAUAAUAGUUUUAAAGAUGAAUUCUUAAAUAAUAGUUUUAACCAUAAUUUUUUGAAUAACCCUUGAUUUAUUAUGACUAUAAAAGUAGUGAAUUGACAAAAAUACCCUAUAAAUUUUUGCCCAAAAAAACUCACAAUCUAUUCUAGAAGAAAAAAAAUUAAAUAUGGAAAUGUUGAUUCUGUAAAUAAACUUUAAGUGUUUUUUUUAGAAUAAGUUGUGUGUUUUUUUAAGAAAAAUAUCCAAGAGUAUUUUGUUAAUGCACCAUUUUUAUAGUUACGAUAAAUUUAGGGUUAUUCAUAAAGUCAUGGUUAAAACCAUUAUUUUACAAUUAAAGAGCAUGCCAAUAAUUUUUGUCUCUUAUUUGAUACCUCUAUUUGUUAAUUUUACCGUAAAACAAAAAAUUGAUAUUUUACUAAUCAACUAAUGGUUUUAACGAAAAAGUAGUAAAAUGAUAGGAAAUGAUACUUCUUAUAGUCAUUUGAUAUUUUACAACUCUUGAAGUAAACAAUAAUAACCCUAUAAUAUAAUUCUUUGAUUGGAUAUUUAAUUCAUAAUAUACUUUUAUUAGAAAUAAAUUAAUUUUAUCGCUUAUAUAUUUUCUUAAGAACGUGCUAACAUAACAAUUAUAAUUGAUUUUUUCAGAUGGGACAUUGGCCUCAUCGAUACACUGCCAGAAUACAUGAAAUUUAUUUUCAAGGCACUCUUAGAUAUUUAUAGAGAAGCUGAGGAAGAAUUGGCAAAGGAAUGAAGAUCGUAUGGCAUAUCAUAUGCAAAACAGACGGUAAGCAAUUACUUUAUCAGCAUUGAUGUUUGCCUCGAGUCAAACCCUGAAAGAGAUCUAAAACGACGCCGUUUUUCAAAAGGCAAAAUUCUCACGCUUAAGGCAAAAGCAAUGCCAAAAGCCCAGAACCCAUCUGUUUUCUCUUCCUCUUCAUUUCACCAUACUAGAAUUUUGAGUACAAUUCUUACACAGUUUACUUCUCCCAAAACCCAAUUGCCAACACAAACAAACUGCUUGCUUCACUUCAAAAAACUUGUUGUAACCAACAACUUGCUUCUGUUGCUGCGGCUGUUGUCGUUGCUGCAGUGGUCUUGAGUCCACAAAUCCAGAAGAAGAAAGUCGAAUGGAUAGCUCUAAGUCGAGAAUUUCUUGUUAAUGGGUGCUACUAUGCAUUAUUUCUUCAUUAUUAUUAAUAGUCUAUUUGUUGAAAUUAUUAUGGUUAUGAAUUUGGCUGAGAGGGCGGUGAGUUUGAGGGUCAAGGCCAUGGUUAAGUAACUUCUGCUUGAUGUGUGUAUUCUAAUAAUUCUUUAUUUUAUUAUCUAUGCUUGCUGGUAAUCUUCUAGCUAUCAAUGACCACUUGCACAUUGCACAAAUUCAAAACACCCCCACCCAAAAAAAAAAAAGUUUUUUUUAGAUCUAAUAAUUAAAAUUUACCCACCCCUAAACAAAUAAAAAUUUUAAAAAGAAAAAAAGAGAGAAGAAGCUUAAUUAAUUACUUGUUUCAGCUGGGUUAAAUAAAGAGGAAGAAGAAGACUACCAUUUGCAAACCAAAACGACUUCGUUCACAGCAAAUCAUAACAAACAAACAAAAAAAUAAUUCAAGCAGAAACAGUGCUGUUAAGAGAACGAAGAAAAGGAGGAAGAAAAGGUUCAGCUGGGUUAAAGAAAGAGGAAGAAGAAGGCUGCCAUUUACAAACCAAAACGACUUCGUUGAAAGCAAAUAAGAACAAAUAAAAAUUGAAACAGAAACGUCGUCGUUCAAUAACACUUGAAAACAAAAAAAAUUAAGAGCCGAAAUGGCGUCAUUUGACGCAAUUUCAGGGUUUGUCCCGGGUCAACAUCAUUUUCCUUACUUUAUUAAUAAUCAAUUUCAUGUUAUAUGAUUUUGCAAGGUGAUUAUUAUUGACUUGGGUUAUGUUGCUCAGAUGCAAGAAUUAAUUAUGUUGUACUUUACCGAAGCCAAGUGGUUAUAUAAAGGUUAUAUUCCAAGCUUCGAUGAAUACAAAUCAGUUGCAUUAAGAAGUAUCGGUUUUCUUCCGGUAGCAGUCGCUUCCUUCGUUGAUUUGGGUGAUUUUAUUGCAACGAAGGACAAUUUUGAAUGCAUUCUUAAAAACGCUAAGAGUGUUAAAGCGACACAAACCAUUGUCAGGUUCAUGGAUGACAUAGCAGGUUAUAAGGUAAAUAAUACUUUUCAUUCUACAUUAUAAUUCAAUUCAAUAAGACUAUAUUCACCACUACUCUCGAAGAGAAAUUUUGUAAUGUAUCUUAAGGCGCGUCAUCAUAGUACAUAAUUUAUUUAUCUAUUUUAAAGGUAGAGAUGUGGGUGAAGCCCAAAUCAAUUUUUCUAACACCUAGCUUCUCGAGAUUCAAACUUAGAAAUUGUCAGUAAAAUAAAGGUUGUUGAAAACCAUUCGGUCUCUGCGGCUGCAUUUCUUUUCAACUCUCUUUUAACACAUAACAACACGUAACAUAUAUGCCCAAGGAAAAAAAAAAAAGUUAGCUAACUGAUGAUUUUUUUUUAGUUCUCUUAUAACCAAUUCAUAUGCAUCCGUGAUGUAGUUUGAGCAAAAGAGAGGACAUAUUCCCUCAGCAGUUGAGUGCUACAAGAAUCAACAUGGCGUCUCCGAGGAAGAGGCAGUUAAAGAGUUGUUGUUAGAAGUUGCUGACAGUUGGAAAGAUAUAAAUGAGGAGCUUCUCAACCCAACGACUGCCUCGUUACCUACGCUUCAGCGGGUUCUUUAUUUCGCACGUUCAGGCCAUUUUAUCUACGACGAUGGUCAUGAUCGCUACACCCAUUCAUUGAUGAUGAAACGCCAAGUUGCCUUGUUGCUGACGGAACCCCUUGCGAUCUGAAGAUUAACGUCAUGCUAUUGAUUUUCCAUCGGGUAUAUUUGAGCAGUUGUAAUAAAUGAAGGUCGUGCUGGCUAUUUAGCUAGCUACUCAUGCCUAGCUAGAAAAUGUGUCGCCAAAUAAUAUUGUUCCAAAUUGUGGUCCUUUUAGUUAAAAAAUUAAUAAUAAAAUAUUUUUCUUCUAAUUUCUUUAUUAUUUUAUAAACAUUUUCUUAUAAUAAAUAUACAAUAUAAAAUUAAAAAAGCACAAGAAAAAUAUCUUAUUAUUAAUUUUUUUUCACACCAAAACAUAUAUAUAUAUAUAUAUAUAUAUAUAUGUGUGUGUGUGUGUGUGUGUAUCUUAUUUUUAAUAUUUAAAUUUGUUAUUUUAAUUUCUAUUUAUAACAUUUAUCUCCCUUGAGCAAUAAUAGUGUUUUUAUCUCCCUCGAGCAGCCAAUCAGCUCUAGAUAUUUGUUUCCAAUACACUUCCUUGUCAAGCAACAAAUUGUCGAUCUGUUUUUCAAGCCUCUUAAGUUUUUCCCCAUUUUCAAGCCUCUUAAGACUGAAUUAAGUAAACAUAUUUACCUUCUUUGGGAUGAUGGGAUCCAUUCAGCACCCAAUUUAGCAGGAUUAGUAGAUCCCUCAAAAGGACCCACAAAUUCUUUAUUUUAAAUGUUGUGGAUUGUAUGGAUGGUCCCAAAAAGGGACACAUUAGAAACUGACAAAUGGCAAGUCGUGAUUAUUCUUGAAAAUAUUUGAGAUGCUUGAAUAUGGUGAAAAUAGGAAUUGUUUUGUUACUUUUACAAUUCUUGAUUUUUACAAAUAUAUAAAGACGUUCAAGAUGUUGUACAAGGAAAGACAAUAUUUACAAUAAUUAUAAUAAUCAACUAGCCGUUGUGAUGAAUCCACCAUGACAUGUGCUGCUAUAUUUUCCAUCAAUUAUGGCUUAGACGAGAUGUUGGAAAUCCUCUUGCCAUGGCGGUACAAGCUACCAUAUUUGUUGCUUGUGACUUGUCCUUAUCAUAUUUUCCAUCAAUUAUGGCUUAGACAAGAUGUUGGAAAUCCUCUUGCCAUGGCGGUACAAGCUACCAUAUUUAUUGCUUGUGACUUGUCCUUAUCAUAUUUUCCAUCAAUUAUGGCUUAGACAAGAUGUUGGAAAUCCUCUUGCCAUGGCGGCACAAGCUACCAUAUUUGUUGCUUGUGACUUGUCCUUAUCAGCCCCCUUCAAGCUAGGCAGUGACAUGCGAUGAACGCCUAGCUUGGUUCGUAGCGUGAGAAAUUGGUGCUUCCCCAAAGGUUUUGUAAGAGUGUCUGCAAUCUGAAGAUGAGAAGGCACAUAUUGUGUAAAUAAUGACCCUUUAGCAACCUUCUCAUGAACAAAAUGCAUGUCAAGCUCAAUGUGUUUCAUUCUAGCAUGAAACACUGGGUUCUUAGUCAUAUGAAUUGCACUCAAAUUGUCACAGAGAAGUGUGGGUGCUUUUGGAAUACAGAACCCAAUGUCAUUAAGGAGAUAUGUGAGCCAUGUUAACUCGGCAGCGGCAGAGGCCAUGGACCUAUAUUCGGCUUCGGCACUUGAGCGAGAGACUGUGUGUUGUUUCUUGGAGCUCCAAGAGAUACAGUUGCUUCCAAGAUAAAUGCAAAAUCCUGUUGUACUUCGUCUUGUUAUCGGACAUCCAGCCCAAUCAGAAUCGGAAAAGGCAUAGAGCUUGAGAGAGCUUUGAGACAAAAAUCUAAGGCCAAAGUCAAGGGUACCUUUAAGGUAACGAAGGAUCCUUUUCACGUCCUUGAGGUUGGCUUUUGUUGGCGCUUGGAAGUGUUGAGAGACUCGAUUGACAGCAAAUGUGAUAUCGGGCCUUGUGUAGGUGAGAUAUUGAAGGCUUCCAAUAAGGCCUCUAUAUUCGGUUGCAUCCACAUGUUCAUUAUCAUCCGAACACAGUAUUGAUCGUAUUGCCAUCGGCGUGUUGAUAGGAGAACAAUCCUGCAUUCUUGCCUUGGAAAGAUGGUCUUUAGUGUACUUCGCUUGAGAUAGAAAGAUGUCAUGCGUGAAUUGUUGAACUUCAAUGCCUAGGAAGUAAUGUAGGUUGCCAAGAUCUUUUAAAGCAAACUUUGAGCUCAGAUUGUUGAUGAUUGAUUGAAUUUCCUUCUCAUUAUUUCCUGUAAUGAUCACAUCAUCAACAUAAAUUAAUAUAAGUAUAAGAAUGGAUUUGUUAUUAAAUAUAAAUAAAGAGCUAUCAGCUUUGCUACUAGAAAAUCCAAGAGAAAUUAAGGCUUGAGAAAGACAUUCGAACCACGCUCUAGGUGCCUGUUUCAGGCCAUAGAGCGAUUUUUUAAGCUUGCAAACAUAUGCUGGAUGACGUGAAUUGCGAAACCCAGGAGGCUGCUCCAUGUAGACAGUCUCCUUUAAUAGUCCAUGAAGAAAAGCAUUGCGAACAUCUAGCUGCUUGAUAAGCCAUUUUGAGCUCACAGUAAUUGCAAGGAUAAGGCGAAUAGUUGUGGCCUUUAUAACGGGACUGAAGGUUUCAUCGAAGUCGACUCCUGGAACCUGUGUGAAUCCCUUGGCAACUAAUCGAGCUUUAUAGCGAUCAAUGGUUCCAUCUUCUCUGUAUUUGAUACGAUAUACCCACUUCGAUCCGAUGACAUUAACAUUGUUAGGCUGCGGCACAAGGACCCAUGUCUGAUUUUGAUGCAAUGCUUGAAGCUCUUCUUUCAUAGCUUGAGUCCAAAGUGGAUUCUUUAAGGCAGUUUUGAGUGUUUUGGGUUCAAUUUCUCUACUGUGGCUGGCUUGAAGGGCUAAUUUAGGAUUUUGUUUGAGUUUAUUGCGUGUCAUCAUGGGAUGAGUAUUUAGGCUUUGCGGUUCCACAGCUGUGUUUGGUAUCUUAAGUUCCACAAAUAAGCAAUUGGAUAUGUCAGGAUAAUCUGGUUGUGAAUUUGUGGCAGGGCUGUUGUCCGUAUUUCUGGACAAAUUAAGUGGUUCAGUUGCAUGUGAACUACUAGAAUUUGAAUCGUUUGUAGUCAAAGGUUGCAUUGCAUGUGGAGACUCCAAAAUAUUUGGAAUUGCUUCUGACUUGUCGUGUGGAGUUGCUGAAUUCAAAUUGUCUUCUAAAUUCUCUUGUGGGAAAUUUGAAAUAAUUGGAGAAGUAGCAUUUGAGUUGUUGUCCAAGUUCACGUGCUUGUGGGGCAUGAAUUGCACAUGUGGUGUUGAUAUUGUAGCGCCUUUACAAUUGUUUACUUUGACAGCAUGUGAAUCAUUAAGAUUCUCACAAUUGAGAGAAUUAUUUGGGAGCCACUCAUCUUGUUGAGGGAAGGUGGUCAAUGUACUAUGUUCCUACACAUUAAAAAAUGAUGUUAAUUUUUUGAAUGGUAAAUAAUUUUCAUCAAAUACAACAUGCCUUGAUAUAUAUACACGAUUAGUCUCAGGUUGUAGACAACGAUAUCCUUUAUGGAGGGGACUAUAGCCUAUGAAAACACAUGGAUAUGAUUUUUUAUCAAAUUUUGUUUUACUGUAAUCCCGAAGAUAAGGAAAACAUCUACAACCUAGGACUUUUAACCCUUUAUAGUCCGGUAAUUUUUUGAAAAGAAUUUCAUAAGGACUUUUAUUUUUUAAAGGUGAAAGAGGCAGCCUGUUAAUGAUAUAAGUGGCUGCAAGAAAAGAAUCCACCCAGAAUUUGAGUGGCAAAGAAGCAUGAAACAUCAUCGUCAAGGCUGUCUCAUUGAUGUGUCUAUGCUUUCUCUCGGCAACACCAUUUUGCUCCGGAGUGUAUGGACAAGAAAUUUGUCUUGUGAUACCGAAAUUUUCAAGAUGUUUGAUGAAGGCUGUAGAAUUAAAUUCCCCUCCUCCAUCGCUUUGAAAUAUUGUGAUCUUUUUGUCCAAUUGCUUUUCAACUUGUUUCUGAAAUUUCAAGAAGCACUCCAAGAAAUCAGAUUUUUGUUUUAAGGGAUAUAACCAACUAAAACGUGAAUAAUCAUCUACAAAUAAUACAUAGUAACGAAAAUGUUGAGUAGAAGUAAUGGGAGCUGGACCCCAUAUAUCACAAUGCACUUUUUGUAAAGGAAAAUCUGCUUUAUUAUUAGAUAAAUUAAAAGAUUUCCUACAACUCUUGCCUAAUUGGCAAGAAACACAAAUACGGGGUGCUUUAGACCAACUAGAAAAGUCAAUAAAAUCAUUGCGUUUUAAGGCCUCCAAGAUUUUAGGAUUGGCAUGGCCAAGCCUCUUGUGCCAUAAACUAAAACCGCUAGAUUCUCCUUGAAUUGCAUUGAAGACAGCAUGAAAGUCUCCUUCCAAUGUGUAUAGCUUCCCUUGCUUACUCCCCUUUGCCAGAACCUUGUUUUCCUUGCUCUUCACAAUAAAACCAUCAGUGUUAAAUUCAAAAACACAUUUAAUAUCAUCAAUGAGUUGUCCAACUGAUAAGAGAUUCUUUUUGAGUUUUGGAACAACUAAAAUAUUAUUUAAGUGUAAAGAACCAUGAUUUGUAUUUAAAGAAGCAGAACCAAUAUGUGAAAUAUUUAAAUCUUGAUCAUUGCCGACAAUUAUUUUGUCAUUACCUCUAUACAGCCUUACAUGAUCAAGAUUACCUGUGUUAUUUGUCAUGUGUGAUGUUGCUCCAGAAUCCACAUAGAACUGCUGAUCAUUAUUUUCUUGAAGAUUCAUGGCAGCUAGGGCUUGUGGAUCCUCUUCAUUGUCAUAGUCGUAUCUGUACCAACAUUCAGCAGCACUAUGUUUGUGUUUGUGACAGAUUUGGCAAAUAACUUCUUCAUCUGAGGUAUUAUUUUCUUUAUUUGGUUUUUGAGGCUUCUGUUGUGGUUUACGGUUGUUGCCAUUGUAAUUGUUGUAGUUGUUGGGGUAAUUUCUACCACCUAAGUUGCGUUGAGAUCCUCUGCCUCGGUAUGGAGGUCUUCCACCUCUUUGAUUUCUGCCUCUUCCGCGUUGACCAAAGAAGGCUUGGUUUUGAUUUGUGCCAAGUCUAGCUUCUUCAUCUUUUUCUACGAUCACAGUAUGUUCAUGGUUUUGGAGAGCAUUGAUGAAUUGUUUAAGGCUGGGAUAUGGAGGUUUAGUGAGCAUUGCAGUUUUGAAGUCAGCAUAUUUGGGACCUAAGGCUCUUACAAUUUGAAAAAUCUUGUCAUCAUCGUUCAUUGGUUUUCCAAUGGCUGCCAACUUGUCGCAAAGGCCCUUGAAUUUCUUAAGAAAUUCAUCAAGCUUGGAAGAUCCUUCCUUUAGAGAAUAAAGGCUAUCUUUUAGCCAUGUUUCUUGCUCCUUAGUUGCAGGCAGCAUGUUUUCUUCAACGGUGAGCCAGAUUUCUCGAGCCGUUUGCAAGCCGAUAACCAUGCUCAACACGUCUUCGUUCAUCAUACUUCUGAGCCAAGUUGUGAGAAGUCCAUCAUUAUUUUUCCACAUGAGAAAAUCUGGAUUAUUUAUCUCCUUCCCAUCUUGCUCUAUCAUCUUUGGUGGAGUCUUAACAUCAACUAUAUGGUGAUUUAGCCCAAGGGUAAAUAUAAGUGGUUGAACUUGAGAACUCCAAAUAAGAUAAUUUUCAGUGUUGAGUUUUAUUGGAACCAAACUCGAACACUGAUGGAAAGAUUGAAGGGAUAGGGAUGGUUCUGAAUUUGAACUUGAAGCCAUUAGGGUUUGAUACCAUGAAAAUAUUUGAGAUGCUUGAAUAUGGUGAAAAUAGGAAUUGUUUUGUUACUUUUACAAUUCUUGAUUUUUACAAAUAUAUAAAGACGUUCAAGAUGCUGUACAAGGAAAGAAAAUAUUUACAAUAAUUAUAAUAAUCAACUAGCCGUUGUGAUGAAUCCACCAUGACAUGUGCUGCUACAUUUUCCAUCAAUUAUGGCUUAGACGAGAUGUUGGAAAUCCUCUUGCCAUGGCGGAACAAGCUACCAUAUUUGUUGCUUGUGACUUGUCCUUAUCAUAUUUUCCAUCAAUUAUGGCUUAGACGAGAUGUUGGAAAUCCUCUUGCCAUGGCGGCACAAGCUACCAUAUUUGUUGCUUGUGACUUGUCCUUAUCAAUUCUGGUGCACCACUUCAUCAUGCUAACAUUAUUCUUGUGCUCCACUGUAUCAUGCUAACAUGCUAAGGUACAAAUGCAGUGCUAGCACUGAAUGUUAUGGAUUCGCAUGUCCUGCACCAUAAGCAAACGGCGACUGCCUUGUUUUUGUUGUAUCAGUUGCUUCAGCUGCAAAAGAAAUGGAUAUGUGCAUAGUCCAAUACAAGAAGGGUCGCAUUGAUUUAUAUUGAAAAGAGUAAUUUUACACCCGUGGUAUCAUGAUUGCAGACCUGAUUACUGACGUACACUAGUCAGUAUGGAGACUUUGAGAAGGCCAGCAAUACCAGAUACAUGAUGACAUAUGCCACGGAGGUGCCGGCCACCGCAUCUAUAGAAGAUCUGGCUCCACGAUUAAUUUGUUACGUUCAAAUUUAUUAUCUUGGUAUUCGGGAUAUACACUCUAGGUGCAGUGACAUUAGACUGAAAUGAAUAUGAAAGUUAUAUGAAAACGAUUAAUAUAUUUUGAAAAUGAUAUACUGAUGAUUUAACUAAUGCAUCAAGUCAACUUUGAGGAUAGCUGCGUCAAUCUUUUUAAGUCCCCUAGAUGAGAGGCUAAGUAUUGCUGGAGAUGACUUCGUGGUAUAAUCUGUCACCGCAACCAGCCAUGGUUGCCUUAGUUUCCUGUUAUUUAUGAACAAUAACAUUUAUUAGACGUUUCAACGCUGUCGUACUCAUUCGUGAAGUAAGGAGUAUGUGAAGGUAUAAAUUUGCUUUACAGAUUCUUUUCAACAAACCAAAAUCAUCCGAGCAGUAGCUGCUUAUUUUAUUUCUCCAUUUUUCUUUUGUUCCAGUCAAAGAAGGAAGCAAUGCCUUCUAGGGAUAGCAAAUAUUCAAUUAUGGAUGGAUAAUAUCCAUCCAAACACAAAUCCAUAAUUAUCCAUAAUGGAUAUAUCCAUAAUGGAUAUAUCCAUAUCCAUAUCCAAUAUUUAAUAUUGGACAUGGAUAUGAAUUUUAUCCAUAUACCUAUGGAUAUCCAUGGAUAUCCAUAGAUAUUUUAUUUUUAUAUAAUAAAAAUAAUAAUAUAAAAUAAUUAAAAUUCUAAUAUUAAAUUUGGCUAUUACACUAUUUAUAUUAGUAAUAUAUAUAUAAUAAAAUGGCGGUUCGGUUGUUGGUGGCGGCGAUCUGGUAACUUUCCGGCGAAUUUCGGCGGAGGUUCGGAGGUCCGGCGAUUUCCCGGCAAAGUCCGGUGGUGGUCCGGCAACUUUCCGGCGAAGUCUGGUGGUGAUCCGGCGACCUUUCGGUGAAAUCCGGUGGUGGUCCGGCGAUCUUCCGGCGAAGUCCGGCGGUGGUCCGGCGACCUUCCGGUGGAGGUCCAUUUAUAAUAUUAAAUUAAUAAAAUAAAAUAAUAAUUAUUAAUAGUAUUAAAUAAGUUAAAAAAUUAAAAAGUAAUUUUGAAAACUUUAGUUUUUAAUAUAAGAGGAAUUUAAAAUUUUCACUAGUUAAUAUAAUAUUUUUACACUUGUUUGUUUAUUAUAUUUUUUAUUUUUAAUUUUAUAAAAUUAAAAUUUUUUAAACUUGUAUUGGGUUGAACGGAUAUCCAUUGGGUAAAAAUAAUUAUCCAUAUCCAUCUAUAUCCAUCUGAAUAUAAUUUUAAAAUAUCAAUUUCAAAAUCCAAAAAAUUUUGGAUGGAUAUUAUCCAAUCCAAUUGGAUGGAUAUUGUGGAUGUCUAUUAUGGAGCGAUCCAAUUGCCAUCCCUAAUGCCUUCUUAUUCAAAAUGGGCGUGCCCGCAUGCUAUAUUUUUGUCAAACACUUGGAAAUAAGCAAAAAGAGAUCCGUGAAUAUAGCUAUCAUUAACCAAUGAUGUAGAGUUUCUAGAAUCUCCAUCCUUCCAUGCUCAUGUGCUGAUAUUCCUCAGCAUAACCAUUUUGCCACCUCAUUAAAUCCAGCUCAUUUCUCUCAUUAGCUGGCUGCAGAUAGGUGUAGCUUAGGUGGCAUGCCAACGUGUCUCUGAGGUCAACUGUUGACUGUCUACUGCUGCUGCUUUCAACAUAGUCCUUUCUGAAGAGCUUUCAUGUUACCAUGGAGUUUUCUAAUGACGGCAAUUUUCGAGCAGAAGAAGAAGGUAACGAACUUACCAACUUCAAUAAAAAUUGCAUCCAGGGUUUCCAUAGCUAACAUGCUGACAAAACAAAAGCGGAUAAAUGAGAAACCUGACAAGCAACAAGAACAAGAUCUGUCAAACAUGUUUUGUCAUUAAUAAGACAAUAGUCUAAUCGAGGAAGUUGCCAUCGAUAUUCUUAUAUCAUUAUCUCUCUGAUUGGUUUUUGUCUACCGUGCAAUGCAUAGAAACUUUUGCAAACUCAUCGAACUUGGUGCAACCAAAAUCUUCUGGGAACUCCAAGAAUUGGUGGUGCUAUGACAACUUAAAUCAAUAAUACACGAGUUAAAGCCAUAGUUCUUCCAUAUUGAUUGAGAAUGUAUAUUAGGUUAAAUAGGGUUGCGCGACCCUCAAUUCUUGUGGUGGCUCUAAUCCGAUAAAUGGAAAAAAGAAAUUUAAUUUCUUUUUUUUUUAAAUUGUCAGACAUUUCUAUUGAACUUUUAAUUAGCAGAUAUUCGCAAUUUUUUUUUAUUGGAUUAUUUUCUUACAUAUUACAAGGUUAGAGGGCAUGGUUCAUCUUGAUCUAAUUUUUUUGAAGCAUCUAAAGUUAUUGUGACGCAUGGCAUUUAAAUCAUUCUAAAAGCAAGAAUUAUUAUCUGUAAAUUUCUUUUAAUCAUGCACCAACAAAUUAAAAUAUAAUAAUGAGGUCAAAAAACGGCCUCCUCUAAAUGUGAAAAUAGAAUACUUUGCAGGUGGCAAACUCGCACCAAUAAAUUAAUAUAUAAACAGAUAAUGAAUAUUAUUUAGAUUGGGGGAAAAGUUUCAUCCUUGAAAUAUCCAUUUUUAAUUAUUUACAUUCCAACUAGAUUUGCAAUUACUUGUUUCCUCCCUAUAGAUAAAGGGUAAUAAAAAACCUAAUAUUUUUUCAUUUACUAUUAUACGCUUCUUGAUACAUUGAUAUGAAAUUAUUGUUAAUUUAGCGAUAAAAUAAAAAAAUCAAGAAUAAAUAAAAUAAAUAAAUAAGCAAAUAAUUUUAAUUAAUGAAUAAAAAAUAUAAUAAAUGUCAUAAAUUGAUAAUUUUUAAUUUAAUCCUUUAAAUUGAGAUUGCUAAUUCUAUGGUUAUAGGACUAAAUUUCAAUUGGGAGAUUGCCAAUUUCCCCCUAUUGAAAUUAAUAUAUAUCACUCACCCGUUAUUUGUCAUCAUAAUAGUCAAUAAUCCGCUGGCGUUAUAAUUUUACAGUAUUACCCUUAUUUUCAAAUACACUUUUAAUUAUAUUUAUUAUAAAUUAAAUAAAUGAUAUAAAUAAAAAUUACAAUAAAUAUUAAAAUAUUAAAAAUAAGAUAUAUAUAUACACACAUAUAUAUGUUUUGAUGUGAAUAAAAAAUUAAUAAUAAUAUAUUUUUCUUGUACUUUUUUUAUAUUUUAUAUUGUAUAUUUAUUAUAAGAAAAUAUUUAUAAAAUAAUAAAGAAAUUAGAAGAAAAAUAUUUUAUUAUUAAUUUUUUAACUAAAAGGACCACAAUUUGGAACAAUAUUAUUUGGCGACACAUUUUCUAGCUAGGCAUGAGUAACUAGCUAAAUAGCCAGCACGACCUUCAUUUAUUACAACUGCUCAAAUAUACCCAAUGGAAAAUCAAUAGCAUGACGUUAAUCUUCAGAUCGCAAGGGGUUCCGCCAGCAACAAGGCAACUUGGCGUUUCAUCAUCAACGAAUGGGUGAAGCGAUCAUGACCAUCGUCGUACAUCAAGUGGCCUGAACGUGCGAAAUAAAGAAUCCGCUGAAGCAUAGGUAACGGGACAGUCGUUGGGUUGAGAAGCUCCUCAUUUAUAUCUUUCCAACUGUCAGCAACUUCUAACAACAACUCUUUAACUGCCUCUUCCUCGGAGACGCCAUGUUGAUUCUUGUAGCACUCAACUGCUGAGGGAAUAUGUCCUCUCUUUUGCUCAAACUACAUCACGGAUGCAUAUGAAUUGGUUAUAAGAGAACCAAAAAAAAAAAAAAAUCAUCAGUUAGCCAAUUUUUUUUUUCCCAUGGACAUAUAUGUUAUGUUAUGUUAUGUGUUAAAAGAGAGUUAAAAAUAAAUGCAGCCGCAAAGGCCGAAUGGUUUUCAACAACCUUUAUUUUAUUGACAAUUUCUAAGUUUGAAUCUCGAGAAGGUAGGUGUUAGAAAAAUUGUUUUGGACUUCACCCAUAUCUCUACCUUUAAAAUAGAUAAAGAAAUUAUGUACUAUGGUGACACGCCUCAAGAUAAGUUACAAAAUUUCUCCUCGAGAUUAGUGGUGAAUAUAGUUUUAUUGAAUUGAAUUAUAAUGUAGAAUGGAGAAUAUUAUUUACCUUAUACCCUGCUAUGUCAUCCAUGAGCCUGAUAAUGGUUUCUGUCGCUUUAACACUCUUAGCGUUUUUAAGAAUGCAUUCAAAUUGUCAAUAAAAUCACCCAAAUCAACGAAGGAAGCGACCGCUAUCGGAAGUAAACCGAUAGUUCUUAAUGCAACUGAUUUGUAUUCAUCGACGCUUGGAACAUAACCUUUAUAUAACCACUUGGCUUGGGUAAAGUUCGAUAAAAUUAAUUCUUGCGUCUGAGCAACAUAACCCAAGUCAACAAUAAUAAUCACCUUGCAAAAUCAUAUAACAUGAAAUUGAUUAUCAAUAAAGUAAUUGCUUACCAUCUGUUUUGCAUAUGGUAUGGCGCCGUACGAUCUUCCUUCCUUUGCCAAUUUGAUGCAGCGGAAGUUUAAUGUUCAAAAUAUUCCGUUGAUUUUAGAGAAUACCGGAACAAAAGAACAACUAAAUUCACGUUGAUUCAAAAGAAUACCGCGAAUUUAGGGAUUAAGACUCGUUGAUUCCGCAGAAUACCGAGAAUUAACUGUUCAAAUACUCACAAAGAGAUUUGAAAAUUGAAAUAUUAUUAAACUCAAAAAUCUCUGCCCUCAAAGGCUACAAGAGGGAGCUAUUUAUAGUAGUAGUAAUUAUCCUAAUUCAUGAAGUAAAACAAAAUCCUAAAUUGAAAGGGAAACAAAAUUCUAAAUUAGAAAGGAAUUUAAAAGUCUUAAACUUUAGUUAAUAAGGAAACUAAUCCUAGUAUAAUAUGGAUUCCUACUCUUCAUCAUUCUUCCUCAGCUUCUCUAUAAAUAUCUAAGAGUUCCUUGAAAAUAAAUUUCAUGUAUUCUGGCAGUGUAUCUAUGAGGCCAAUGUCCCAUCUGAAAAAAUCAAAUAUAAUCGUUAUAUUUGCACAUUCUAAAGAAAAUAUAUAAGCGAUACAAUUAAUUUAUUUCUAAUAAAGUAUAUUAUGAAUUAAAUAUCCAAUCAAAGAAUUACAUUAUAGGGUUAUUAUUGUUUCACUACAUCAAGAGUUGUAAAAUAUCAAAUGACUAUAGGAAGUAUUAUCUCCUAUCAUUUUACUACUUUUCUGUUAAAACCAUUAGUUGAUUAGUAAAAUAUCAAUUUUUCCUUUUACAAUACAAUACACAAAUAGAGGUAUCAAAUACUAGACAAAAAUUAUUGGCAUACCCUUUAACUGUAAAAUAAUGAUUUUAACCAUGACUUUAUGAAUAACCCUAAAUUUAUCGUAACCAUAAAAAUGGAGCAUUAACAAAAUACUCCGGGAUAUUAUUCUUAAAAAACAUAAUUUAUUCUUUAAAAAAACACUUAAAGCUUAUUUACAAAAUCAACACUUCCAUAUUUAAUUUUUUUUCUUCUAGAAUAGGUUGAGUUUUUUUGGGCAAAAAUUUAUAGGGGUAUGUUUGUCAAUUCACUACUUUUAUGAUAGCAAUAAAUCAAGGGUUAUUCAAAAAAUUAUGGUUAAAACUAUUAUUUAACAAUUCAUAUUUAAAUCUAUUAUUCAUAAUUUUAUGUACACUAUCGGAUACCUCUUUUGUGCAUUUUAUCUUAAGGGGUAAAAUUAAUAUUUUUUUAGUCAGCUAACGAUUCUAACAAAAAAGUAGUAAAAUAAAAGGUUUUACAAAGUUAUAAUAGUAAAAUGAUGGGGGAACAAUACUUCUUGUACUUAUUUGAUAUUUUAUAAUUCUUGAAGUAAUGAAACGAUAAUAAUCUUUUAUUAUAUAGGCAUGGGGUCUUGCUAAGUUACAUCAUGUAUAAAAUGCAGCAACCCUAAUAGUCACUCAUGAUGUCCCAUUAUUUAGGUUAUUGUAACCUAUAGAAUACAGAUAAUACAACUUAACAACUGCUAUAUAGGGAUGUAUAUGGUUUUAUAACCUUGUGACUGCUUCAGUAAAAUGUGUGAGCUGUUCAAAAGUACCGUAAGCAUCAAAUGUGUCGUCUAUUAUGGUUAGCAUGCACAUCACUUUGGAUGCAAAAAUUCUACCAAAUGCCAAAUUGGGCUCAUAGGACACUCCCAGCAACAUCCAGAUAUAUGUCUCUACUAUUCUAUCUCUUGCGUAAGGCACCUUUUUAGGGAAGCCUAAAUCGUUCCACCACCUGAAAUUCAAUUUUAAAUCUAAUUGGAUAGAUAUUUUGCUACAUUAUAAAGUUGUCACUAUAACAAUCGUUACUUCUGUAGUAUAUAAAAAAUACAAAAAAGAACACAAUUUGGUUUCAUCUUUUAAGGAGGUAGCAAGGAAAUAUGAAAACUCGAGGGAUAAGUGAAAAAAGUUAAAACUUUUAAAGAGAAGUUGUAAAUCUUCCAUAUUAUAUUUGGAAAUUUUGUUUCAUUAAAAAAAAAAAGAGAGAGAGAAAUUUACGUGAUUUAUUUUUAUUGUUUUGUAUUUUCAUCUAAUUUAUAAAUUUAUAUCACAUCCAUUCUUAAAACAUUUUUAUAAUUGUAUCAUUACUCUUUCAUUAUACACAUUAUCCUCCAAACACUAUAACUUUUUUUUUAUUAUUAUUAUUAGCAACAAGCACAUAAUAUACAAAAUCUACAACCACUACCACUGUUGACAAAUCUAGAAUACAUAAAAAUUUUACUGCAAACUAAAGAUCUUGGUUUGGGUGUUAAUAAAUGAAUAAUUAACUAUUGUAAGAAAUUUUGCGUUGAGUCUUUGAUUAUACUAGGGGGCAACUGUGGUAAAUAUGAUUUCUCUUUUUAGGGAAAGUGACAAUCUCCCAUCUCAAAACAACACCAAUAAGAGGCUUUUCCACGUUGAAAGAAUAUAUAUCUGAAGUUACCUGGUCAUGAUACUUGCUUCCUUCUGGUGUGCUGCUUGUAAUAUAUUAAAGUCUAACUUUGCAAACUUGAGCAAAGUUUCAGCAUGCAAAUCAUCUCUUGAAUAGAUAUCCAAAAAAUACCUUGCCUCUAACCUUGCUGCUGCUUUACGGAGAGGAAUUUGCAGAGAACGACGUAUUUGUUCAGGAAGUUUAGAGUUUACAUGAGAAUGAUCAGAUAUAGAUAUUAUUGACUUAAGGUGACUGGUAGUGAAAGCAAUGGCUUCAUCUAAAAUGUCUUCUCCCCGAACUGCUAGGUAUGCUGCCUCGUGCAAACUGAACAUGCCUCGUAUAUCGUUGAUCAAUGAUUCCUUGAAUUUACCUUCAUCAUCUUUGAACUUCUCAAACACAUCUGAUGACCAUAUUCAAAAGAAUUAAAGGCGAGCUAGUCUCGAUUAGUGUACAUGCUUAAAUUUAGUUUGAUAAUUAACAAUAAUCUUGUAAUUAACAUAAAUAGUUUAAUUAACAAAAUGAAAAACUAUUACAUACCACAUGAAAUCUUAACUCCUUGCUGUCUAAAAAGUCGAAAGCGAAGAGAAACAACGUAUAGAUCAUCACGGUCAAGAUCAUGAGAUACCUUUCCCAAUUCAUCUUCAAUCUCCUUUUCAAAAUGAUAAGCGACACCUAAUCGUUGUACUGAAUCAAUCAUGUGUAGUUUAUGGGCAAGCUUAUUGGCAGUAGUGGUUAUCAUCCUCCUGACCUCUUGCUUCAGUGCUGCGUGCUGUUCUUGAGUUGCAUCGUCAAUUGUCUGCAAACGCAAGAAAUUACUUAAUAUUAAUGCAUUACGUGUGUCUAACAAACGAUUAUAUAUGACAUAUGAUUGUACAUCGAUUGGGCUCGCUUCUCUGAUAAUUAAUGAGAUAUUUUGAUAUUGCAAUUGUUUAAUUACCUCGACAUCGGCAGCGGAUUUCAGGAAAUGGGUUCCCCAUAAAGUAGGAUGAAAAUCUGCAAUGGGACGAACAGUUUCUUCAGUUGAACUGGAAACUGCUGCUAGAAGUGGAAUAGACAUAUCUUUCAUUCCGUUUCAGACAAACCAAAUACAACUUUAUAGUUUGCUUUUAAGAGUAGGAGUUGCAAAAACCUCAAGACACAAAUGCUCUAUAUAUAGAGAGAAACGAUGAGGCAGUGGAACACUUUCGUUGGUACUUUGUCAUGUGCUCAGUAGUGAUCCUACGUUGGGAUCAUUAAAUUUAAUAUUGAAAAAGUCAAUGGAUCUGAUUGCGGGAUCCAUAUUAAACCAUGUGAUAAAAUACUCUUGAACUAUUAUCUCAAUAUAUUAUGGGUGAGUUUGGGAUUGAGAUUGGAGAGCUGUAACUUAAAAGGUACAACAGUAAAGUGUUUGGUGAAUACUAACUGUUGUAUCUUGAAAGUUAUGUUGAUAUGAUUUUUUGCUUGUAUAAUGGAGAAUCUAUUAUAUCUUUAAUAAUUUUAUUAAAAUUUUUAUUUACUACAUAUUAUUCACUUUUGCUUCAUAGUUACAGUUUUUUUUCCACAGUACCUCAAUCCCAAACGCACCCUAAGAAGUUGCGAUCAUUUUACAUAAAUUUUUAAAUUUAGGAUUUUUUUUUAGGUAAUGAUAGAGAGUUCACUCUAACCCUAUAUCUAACUCUAUACAAAAAUAAAUAUAUAAAAGUUGAAAUAGUAAUAAAGUUGUAUUAAAUUUUAUCUUAAUUACAAACUGGCCACAACAAUUUAUCUUGAUGAGAUUGAGGUGGGGUUAAUUGAUGAUAAGGAUACAUAUCAUUUUUCAGCUUUCUUAUGCAACUUGCAGAUUGUGAUAUUGUGCGUACAUUAACUAACUACUCAACGUAACGACCGUAAAUUAUUUUAUUAACUAACUACUCAACGUAACGACCGUAAAUUAUUUUGAAAACCUAUCUCUCUUUUAAUUUUACAAUAAUAAUAUUCCAAAAAGGCCAUAAUUAUUUAACUUAUAUGUAUUUUAAUUACCCCUACCAAGCAAAAUAUUUCAAUUAUUUUAACUAAAUAAAUAUAUUUUAGUUAUUCUUAAAGCCAAAGUCUAUUUCUGGUUAGUAAAUGAUCCAAACAUUUUAUUGGGGGCUAAAUCUAAUAACUCCAAUGAUAUCAUAAAUAUAAAAAUUUACUUUCUGCAAGACUUAUCUCGAAUAAAUUCUCUAAUUCAUUUUGAAGAUGAAAUUUAAAAAAAAAAAUGAAUCACUGGGGCUUAAUUAAAAUAUUUUACUUAGAGUUCCAAUGAUAUUUAAGGGAAUAUGAUUUUUAUCAGAAUUUCUUCUGUUAACCAAUUUUUCAAAAAUUCUAUUUCAAACAAAUUAACUUCAUUAUAAGUGCAUUUAACAAAUUUCACGAUUCUAAUUCUUAAAAUACUUGGACCACCAGGGAUCUUAGAAAAAUAGUAUGCGAAACACAUUGGAUCUUAGAAAAAAUUUACUUUCUGCAGUACUUAUCUCGAAUAAAUUCUCUAAUUCAUUUUGAAGAUGAAUUAUCAACAACAGUAAUAUAAUAUAUUUUCUAAUCCCUAGUGUUCCCUUCGUGGGUCUACCGAUGCUAUCAACAAUAACAAGCAAUUUUUUUAAUAAAAAUAAUCAUUUUACUAUUCUUUUUAAAUGAACUUCUAUAAUUUUGGGAGAUUGGAAGAGUCGAAUCCUCCACCUAAUGAAUAAGGGAAAGAAGAGUUGUCAACUAACUCAAUUAAGUAGCUCUAUUGGUUAGUUUACUAUUAAACUUUGGUGUAUUUUAUUUACAAGUGAGAUUAUUUGUACUUUAAAAUGUACUUUGAGCACCAUAUUAACUAAAAAAUUAUGAUACUAAAAUAACCUUCAUACAACUUAAUAUUAAGAAUAAACUAUUACAACUUUGGACACCUAUCUAACACAUCCAUUAAUCAUACCAUUAUUUAUGCUAACCUUAACUUCAUCUCUUUUAUUGGGUGCCGAAUUGAAUUUAUUUUGUACUUUUGAUCAUAAAAGAUUUGUGGGCAAGUUCCAAAAAUAUAUUAAAAUGUUUCUAUUAAUCCUUUUUGUUAUUUUUAAUUUUGUUAAUAUGUUAAUUUAUGUGGUCUUUUUCUUUAAAGUUUAAAACGUAUAAGGCGGCGAAGAAGAAAAAUGUUGAAGAUGCUGGCUCGAUGAAUAAGAUGGAAUAUGGAAGAAUUAUUUUGAACAUAUAUCCAAUUAAUUGUGCGUUGUGCAGAAAAUUAAUGAAAAAGGAAUAAGAAAGAAAAAGUUUUGAGUAUACAUGAUCUUGUGGGAUGCUCCAGCAACCAAAGAAAAAGUUUGUUAUUGUUGAAAUCCCAUAACACUUCUGUAUAAGGAGGACUUGUGUGAGACCGGUGGCAGGUUGGUCCACCGAUGGUUUGUCAUUUGUAGAAUAGUCGGUCCGAAAAUGAAACAAAAGUCGUACUCACUGAAACAAAAGUCGUACUCACUGAAUUAAGUUUGGCAUAAAAAAGGAGAAAAAUCAGUGACUAAACUGACGUAUGACCUUAAAAUACAAUGAAUCACGUAAUAAAACAUUACUGAAGUGACUGAAAUGAUGUAUGACCUUAUUAAGCAUGCUGACACAUAAUUUAUGUGCUUCUGUGCCCGGAAAAUCUGAUCCGGGUUCAACCUACACCGGAUCAAUUUUUAUGCGAAAUCCGGAUUGAUUUUUCAGAACCCGCAUACUUCUGGGUCCGAAUCCAGUUUGAAGUGAACCCGCAAAUCCGGAACCCGGAUCCGGAUAUUAUUUAUUUUAAUAUUAAUUUUUUUAAUUAUUAAAUAUAAAUAGAUAAAAAAAAAACCCUAGCCCUCUCAAUUUCUCAUUUGUUCACUCCUCUCUCAAUCUCUCUCACUCUCUCUUCAACUCUCUUGUAAUUUCUCUUCUUCAAAUCAAAUUCUUUGCGGCGUGGCUGUCAUCUCCUUCACGGUGUGCUUGUGUUUGUUUCAUCACUCAUCAGCAUCACUUGUCUCAUCUCUCACUCUAUCACGGCCAGCAAAAGGGGGUGGAUUUCGCGGCUGUGUUCUGUGGCCUGUGGGGGUAGAUUUUGGGGCUGUGUUCUGUGGCCUGUGGGGGUGCAUUUCGCGGCUGUGUUUCACGGCCUAUGGUGGUGGAUUUCGCGGCCUGUGGGGGUGGAUUUCGCGGCCUGUGGGGGUGGAUUUCGCAGCCUAUGGGGGUGGCCUGUGGGGGUGGAUUUCUCGGCUGUUGUAUUUGUUUUAGAACCUGGAUUUGAAGUUAUAUGUUUUGUAUUUGAAAUUUUGUUGAACUAAACUAAAGCAAUCUGGAUUCUGGAAGCAAUUUGGUUUUGGUUUGUGUAACUGUAUUAUUUUUUUUUCAUUUUUCCAGCAACUUAAGGAAAGCAAUUCGGGUUCAAAAACCAGAAUCUGGAAACCCGAAUUUUUCCAGGUUGAACCCGGGCCGGACCCGGAUCGAAAAAAAAUCGGGUUUAAUACGGGUCCGGUAAUGAGAAUUUGGUGUCCAGGUCCGGAUUCGGAACGGCUAAACCUGGACCCGGACCCGAAAAUUGCCAUCCCUGUCCGUGCCACAGAAGCAACCUACAUGCACGGGAGAAGAGUAGAUGAUAUAUUUCUUAUUUAUGUGUUGGAAAGUUAAUAACAAUCCAGUAUAUAAAGCAAUUACAUGAAUCAAAAGUUAGAAGGUAGUAACGGCCCACUACAACAAGAAUGGGAGCUGGCAAUCCUUGUUAAUCUUCCAUGAUAUUUAGGCAAUUACUGUCAAUCUUCCAUAAUAUUUGGCAAAUCAAUCACUCCUUGAUUUCCUCUUCUCCCAAAACACUCCCCCUCAAGUUGGUGCAAAAAUAUCGAUGGAGCCCAACUUGAACAAUAUCUCUUGAAAUCUGGAUGUUGUUAAGCAUUUUGUAAAAAUAUCAGCUAGUUGUAGAUAAUUAGAAACAAAUGGGGUGCAAAUUAUACCAACUACCAUUUUUUCUCAAACGAAGUGGCAUUUUACUUCAAUAUGCUUUGUUCACUUGUGAAAAAUUGGAUUAGAAGCAAUGUGUAUAACAACCCAAUUAUCACAAAAUAAUCAAGUUGAUUCUGUUGUAGCGAAGCUUAAAUCCUUCAAUAAGGCUCUCAACCAAAUAAUUUCACUAGUAUUAGUAGACAUAGCACAAUAUUCUGCUUUUGCACUAGACUUAGCCGCAACAUUUUGCUUCUUACUCUUCCAUGUGACCGAAUUUCCUCCAACAAAAAUGCAAUGUCCUGUUGUAGAUCGACGGUCAAUUGGACAUGCUGCCCAAUCAACAUCUGUAUAAGUAGAGAUAAAAGUGUGGCCAUUCUUGCGCAUUCAUAUCCUUGAUAGCAAACUUUCUAUGCAAAAGUGCUUUGAGCUUUGAUAUUUCUUCAUGGUCAUUUCCUAUAAUUAAAAUAUCGUCAACAUAGACCAAAACAACUCUAAUGCCAGAGAUGCCCUUUUUGACAAAUAAUGAAGAAUCUGCAACACUUUUUUGUAAUCCACUCAUCAUGAGAACUGAACUCAACUUUGCAUACCAAGCUCGUGGUGAUUGUUCUAGCCCAUAUAAUGUUUUGUUUAAUUUGCAUACAAUCUUAGGUUCUGAUUCUUUUAAAUGGCUAGGAGGUAUUCUCAUAGAAACUUCCUCUUCAAGCUCUCCAUGAAGGAAAAUAUUUUUUUCAUCCAUCUGGUAUAGUCUCCAGUUUUCAUUCACUGCAAGAGAUACAAGCACUCGAAAAGUAUUAAUUUUUGCAACUUGAGCAAAGGUCUCUUUAUAAUCUUCUCCAUAAGUUUGAGUAAAUCCUCUAGCAACCAAUCUUAUUUUAUGUCUUUCAAUGGUUCCAUCACUUCUGUACCUUAUUUUGUAUAUCCAACGACAGCCAACAAUUUUCUUUCCAUGUGGUAGCUUAACAAUGUUCCAUGUCUUGUUCUCAUCAAGGGCCUGUAGCUCUUCGUGCAUUGCUUGUCUCCAAAUGGAAUUGGAGUUAGUUUCUUUAAAAGUUUUGGGCUCUCGAUUAUUGGAUGUUGCUGCAAGAAAGAUCGAAUGAGAAUACUUCAUCCUAUCAUAUGUCAAGUGAGCCUGCAUGGGAUAAAAGAUCACAUGGUAAGUGAAAAAAAUCCUUUGAAAGGAAUUUUGGUCUAUUAGAAAUAGAUGUAGGUAAUUAAAAACCAAAAAUUAACAACUUAAUUUUUUUUCGGAAGUAUUGUUCAUGACUACUGUUCGCCGCAACUGUUUACUAUUACUGUUCACGAAUACUGUUCAUCCGCAUCAAAAAUAUUAAUUUUCCAAAACAUCAUACAAUGUAGAAAAUAAAUGACACGGAGAUUUUUACGUGGUUCGGAUUAACCAAUCCUACAUCCACGAGGCCACGCCCAGAUAAAAAGUAAUUCACUAAGUUGAAAUGUUACAACCUAUGAAUUUACUAAACUUAAGACUCUCACUUACAGUUUAUCACCAUACAGUUUACUCAACCUUAGACUGAAUAUGCUUCUCUUGAAUCAUUGCUACCCCUCUUGAUCCACGAUCCUCAAGACACUUCGCAAAGUGAUCAAUAACAAUUCUUCAAUUCUUCAACGUCUAGUGAUCCAAAAUCCACAUAAACUCUCUGUAGAGAUAAACAGAAGAUAAGAAAACAAAUCAACACAACAUGAUGCUCCAAAUCUGGAUUCUCUGGAGAGGAGGCCAAAUUUUUCUUCUCUGUUUUAUGCUCUGUGUUGUGUGAUCUUUAAUUGUGAAAUACCUCUCUUUAUAUAGGCACUAGAGUUUCACCAAAAUAGCAAGUCUUAAAAGACUUGGAUUCUUUCCAAAUAAGAGGUUCUUUCCUCUUAUAAUUCCCAUGAAUCUGAAUAGGAAUAAAUCUGAUCUUCUUACCUUGCUUGUCUCCCAAGAAAUAUCUAGAGCAUUUAAUGAACUUCCUGUUUGAACCAACUUCUUGCUCUAAAUAGAUCUCAUGCGCCAAUUAUAAAAUUCAACCAUUAAUUGACUUGCUAAAUUACACAUCUAAUUAAAUUAGAAAAUAAAUAUUCCAAAUAAAUUAGAAUCUCACUAAAUUAGGGAAUUAAUAAAUUAAUCCCUAUUACAAUACAUGCAAUAAAUAAAUGUCUAAUUUAACUAGACUUGCCAUAAAAUGCCAACUCUAUAAAUAUUGGAUUUAACAUCCUUCAUUUCUUUUUUCUGGUGGACAAACCUACCUUUCUGAUAUGCGUUGGGGCUGUUGAGAUGGAGGUACAACUGUAUUAUCUGUGGUAGAUAAAAGGGUUGUAGUAGUAAGUGUUGAACUUGUAGAUUCUUCAAUUUGUUGACCACCGUUACUCAAAUAAGGACUCUGUUGAGCUUCAUUAUUUAAACAAGUGUCAUCACUUGUAAUUGUUGGUAGUAGAACCAAAUUAGAUAAGCACUCCCCCUGAGAUUGAAUUUUGCUAUCAUUUUGUGGUUGAAAAAAUGACUUUGACUCAACAAAUUUCACAUCCCGAGAUAUAAUAAGCUUUCGAGUGGUCAUAUUAUAGCACAUGUAGCCCUUUUUUGUUGAAGAGUAUCCAAAGAAUACACAACGAACUGCUCGAGGGUCCAAUUUAUCACGAUUUAUAGCUUGUUGAUGAACAUAACUGACACAACCAAAAUCUCGCAAAUGAGAAAUAUUCGGCAUCUGAUUUUUUAAGACUUCUAAGGGAGACUUAAAUUCAAGAACUCGACUAGGAAGACGGUUAAUCAGAUAUGUUGUCGUUAGAACACCAUGUGACCAAUACUUCUUUGGAACAUUCAUUUGAAACAUCAAAGCCCUUGCAGUUUCUAGAAUAUGUCUAUUUUUCUUUUCUGCCACGCCAUUCUACUGUAGCGUACCCACACAACUAGUUUCAUGAAGAAUCCUAUGGUUGCGAAGAUAUUAAAAAAAUGAACCAUUGGUAUAUUCAGUUCCAUUAUUAGUCCUGAAAGAUUUUAUCUUGUCAUCAAAUUAAUUAAUCAUCAUGUUAUGGAAUUCUUGAAAAACAAAUAUAACUUAUGUCUUUGAUUUCAAUAAAUAUAACCAAGUAGCAUGAGAUGUAUCAUCAAUAAACAAGACAAAAUAUUUAUAUCCAUCAUAAGAAUCAACAGGUGCAGGGCCCCAUAAAUCAGAAUGAAUCAGCUCAAAUGACUUAGAAGACACAAAUAAAGAUUUAUUAAAAAGUAAACGAGUUUGUUUUGAAAAUUGGCAAACAUCACAAGCACUAGAGGUAAUAGAAAUAGAAAGAAAAAGGCUUGAUAAAAUGCGAGCUGAAGGGUGUCCAAGUCGUUUGUGUAAGAUAUGACCUUCUUCAUUUUUGUAUGACAAGCUUUAUCAGCUGUGUUCAGCAAAUAUAGCCCAUCUGAAUAAAUUCCCUCACCAAUCAUCUUCUUCGUUUUUCGAUCCUGAAAUAUAACGGAUGAUAGAGAAAAAAUAACAUCACAAUUCAAAGAGUUAGUGAUUUUUCCAACCGAUAAAAGUUGUACUGGAAAUAAAGGAACAACAAGAACUUUAGAGGUGGAACUUUGAGGAAAAAUUUUUAUUUUUCCAUUUACAGAUACUAGAAUAGUAGCUCCAUUUGCAAUAGAUACCUCAUGUUUAUGGUUUAUAGGAAUAAAAGCAUGCACAAUACUAGGAUUAUUGGUCAUGUGAUCUGUGGCUCCUGAAUCGAUUAUCCAGGAAUUUGUAUUAUGGGAAAAAGUAAGAUAAGCUUGUAGAUUACCUGAAACAUUAACCGAAGUGGUCUGACUAAUUUCAGAUGACAUGGACAUACUAAUUUGUUGAGGGAGAUGACUGAGCUGAUUUAUUGAGAUUUAGGUAUCUGCAACAGCAACAUUGUCCUUUUUAUUUUUAUCUAGACCAGUCUUGAGGUGUGGAUACAAAUCCUAGCAUCAAUCCUUUGUAUGUCCAUUUUUUCUGCAAUGGUCACAAUGGUAACUUUCCUUUUUUCCUUUAUUGCAAUUGCUCUUCCCGUACUUCUCCUUUCUGUCAUUUUUUUCAGCCACAAGCACAUGUGAGUCUGGUUUUUCAGAAGUAAUUUUCGCAUUAGCAUUCAUGGUCUUCUUACGAGUUUCUUCUUGUUGAAUAGUUUGACAAAUAAUGGAAAAAGAAGGAAGCUUUGGGGCCAUGAGAAUGUUGCUCCUUAGAUUUUUAUAUUCUGGCUUCAAACUAUUAAGUAAGGAAAAAAUUUUGUCUUCUUCCACUCUUUGCUACAGCACUAUAAGGUCAGCGGUAAAUGAACGAUACAUAUUUAGUUCAUCCCCUAACUUUUUAAGAUAACCCAAAUGCUCACUAAAAGUUUUAUCACCUUGCUCAGCUACAACGAUUUCACAUUUUAAUUUAAAAACACCUGCACUAUUAUUGUUUCUACCAUAUAAUUCAGAUAUAGAAUCCCACAAUUCUUUUGAGAAAUUAGAAAAUGUGAAAAUUUCUACAAUAUGAGGCUCCAUGGAAUUAAGAAUUCAAGAUCUAAAAAGUUGGUCAUUAGCAAUCCAAUCUUCAUAUUUUGGAUCUUUAGAAUCCGGACAAACAGAGUUACCAUUAGUGUAACCUAAUUUCCUUUUUCCUCCAAGAGACAAAGUAACAGCCCUUGACCAAGGAACAUAAUUCAACCCAUUUAAAGCAACUGAAGAGAGUUUAAAACUAGGAUUUGGAUCGGUUUCAGCCAAUAGACCAACAGAUAUAAAAAAAUGGUUUAAGAAAAAAAAUUACCUCAAUUUGCCUACUCUGAUACCAUAUAGCAAAAUUAUAGCAAAAUGUAAUAUGAAAAUAUCAUCACAAUGCUCAAUAAUUUACAUGCUUCGGUGUCACGGAAGCAACCUACAUGCAUGGGAGAAGAGUAGAGGAUAUAUUUCUUAUUCAUGUGUUGGAAAGUUAAUAACAAUAGAGUGCAUAAAGCAAUUACAUGAAUCAAAAGUUGGAAGGUAGUAACGGCUCACUGCAACAAGAAUAUGAGCUAGCAAUCACUGUCAAUCUUCCAUGAUAUUUGGGCAAUCACUGUCAAUCUUCCAUAAUAUUUGGCAAAUCAAUCACUCCUUGAUUUCCUCUUCUCCACCAACAUAAAUAACAUAUAUUUUGUUUGUAAGUUUAUUGUCAAAAGAGUAACGAGGUGCCUUCAAGUUCAGGAACUACGAAAUCAGAAGCAUAUUUUAGCAAAUGGUUUUCCACCAGUAGGAUUGAAAACUGCAAUGUCACGAAUAGUUUCUUCGAAUGGAAUUAGAAUAGACGACUUCCUUACAAAGAAAUCAAGUAGAACUUAGUUAAUUAAUCUGAACUGAAUCAAUGGGGAGGAUUAUUUUAGAAAGAUAAAAGUUCAUAAAUAACAGGUGGCAUAAACUUUACGACACUUCUACCGAAGUACCAAGUCGAGCAGCCUCUUCAUUCUAAUCAGUUGCCUUUGAAAAUUAAGAAAAAUUGUCUUGGGCAUAUUUUUCACGUGAUCUAAGAGAUAUUUGUGAAAAUUUGUACUUAUUUUAAAAUUUUGUGUGUACUUGCGCAUCUAAAAAUAAUGAUUACAUAUUUAUAUGUGUGUGUUUGAAAAAAAAUUUUAAUUAGAAAACGUGACUAUAUUAUAGUCAGAAAUAAGUUAAAACAAAAUACAGAUUUUAAGCGAAGAUCAACAACAGGUAACAUAUUCAGAUUAGGUGGAGGUCGAUUCUUCAGCCUUGCAUAGCAAGUCUGCCACCUUCCUCGACUGUAGGUUGCACUUCUCGUGCUGUCUCUUCUACCUUUCUGAGCCACACCUUGACUCGUGUAUUGUGAUGUUGUGCGCGGAAUGCGAAAUCAAGCGCACCAAAUAAUUACUGAAAAAUAAAGGACACAAGAAUUUACAUGGUUCGGUAAUUAAACCUACAUCCACGGAGGCAAGAAAAAAUAAUUGUUUAUUUAACAAUUAAUAGAAUACAAUAUUUGAGUAACGAAUCUCACUUCCCAGAAACCCAAAUAUACCCAGUACUCUGACACUCUGCAGGAAAGAUAAAUUCCCCAGACACACUUCUCUCACUUCUCUCAAAAGCUUAGAAGCUUAUAAGCUUAACAAUUUUAGGAUGAUUUCAAAUGAAUGAAAUCCUUAACUAUUUAUAGGAAAAAUGUUGGCACCAUUCAUGAAACAAAUAUCAAGAAAAAGCCGCGUUCAAAAUGCGUCCAAAAUGCGUUCAAAAUGCGUUCAAACUGUGUGUGGAUAUUUUGCAAAAUAUCCACACGGUUUUAACUUUUCAACAAAUCUCCACCUCGGCGAAAAUUUAUCCAAAUCUGAGCCGAUUGACAAUGAUCCGCCAAACUUCAUCCCUCACAUGAUCCUCAAAAUGAUCCACAUUGGCUGCAUCUAUCCGACUACCUACGUACCCAAAGGUUGGGAUCAAGCCUGCCGUAGUUCUAAGAUUCCCUUAACUCAACGCAUUCGAAGAAUUAGUUUCAAUAUGUAUAAAGAUUUACUCAACCUGUACACACGAUUUUUCUUUCCAGCAACUUUGAAACCACAAGGCUGAAUCAUAUAGAUUUUCUCCUCCAAAUCUCCAUGUAAGAAUGCCGUCUUAACAUCCAACUGAGCCAACUCUAACUCAUAUUCUGCAACUAAGGCAAGUAGGAUACGGAUGGAAGUAUGUUUUACAACUGGAGAGAAAACUUCAUUGUAGUCAAUACCUUCCUUUUGAGCAAAAUCUUUUGCCACAAGCCUUGCCUUGUAUCGAGGAGUUGUUUGAUUUGGAAAUCCUUACUUUUUGGUGUAGACCCAUUUAUUACCAAUAGCCCUUUUCCCCUUUGGUAACUUUACAAGUUCCCAAGUCUUAUUUUGAUGGAGAGAUUUCAUCUCUUCCUCCAUGGCUAACUUCCACUGAUCACUUUCACCGUUGCGUAAUGCUUCACCGAAAGUGUUGGGGAUGUCAUCAUCAAUAACUGGAAGUGCAUAGGCGACCACCAUAUCUUUAGUAAGCCAUCCGAGUUUCUUUAUCUCUCUUCUUGGCCUCCUUGUUACUAUAAAAUCAUCAUUAUCUAAAUCAUCAAUUGUUUCUUCAUUUUGUGGGACAUCAGAAGAAACAACCUCUUCUUCAACUCUAGGUGUCACUUCCAUAGUUGAACCAUUUAUUGAUGUAGAACUAACUGGUACAUAUGGAGUUGCAUCAAACUCCACUCGCUGCAAUACCUCUGUGGUCUUGUUCUCUACCUGCUGAGAACUUGAAGCUUUUAUCAUUGAAGCUUCAUCAAAUGUGACAUCUCUACUACACACAAACUUUUUGUCUUAGAAAUCCCAAAGCUUGAAGCCCUUUACUCCACCUUUGAAUCCCAUAAAGAUAGCUUUUCUAUCACGAGGAUCCAAUUUACCAUCUUUAACAUGAUAAUAAGCUGGACACCUGAAUAUACGAAGGGAAUCAUAGUCUUGUGCAUGCUUUCCAGACCACACUUCCAUAGGAGUUUUACCUCUAAUUGCAGCAGAAGGCAACCGGUUUACCAAGUGACUUGCGUAGCUCACAACUUCAGCCCAAAAUUUUAUCUAAACCAGCAUUAGAUAACAUACACCGUACCUUCUCCAGUAAAGUACGAUUCAUACGCUCAGCCACACCGUUCUGUUGCGGAGUAUGUCUCACCGUGAAAUGUCUUUUAAUACCCUCGUUCUGGCAUACUUGCAAGAAUGGAUCAGAAGUAUAUUCACCCCCAUUAUCAGAUCGUAAUACUUUGAUCUUUCUGCUAGUUUGAGUCUCCACCAAUUUUUUCCAAUUCACGAAAAUCUCUAGAACCUCAUCCUUUGCUCGCAUGCUGUACACCCACACACGUCUAGAGAAAUCAUCAACAAAUGUAACAAAAUAAUGGCUUCCACCAAUUGAUGCAGUCUUGGUUGGUCCCCAUACAUUACUAUGAACAUAUUCAAGGAUCUCACGAGUAUCGUGAUUAGCAGUACCAAACUUGACCCUUGUUUUCUUGCCUACUACACAAUGUUCACAGAAAUUUAAUUUACAGGUUUUGGUACAUUUUAAAAGUCCAUGCCUCAUCAGAGUUUGCAAAGACUUUUCUCCUGCAUGUCCCAGUCGUAUAUACCAUAGCUUGGUGGUGUCACUGUGCGCCUCAACAACAUUUGCUUCAUCAGUUGUACCUCCCUUCAAAUAGUACAGAUUGUGACGCCGCACCCCUUGCAGAAUCACCAUAACCCCAUGUGUAAAUUUCAUUGUGCCAUCUUCAAUGGUAACUUUGUAACCUUUAGCUUCCAAAGCACCCACAGAAAUUAGAUUUUUCUUUAUCUCUGGAACAAAUCUAACCUCUUUGAGUUCUCUGACCAUUCCAUCAAACAUUUUGAGCCGAAUUGUUCCUAUCCCUAUUGUGCGACAAGGUUUAUCAUUCCCCAUCACAACUGCACCGGAUUCCAGAUUACGAAAAUCCGUAAACCAUUCCUUAUUAGGACACAAAUGAUAGGUUGCUCCAGUAUCAAGUAUCCACUCACUCAAACUAGCUACAUAUGCUGCAGGAGUGAUACUUAGUGAAUAAUCAGAAUCCUCAUCUUUCCAUGCCAUGUUUGCUGCUGGUGGUUUCUUCCUAUCUCUCUUUUGAGCCUUUGGACAAUUUUUCCUCCAAUGGCCCUUUUCAUGACAAAAGGCACACUCAUCACGAGCUAGAUUUCUGCUUCUCGAUUUGGAUCGAGAAUUCUUUCCACCACGCUUCUUCUUUUUCUCCAUCGCCCAAUCUUUGCUCACCAAAGCUUCAGACGAUGCUCGUUCAGAAUUUUUAUCAUUAUUCCGAAUCUCCAAACUAGUCAAUGCUGUGCAAACAUCUUUGAAGACGAUCACACUCUUCCCAUAUAUCAAAGUAGUCACAAAAUGGCUAUAUUCCUCUGGUAGUGAGUGUAACAGAAUCAUAGUCUUGACUUCAUCCUUAAUAUCUUCAUCAAGAUUCUUCAAAUCAGCAAGUAACUUUUCAAAUCUUGAGACAUGAUCGUGCAUUGACACCCCAGGCUUCAUUCGAAAGCCAUAUACUUGGCUCAUUGCAUGAAGGCGAUUUUCAAGACUUUUCACCAGGUACUUCUCCUCCAAUGUACGCCACAAAGUCAUUGCACAUUCCUCAUCUUUCACCAAGUAUUUCACCUCCUUAGUUAAACAAGAUCUGAUCUGACCACAAGCUUUUUCAUUCAUACUAUCCCAAAUUUCUUCAUCAUAUAAGUGUCUUUUAUUUUUCAGAACAAUAUCGAGAUCGAUUUGAAUAAGGGCAUCCAUAACUUCGCGUCUCCACAUGCCGAAGUUGAUUUUCCCAUCAAACUUUUCAACAUCAAUCUUCUGGCCUCCUAUAACAGGUGCUGAAUAGCGAUUUGACAAAUCUCACCUCCCAUAUGAAGUGUCUCCUGAAAUAGUCUCGGUAGAUCUCUCCCCAAUUCUGGAAGUUUCACAUUCUACCAUUUUCUCAACAAACUAUUUCUACUUGAAAAACAGCCUCUAUGAUGUUAAUUUCGCGUGAAUAAAUGCACCAGGAAAGUUCCCAGGAAAUUGGACGGGAACCCGGUCCCAAUUAAAAACCAGAAUCCUUAGACUCUUAUCGUCUUUUUUUUACAGAACUUUCCUAGACAUGCAAAAAUACACACUACUUACAAUAGACUGUCUCUUAAGUACAAAUGGUCGUCUCCACCGUAUUCGUGAAUAGUACCUCUGUGAACAGUACCGUAUACGAGAAUAGUACCGUAUACGUGAACAAUACCGUAUACCCCCAAGUACGAACCGUGAGCUCUGAUACCACUUGUUGUGCACGGAAUGCGGAAUCAAGCUCACCAAAUAAUUACUGAAAAAUAAAGGACACAAGAAUUUACGUGGUUCGGUAAUUAAACCUACAUCCACGGAGGCAAGAAAGAAUAAUUGUUUAUUUAACAAUUAAUAGAAUACAAUAUUUGAGUAACGAAUCUCACUUCCUAGAAACCCAAAUAUACCCAGUACUCUGACACUCUGCAGGAAAGAUAAAUUCCCCAGACACACUUCUCUCAAAAGCUUAGAAACUUAUAAGCUUAACAAUUUUGGGAUGAUUUAAAAUGAAUGAAAUCCUUAGCUAUUUAUAGGAAAAAUGUUGGCACUAUUCAUGAAACAAAUAUCAAGAAAAAGCCGCGUUCAAAACACGUUCAAAAUGCGUUCAAAACGCGUUCAAACCGUGUGUGGAUAUUUUGCAAAAUAUCCACACGAUUUUGACUUUUCAACAUGCGACACUUUCCUUCACUUUCAGCUAAUCUGAUAUCUUCUUCAAUUUCAUUUUUCCUUUCUGUGAGUUCUUCUAGUUACUUAAAUUCAUUAAGAAUUGCUUAUUGAUGCAAGCAGAGCAUAAACCAGAGGCACUUCCAUUAAUAUUAAUAACUCGAAUGAAUAAAAGUUUACAAGCAUUGGCUUAUUUAUACACAAGCUAUGAAAAACGACAGCUAGCUAAAGGACAACACUUGGAAAUAAGCAAAAAAAUUGAUCCGUCAAUAUAGCUAUCAUUAACCAAUGAUGUAGAGCUUCUAGAAUCUCCAUCCUUCCAUGCUCAUGUGCUGAUAUUCAUCAGCCACCUCAUUAAAUCCAUCUCAUUUCUCUCAUUAGCUGGCUGCAGAUAGGUGUAGCUUAGGUGGCAUGCCAACGUGUCUCUGAGCUCAACUGUUGACUGUCCACUGCUGCUGCUUUCAACAUAGUUCUUUCUGAAGAGCUUUCAUGUUACCAUGGAGUUUUCUAAUGACGGCAAUUUUCGAGCAGAAGAAGAUGGUAACGAACUCACCAACUUCAAUAAAAAUUGCAUCCAGGGUUUCCAUGGCCAGGAAGUUCAAGAGAUCCACAGGUAGUGUUUUCAUAGCUAACAUGCUGACAAAACAAAAGCAGAUAAAUGAGAAAUCUGACAAGCAACAAGAACAAGAUCUGUCAAACAUGUUUGUCAUUAAUAAGACAAUAGUCUAAUCGAGGAAGUUGCCAUCGAUAUUCUUAUAUCAUUAUCUCUCUGAUUGGUUUUUGUCUACCGUGCAAUGCAUAGAAACUUUAACAAACCCAUCGAACUUGGAGCAACCAAAAUCUUCGGGGAACUCCGAGAAUUGGUGGUGCUAUGACAAUUUAAAUCAAUAAUACAUGAGUCAAAGCCAUAGUUCUUCUAGAUUGACUGAGAAUGUAUAUUAGGUUAAAUAGGGUUGCGCGACCCUCAAUUCUUGAGGUGGCUCUAAUCCGAUUAAUGGAAAAAAGAAAUUUAAUUCUUUUUUUUUUAGUUGUCAGACAUUUCUAUUAAACUUUUAAUUAGCUGAUAUUCGCAAUUUUUUUUAUUGGAUUAUUUGCUUACAUAUUACAAGGUCAGAGGGCAUGGUUCAUCUUGAUCUAAUUUUUUUGAAGCAUCUAAAGUUAUUGUGACGCAUGGCAUUUAAAUCAUUCUAAAAGCAAGAAUUAUUAUCUGUAAAUUUCUUUUAAUCAUGCACCAACAAAUUAAUAUAUAAUAAUAAGGUCAAAAAACGGCCUCCUCUAAAUGUGAAAAUAAAAUACUUUGUAGGUGGCAAACUCGCACCAAUAAAUUAAUGUAUAAACAGACAAUGAAUAUUAUUUAGAUUGGGGGAAAAGUUUCAUCCUUGAAAGAUCCAUUUUUAAUUAUUUACAUUCCAACUAGAUUUGUAAUUACUUGUUUCCUCCCUAUAGAUAAAGGGUAAUAAAAAACCUAAUAUUUUUUCAUUUACUAUUAUACGCUUCUUGAUACAUUUUUAUGAAAUUAUUGUUAAUUUAACGAUAAAAUAAAAAAAUAAAGAAUAACUAAAAUAAAUAAUUAAGUAAUUAAUUUUAAUUAAUAAAUAAAAAUAUAAGAAAUGUCAUAAAUUGAUAAUUUUUUAAUUUAAUCUUUUAAAUUGAGAUUGCUAAUUCUAUGGUUAUAUGACUAAAUUUCAAUUGGGAGAUUGCCAAUUUUUCCAUAUUGAAAUUAAUAUAUAUCACUCACCCGUUAUUAUCUUCAUAAUAGUCAAUAACCCGCCGGCACUAUAAUUUUACAGUAUUACCUUUAUUUUGAAAUACACUUUUAUUUAUAUUUAUUAAAAAUUAAAUAAAUGAAAUAAAUAGAAAUUUAAAUAACAAAUUUAAAUAUUAAAAAUAAUAUAUACACACACAUAUAUAUGUUUUGAUGUGAAUAAAAAAUUAAUAAGAAGAUAUUUUCUUGUGCUUUUUUAUUUUAUAUUCUAUAUUUAUUAUAAGAAAAUGUUUAUAAAAUAAUAAAGAAAUUAGAAGAAAAAUAUUUUAUUAUUAAUUUUUUAACUAAAAGGACCACAAUUUGGAACCACAUUAUUUGGCGAUCCAUUUUCUAGCUAGGCAUGAGUAGCUAGCUAAAUAGCCAGCACGACGUUCAUUUAUUACAACUGCUCAAAUAUACCCGAUGGAAAAUCAAUAGCAUGACGUUAAUCUUCAGAUCGCAAGGGGUUCUGUUAGAGUGCAAUUUAUGCACUAGUUUGCAUUGUUUACUUCCCUUAAUAUCGAUGUUUUGCACUUAAUAAUAGUGAUUUACUUGUGAUUUACUUUUAUAAGUGCAAUUCUAUUGAUUGGUGAUAAAAUUGAGCUACAAGAUGAUGUUUAGGGAUGAUUGUUCCCUUGGAGAAAUUAUGAGCGGCAGAAGAACUUUGUUGAUAAGGCGUGGGCGCGUGCUGUCAACUGCGGACCUGCAGUUUUUAGUUUAACGUGUUUUAUAUUUUUGGCUAUUUUUGUAAUUACGAAUUUAAUAUUUCAGAUAUUAUGAUUUUAUUUUAAAUAGAAUUCUAAAAGAGAAGAGAGAGAGAGUAUUUAAGGGAGGAAUCUAUUGUGGAAAAAAAAGGGAUUUGGAUUGGAGGAAAAGAAAGAAACCCUAGAUCUAAUUUUUCUCUUCUCUCUAUGAAGAACUAAACUUAUUUUUCUGGUUGAAGGAUAAUGAAGCUUUGAUUCAUCACUAUUGUGAAAUCUUUCUUAUAUUUUAAUUGUUUUAUUACUUUUUGGGUAUUUUUUUAUUCUCUGAAUUAGUUUCAUGAUUAUAUUUGUUAAUUAGGUAAUUGGCCACUAUUUAAUUAUCAGCUUAAUCUAUUGUCAAUUAAAGGAUUCAUCGUAUGAAGAUUUUAAUGUUUGUGACAAAUAACAUAGCAGUGAGUUAUGUUAUGAGAAUAAACAAUCUAAUUUAAAUGAAUCAUCAUAUGUGUUGAUUAGGAUUUGGGUCUCUCUGGUUUUUCAGGCUGUCAAUUGAUUAAAUCUUAUGAUCGUAUCUAGGGUUGUCUAUUGAUUAAGGAAAUAUCCAACGGUCGUACCUUGGUUAUCGACUAAUUAAGGAGAGAUUGGCUAUUAGAGGGUCUCAGUAGCUAUAACCGGUCUAUUCAUAAGUAAUAAUAAUUUAUAUUUGAAUCAAUGAUCAGUAGUCGAAUCAAGCUGAGUUAAUUCCUUCAACCAGAGUUUUCUCUAAUUUGAAUUACAACUUUAAUUUGCAUUCUUGUUAUUUUUAAUUUGAUUUUUAUUAUUGUCAACAAUUCCCCCAUUUUACGUUUUACGUUUAAAAGGANNNNNNNNNNNNNNNNNNNNNNNNNNNNNNNNNNNNNNNNNNNNNNNNNNNNNNNNNNNNNNNNNNNNNNNNNNNNNNNNNNNNNNNNNNNNNNNNNNNNUUCAACUAAAAAAAUGGGAUUUGUUCCUCAUAGAGAGAAGAGAAAAAUUAGAUCUAGCGUUUCUUUUCUCCAAUCCAAAAAAUCCCCCUGUUUCACAAUAGAUUCCUCCCUUAAAUACCCUCUCUCUCUUCUCUUUUAGAGUUCUAUUUAAAAUAAAAUAUUAAUAUCUGAAAUAUUAAAUUCGUAAUUACAAAAAUAACCAAAAAUACAAAACACGUUAAACUAAAAACUGCAGGUCCGUAGUUGACAGCACGCGCCCACUCCUUAUCAACAAAGUUCUUCUGACGCUCAUAAUUUCUCCAAGAGAACAAUCAUCAUUAAAUAUCAUCUUGUAGCUUAAUUUUAUCACCAAUCAAUAGAAUUGCACCUACAAAAGUAAAACACAAGUAAAUCACUAUUAUUAAGUGCAAAACAUCGAUAUUAAGGGAAGUAAACAAUGUAAAACUAGUGCUUAAAUUGCACUCUAACAAAUUCCCUCACACCAAGAUGAUGCUUGUCCUCAAGCAUAUAACUCAAGACUAAUCCCAAAUCUCCACUAAAUUCUCAUCUCAACUCAUCCAAAAACAAUUUUAAGCAAGCAUACCUCAAGAAAUUAAGUCGUUCAACAUUCGAGAGACAAGGAUUUUAAAGACAGAAUCUCAUAAGCUAGAAUAAAAACAUUCAAUCACUAAGAAGAUCCAUUCAAAAUUCAAGUGUAACAAGAUUUAAUAACCCUCUCAUUGACUUCACUCCAUGCACUCAAAGUGUUUAGGGUGUCAUUUAUGCACUCAAAUCAAAUCAAAGAAUGCUAUUACCAUAAGCUUGCUUAUAUAUCACAUCUCAAUCCACAAAACAUGAAUAAAAUGCAAAAAUCCAAGGGUCUUAAAAGGGUUGUAAUGGGGUUAAAUAGGUUAAAUGAAAAAGAGAGGUUUAUGAAAGAAAAAGAGAUCAAAAUGAGAAGAAUGAACUCAUUGAAUGAACUUAUGAUAUCAAAAUGCUUAUUUCUACUCAAGUCACCAAGAAUGUAAACAUUUUUUUUUCUUUUUUUUUCGAUUUUUCUUUUUCUUUUUCCUUUUUUUUCUUUUUUUUUUUUUUGAAUCAAACAAAAGAAACGAACCUUGCACAAUUUAAUUCAAGCAUAAUGCUUGUUGAUCUAAUUGAGAAACUUUAUUACAAGGUAGAAAAAGCAACAAAAUAUAUCCACACAAUGAGUCCAAAAAUCUCCUUAAAUUGAGGCUCAAAAAAAAAAAAAUGGUUAAGUAGACGGAGAGAAUUAGAUGGGUAAUUGUUAAGGCUCAAACAAAGGUAGCAAAUAAAGGUCUUCGGGUAGAGAAAAAGGAAAAUGCGAGAAUAGAAAAAUGGUAAAUGGUUUGCCCUUAUCAUUUUAAUGCAUAAAAUCCCAUAAUGUGGCUUCAACAUGCAUAAUAAAGCAAGUUCUAGAAUAAACAAACUAGGAUUGAUAUUCACAUAACAAAAAUAAUUAGAGCAAAGUGGUUGCUCAUAGGCUCAAAUCCUCACAAAGUUGGUAAAUUUGCCAUCAAAUCCUGUACACUCUUCAAAUGAAUCAACCAUCAAUAGUAGUGUAGAAUGAGAAGAAUGUAUGAGUGAGAUAUAAAAGGAAAGGUAAAAAGGAUAAUAAGCGAGAAAGAUGUAUGUAGUAAAAAAAAAUGAAAGAUAAAAUGUGAGUAAUGAAAAAGUAUGAUAGAAAAAAAAUAGAUGUAAAUAAUGUGAGAUAGAUGGGAAAAGAGUAGUGAGAGAUAAAGGAAAAGAAAAUUAAUAAUAUAUAAAGCAUACUAACUCCAAAAUCAUUUAAGGAUGAGUAGAGUGAAAAAAAGAUAAGUAGAGUGAAAACAAUAAUUCCAGACAUCAAUAAUGCAAAAAUCCCUCCCCCACACCAAGAACUUACAUUGUCCCCAANNNNNNNNNNNNNNNNNNNNNNNNNNNNNNNNNNNNNNNNNNNNNNNNNNNNNNNNNNNNNNNNNNNNNNNNNNNNNNNNNNNNNNNNNNNNNNNNNNNNAAGUCAGCGUAAGGAUAAAAGAUUAAAGGCAAAAACUUCCCUGAAUUGUGAGCUUUGAUCCUCAUAACGUCUAUGGGCUUGGCGGGAAUGGUGGGAUAAAUCCUACACUCUUGAAGUAUGCGGCCAAAUUCUGCUCCAUCUUGUCACGGAUUUCGAUUCACGCGGCUGGAAUGUAGGUCGUAGGCUGGUUGCGGACUAUUGCUGCUCGACUGGAGCUUGCGGGUACACGGCUGCUGGUUCAGUUGCGCGCGGAUGGGACUGAUGUUGCGAACUGGUGACGCUGGAUCUGCGUGCUGCGGUUGAUGCUGCUCGCUGGGGGAUUGCUGGUGCGCACACUGGUGACGGUUGUUGCGUUGCGUGCUCGGCUGGAGCUUGCUGCGUGGCUUGGGGCUGGUUGCGUGCAGGAUGCUGUCUGCGUGGCUGCGUUGCACGCGAGAGCUGCUGCGUGGCUGUGUUGCUGCGAGACUAUUGCGUGCGAGAGCUGGUUCUGAGUUGCGUUGCGGGGCGUGCUCGUUGCUGGUGCUUGCGUUGCGCGCGACUGAUGCUGCAUUCUCUGGCUGGCUGGUUUGCUGCUGGCGUGCUGCAAACGGCUAGAGAAGAAAACAAUUUCUGGAAAAUUAGGGAUUUUGUGAACAGUAAAUUUUUUUUUUAACAAUGAUUUUUUUAAAUAAAUAAAAAAAAUAUAUAUAAAAGAAAGAACAAAAGAAAUAAAUAAAAUAAAAUAAAUAAAAUAAAUAAAUAAAUAAAUAAAAUAAAUAAAUAAAAUAAAAUGAAAUAAAAUAAAUUAAAAUUAAAUUUUUUUUUUUUUUUUUUAGUGAUGAAUCAUUUUGUGACACUAAAAAUUUCAGAAGUACUUUUCUAAUAAGUACGUGGGCACGUCUUAAAACCAUUUUACUUUAAAAAUCACAGAAGUACUUAUUAGUUAAAACGUGGGCACGCCUUAUCAAAAAUUUUCUUCUGGCCAAAAUAAACAAACACAUUAUUUUUAAAAAAUCUGAAUCAAAACUAAAAGAAGAUAAAACAAAAACCAAAAUAAACAAAUCAUUUGGGUUGCCUCCCAAAAAGCGCCUUUGUUUUAUGUCUUUGGCUAGACACAUUUAUGCAUCAAUCUCCAUAAUUGGGACUCUCGAGAGCCAUAUCCUCCACAAUAUUCACCGAAAAACCUUCAUAAAAAGGUUUUAAGCGAUGACCAUUAACCUUAAGAACUCUGUCAGAGGUCGGACUCCAAAUCACAAAUGCACCAUGAGGAAAAACAUUAGUAACAAUAAAAGGUCCAACCCAGCAAGAACAUAAUUUACCCGGAAAAAGUUUAAGUUUAGAAUGAAAAAGAAGAACUUUUUGACCAACCGAGAACUCCUUUCUCAAAAUCAUUCUAUCAUGAAAUGUCUUCGUCUUUUUCUUGUAAAAAACUUCCUGCACUAUAGGGUUAAUAACACCCACAGAGAAUACUGAAUGUUCAUCACUAGGAUAUUUCAUGGCAUCAUUCAUAUUGAAUUCUAUAACCUCUCCAUCAAACUUCAUAGUGAGAGUCCCUUUAUGUACAUCCAUUUUAGUCCUAGCAGUCUUAAGAAAAGGUCUUCCUAGCAAAAUUGGAAUAGAAUUAGAGGAGUUAUCAUCUUCCAUAUCAAGUACAUAAAAAUCAGUAGGAAAAACUAACUCAUUAACUUGUACUAAGACAUCUUCUAAUACCCCAUCAGGAUAUGCAUUAGACCUAUCGGCUAGUUGAAUUAUCACGCCAGUUUCUUUUAAUGGACCAAUAUUCAAAGAUGAAUAAAUAGAACGAGGCAUGACAUUAAUUGAAGCUCCUAGAUCUAACAAAGCCUUUUCAACUCUAACACUACCAAUUUUACAAGGGAGAGUAAACAUACCUGGAUCCUUGCACUUAAGAGGUAGUUUCUUUUGGAGAACUGCUGAAACAUUCUCCCCCAUAUGAACUUUUUCAUCUCCUCUUAAUUUUUUCUUGGAGGUGCACAGUUCCUUAAGGACUUUAGCAUAUCGAGGUAUUUGUUUUAUAGUAUCUAAUAAAGGAAUAUUUACCUCAACCUUGCGAAAUGUCUCAAGGAUGUCUUUCUCUUGUUCCUCCUUCUUGGAUUUUGCAAAUCGGCUUGGAAAAGGAGGAGGUAUCACAAUAGGUAGGGGUUUCGCUUUGGUGGGUUGUGCAUCUUGAGAUUGAGGCAUCAAUUCAUUCUUCUCAAGCUCACCUUCUACAUGCUUUGUCACUUUCUUAUUAGGCUCUUGCAACUCCGUCCCACUUCUAAGGAUGACAGCACUAACGUUUUGCUUUGGAUUUACCUCAGAUUGUGAAGGCAAUCUCCCUAAUACUUGAGACUCCAGAUGGCUCACUGUAGUCGCCAAUUGACUCAUUUGGUUCUCCAAGUUCUGAAUGCUUGUUGUAGUUGCCUGCUGAAAUUGUUGAGUGUUAGUCGCAAGUGAUUUAACAAUUUUUUCAAGAGAUAUACCUGACUUGGAGUUUGACUGUGGAGGUGCUGGUUGUCUUGGUGGAUACUGUUGUGGGAAUCCUGACGGCCUAACUCCAUAGCUGAAGUUGGGAUGAUCCUUCCAUCCCGGAUUGUAUGUUUGUGCAUAAGGAUCAUACCUCCUCUGAGGCAUGCCUGGAAAUCCUCCAACUGCAUUGGCUUGUUCAAUCGGUUCUUCUUGAAGUGUAGGACACAUAUCAGUUGAAUGACCUAUAUUAUAACAUAUACCACAAGUCUUCACCUGCUGCACAUUACCUACAACAAACUUUUCCACAAGAGAAGUAAGUUUAUCUAAACGUUGUUCAACAGAAGAAAUAUUUACCUCAUUCACCUUCCUUGAAGUGAGAUCUUGCCUGCUGCCAAAUUUUUGUGCAUUGGCAGCCAUAUUUGAUAUCAACUCCCUUGCUUGACUAGGGGUCUUGUUCACCAACACACCUCCACUAGCAGCAUCUAUCAUACUCCUAUCCAUCAAUGAUAAUCCUUCGUAAAAAUAUUGAAUAAGAAGUUGAUCAGAAAUCUGAUGCUGAGGACAACUGGCACACAAUUGUUUGAAUCGCUCCAAUACUCAUACAAAGUCUCCCCAAGAAGUUGUCUGAUCCCACAAAUGUCUUUUCUGAUGUUAGCAGCUCUUGAAGCAGGAAAGUACUUCUCGAGGAACUGCUUCUUCAAAUCAUUCCACGUUGUAAUCGAUCCAGGAGGCAAGUAGUAUAACCAAUCUUUAGCUAGUCCAUCUAAAGAGAAAGGAAAAGCACGCAGUUUAAUCUGCUCUUCAGUCACACCUUGUGGUCUCAUACUUGAGCACACAACAUGAAAUUCCUUGAGAUGUUUAUGAGAAUCUUCACCUGCAAAACCAUGAAACUUGGGUAAUAAAUGAAUAAGACCAGACUUUAAUUCAAAAUUUACCUCCAAAUCUACAUAUUGAAUGCAGAGUGGUUGCUGAUUCAAGUCUGGUUCAGCUAACUCUCUAAGAGUUCUUUUUACAGGUGCAGGUCUAUCCAUCACUUGUUCUUCUGAAUCGCUAGAUGAUUCAACUAAAUUAGGCACCGUAUCUAUUUCAAAAAGCAAAGGCGACGAGGAUCGUUGCUUAGCUCGCUUCGUCUGCUGUCUCAGCUGGCGAGCUGUCUUCUCAAUUUCAGGAUCAAACGAAAGUGUACCUGUACGAGAAGAACGAACCAUACACCAAGUAAAACGUAAAAAUGAUUAAAUAAAUGACAUCAAUCCCCGGCAACGGCGCCAAAAUUUGAUGGGUGUCGAAGCCAACAAAAAUAAAUUCCUACUCUAAAUAAAUUGUGUAUAGUGAUUGAGCAGGGUCGUGUCCACAGAGAUCGGUAAUUAUUUAAAUCCUUUUGAAACGUAAAACGUAAAAUGGGGGAAUUGUUGACAAUAAUAAAAAUCAAAUUAAAAAUAACAAGAAUGCAAAUUAAAGUUGUAAUUCAAAUUGGAGAAAGCUCUGGUUGAAGGAAUUAACUCAGCUUGAUUCGACUACUGAUCAUUGAUUCAAAUAUAGAUUAUUAUUACUCAUGAAUAGACCGGUUAUAGCUACUGAGACCCUCUAAUAGUCAAUCUCUCCUUAACUAGUCGAUAACCAAGGUACGACCGUUGGUUAUUUCCCUAAUCAAUAGACAACCCUAGAUACGAUCAUAGAAUUUAAUCAAUUGACAGCCUGAAAAACCAGAGAGACCUAAAUCCUAAUCAACACAUAUGAUGAUUCAUUUAAAUUAGAUUGUUUAUUCUCACAACACAACUCUCUACUAUGUUAUUUGUCACAAAUAUUAAAUUCUUCAUACGAUGAAUCCUUUAAUUGACAAUAGAUUAAGUUGAUAAUUAAAUAGUGACCAAUUACCUAAUUAACAAACAUAAUCAUGAAAAUAAUUCAAAGAAUAAACAAAUACCCAAAAAGUAAUAAAACAAUUAAAGCACAAGAAAGAUCUCACAGUAGUGAUGAAUCAAAGCUUCAUUAACCUUCAACCAGAAAAAUUGGUUUAGUUCCUCAUAGAGAGAAGAGAAAAAUUAGAUCUAGGGUUUCUUUUUCUCCAAUCCAAAAAAUCCCCCUUUUUCACAAUAGAUUCCUCCCUUAAAUACCCUCUCUCUCUUCUCUUUUAGAGUUCUAUUUAAAAUAAAAUAUUAAUAUCUGAAAUAUUAAAUUCGUAAUUACAAAAAUAACCAAAAAUACAAAACACGUUAAACUAAAAACUGCAGGUCCGUAGUUGACAGCACGCGCCCACUCCUUAUCAACAAAGUUCUUCUGACGCUCAUAAUUUCUCCAAGAGAACAAUCAUCAUUAAAUAUCAUCUUGUAGCUUAAUUUUAUCACCAAUCAAUAGAAUUGCACCUACAAAAGUAAAACACAAGUAAAUCACUAUUAUUAAGUGCAAAACAUCGAUAUUAAGGGAAGUAAACAAUGUAAAACUAGUGCUUAAAUUGCACUCUAACAGGGUGUAGCGAUCAUGACCAUCGUCGUAGAUAAAAUGGCCUGAACGUGCGAAAUAAAGAAUCCGCUGAAGCAUAGGUAACGGGACAGUCGUUGGGUUGAGAAGCUCCUCAUUUAUAUCUUUCCAACUGUCAGCAACUUCUAACAACAACUCUUUAACUGCCUCUUCCUCGGAGACGCCAUGUUGAUUCUUGUAGCACUCAACUGCUGUGGGAUUAUGUCCUCUCUUCUGCCCAAACUACAUCACGGAUGCAUAUGAAUUGGAUAUAAGAGAACCAAAAAAAAAAAAAAAUCAUCAGUUAGCUAAUUUUUUUUUUUUCCUUGGCCAUAUAUGUUAUGUUAUGUUAUGUGUUGUUAUCUGUUAAAGAGAGUUGAAAAGAAAUGCAGCCGCAAAGGCCGAAUGGUUUUCAACAACCUUUAUUUUAUUGACAAUUUCUAGGUUUGAAUCUUGAGAAGCAAGGUGUUGGAAAAAUUGAUGUGGGCUUCACCCACAUCUCUACCUUUAAAAUAGAUAAAGAAAUUGUAUACUAUGGUGCACGCCUUAAGAUAUGUUACAAAAUUUCUCUUCGAGAUUAGUGGUGAAUAUAGUCUUAUUGAAAUGAAUUAUAAUGUAGAAUGAAGAAUAUUAUUUACCUUAUAAACUGCUAUGUCAUCCAUGAGCCUGAUAAUGGUUUCUGUCGCUUUAACACUCUUAGCGUUUUUAAGAAUGCCUUCAAAAUUGUCCUUCGUUGCAAUAAAAUCACCCAAAUCAACGAAGGAAGCGACCCCUAGCGUACGUAAACCGAUACUUCUUAAUGCAACUGAUUUGUAUUCAUCGAAGCUUGGAACAUAACCUUUAUAUAACCACUUGGCUUGAGUAAAGUAUAAUAUAAUUAAUUCUUGCAUCUGAGCAACAUAACCCAAGUCAAUAAUAAUCACCUUGCAAAAUCAUAUAACAUGAAAUUGAUUAUUAAUAAAGUAAUUGCUUACCAUCUGUUUUGCAUAUGGUAUGCCGUACGAUCUUCCUUCCUUUGCCAAUUCUUCCUCAGCUUCUCUAUAAAUAUCUAAGAGUGCCUUGAAAAUAAAUUUCAUGUAUUCUGGCAGUGUAUCUAUGAGGCCAAUGUCCCAUCUGAAAAAAUCAAAUAUAAUCGAUAUAUUUGCACAUUCUUAAGAAAAUAUAUAAGCGAUACAAUUAAUUUGUUUCUAAUAAAAGUAUAUUAUGAAUUAAAUAUCCAAUCAAAGAAUUGCAUUAUAGGAUUAUUAUUGUUUCACCAAUUCAAGAGUUGUAAAAUAUCAAAUGACUAUAAGAAGUAUUAUCUCUUAUCAUUUUACUACUUUUUCGUUAAAACCAUUAGUUAAUUAGUAAAAUAUCAAUAUUCUUUUAUGAUAAAAUAAACAAAUAGAGGUAUCAAAUAAUAGACAAAAAUUAUUGGCAUGCCCUUUAAUUUUAAAAUAAUGGUUUUAACCAUGACUUUAUGAAUAACCCUAAAUUUAUCGUAACUAUAAAAAUGGUGCAUUAACAAAAUACUCCUGGAUAUUUUUCAUAAAAAAACACACAAUUUAUUCUUUAAAAAAAAACUUAAAGCUUAUUUACAGAAUCAACACUUCCAUAUUUAAUUUUUUUUCUUCUAGAAUACAUUGUGAUUUUUUUGGGCAAAAAAUUCUAGGGGUAUUUUUGUCAAUUCACUACUUUUUUGGUCGCAAUAAAUCAAGGGUUAUUCAAAAAAUUAUAGUUAAAACUAUUAUUUAACAAUUCAUGUUUAAAACUAUUAUUCAUAAUAUUAUGUAUACUAUUGGAUACCUCUUUUGUGCAUUUUAUCUUAAAGGGUAAAAUUAAUAUUUUAUUAGUCAGCUAACGAUUCUAACAAAAAAGUAGUAAAAUAAAAGGUUUUACAAAGUUAUAGUAGUAAAAUUAUGGAAAAUAAUACUUCUUGCACUUAUCUAAUAUUUUAUAAUUCUUGAGGUAAUGAAACGAUAAUAAUCUUUUAUUAUAUAGGCAUGGGGUCUUGCUAAGUUACAUCUAGGGAUGGCAAAAUAACCCGGACCCGACCCGGACCCGCACGAACCCGGAUAAUCCGGACCGGGUUCAACCCGCACCGGAUACAAAAAAAUCCAGAAUCCGGAAGCAAUUUAAUAAACCCGGAUGUAUCCGGGUCUGGAUCCAGAAUAGGCCAACCCGCAUAUCCGGAACCUAGACCCGAAUGUCUUUAUUCUUAAUAUUAUAUUUUUAAUUUUUUUAAAAUAUAAAUAGAAAAGCAAAAAGUCAAAAAAGAGGAAACCCUAGUUUGCAGUGACGGCUUCAAAUCUCAUUCACUCACUCAAAGUUACACUCCCCCAUACAUUUGCCUAUCUUCUUCUUCUUCUUCUUCUUACAAAGCUUCCUUCUCUCUCUCUCUCUCUUUUCACUUUUGUUUUGUCCAAAAAAGGAAAAAAAUGUCAGAAAAAUCAAGCCGCCAUCAAAGGAGGCCAUCGCAAGGCGUGUUCAUCAACUUUGAUGAUCUCUCAUCGCCCAUCUCCGAUAAUGUUGCUGGCACCCCUGAUCAGCUUCAGGCUCAGCCAUCCGAUGACCACCAGAUUCGUGCCCCUCUCCCUUCGUCGUCGGCGCCUGCGCCGGGAAGUGUAAUCGUAAAAGAUGAUGGCAAAGAGAAACCUAGGGACGUGAAGAAGUUGUGUUCUUUUGCUUGCUUAUUUGUUGUAGUAGUUGGAUUCUAUAAUUGCAUUGCUUCACAUUCUGCUGCUUUUGCUUUUUUGGGUGAAAUUGCUAUGCGACUGUACCAUUUUUCCCAUUGUAUCCAUGGCUUUAAGAGAAGUGGAAAAGAAAAAUUCAUAUAAGUAUCUGGGUUUGAAACCCGGAAUCCGGAAACCCGGAUUUUUCCGGGUUGAACCCGUACCGGACCCAGAGUGAAAAAACCGAGUUUUAAUCCGGGUCCGGGAGAAAGAAAAUGACGUCCGGGUCCAGAACCGGGUUUAGCCUUUCUCGUUACUUGGAACGAAGGGGUACAUUUCUCGUUACUUGCCUUCCGCGAAUCCCUUCGAAAAUUAUUAUAAAAUCAAAUAUAUAACUCUUAACAAACGGAACCGGCACAGGUAGCGAGGGCAGAUUAUGAACCUAAAUCAAAUAAUGGGAAAUUUACAGCCGUCCACCUAUUUGUUUAGCCUUUUGCAAAAAUACACAAACACUUUUUUUUUUUUCAACGCGCCACCUGAAGUUAUCUUUUUAUUUCACUUUUCCACUUCCGUCUAGUCUCCGUUAAUAGAGUUAACAGAAUAUUAAUGAAAUGACUUUUUUGCCCCUCAAGGGAAAAUUACAAUUUAACCGAAAUAAAAGACAAAAAAAUAAGAUUCAAAAAAUGUAACCGUUAGCUCUCAAACGGCUACAAUUUCGGCUAUAUAUACACAGAAGAAAUAACAAGAAACAUGUCAAACAACUCACAAUGCCCAAAGACAUCAUCUUCAAACACAUCAUUUAUACCAUUCAUUUGCCAUUUUUAAAGCUUAGAACCAGCCAAAUUGAAACCAAAAACCUGCUAUACAUCAACCUAAUAUGCCUCAUAUAAUCCAUCAAACCCAUAACUGCACAUUAAAGCAGACAAUUAUGCCAUCUAUUUGUCCUAAUUACAGCCAUUACCAGCCAAAUUGAAGUUAAAAACCUGCUUAUACAUAAUCCACACAUUCAAGCUCACAACUUUUCCUUUUCUCUUUUACAAAUGGCAUCGAGUUAUAGCUCAAGUUCUGCAGUUAGUGGACAGCCACAUAGAAAAGUUAAAUGCAUUCCUAAGAACUGUUGGUGUGGUGUGCAAGCAUGUGCUAUGGUUUCUACCACACAACAGAAUCCUAAUGCAAUGUUUUGGUCAUGUAAGUUGAAUAAAUGUAAGUUUUGGCAAUGGUUUACUACUGAAGCUCUCAUAUACCCUAGUACUGAUCAAAUGGUGGAUAAUCAAAAUAUGGAGCUGAAUGAUGAUAUAGUGAAGAUAAAGAAAAGACUUAAGCUCAUUGAGGGGAAGCUUAAAUAUAUCAUAAUUCUGCUGCUUUGUGUCUGUGCAAUUGUGCUUUUUAAAAUGUAAUGUAGCUUCUUUUUAUAUACAUUAAUGUAAUUAACUGUCGUGUUGGUUUUAUAAGCUAUAAAUUAGUGAUACUUUUAGCAUUAACAGCAUUAACAGAUGCAACUCCAAAAGGUAACUACUAAACACUACCUAAAAUGCACAACACUACCAUAUCUUGAUUUAGAAAAAUGCAUAUGAGAACCAAUGCAAGCUUUUUAACACAACAGCAAAAUCCCUGUAAGAAAAAAAGCAAAAUAACUGUUUAAAUAAGUUGCAACAUAACAUAAUAUCCAAAAUGGUAACUAUCCAAGAGGGCAACUACUAAGACAUCAUAUAUAGUCUAUGUGAUUUCCAAAGUAACAUAUCAUAAUUAUCCAAACUGAAGCCAAAAUAACCAUCAUUCUUAAACAACAGCCUACAAAACAAGUUAAAAGUCAAGUUUACUUCCAAUUUGCUCAUGCCGAAGUUGGUCGUCCUCUUGUUCCAGCAUGUCCACUACUAGAUCUAGCCUUUCUUUUCUUUGUUCUAACUUCAGAAGUUUCUCCUGGACCACUUUGUAUCUGAAUACAUGAAAUGUUAGUUAAACAAGCUCAAACACAACAACAAAAAUAUCAGAACAUGGAAGCAUUUUUAUAUGCACCUGUUUUCGCUUUCUUAGUGCUUGGGAUGAGGCUGCUGGUUGGGAUGAGGUUGCUUGUUGGGAUGAGGUUGCUUGUUGGGAUGAUCUUAGUGCUUGGGAUGAGGCAGUUGCUGGUUGAGAUGAGGUUCCUGGUUGGGAUGAGGUUGCUGGUUGGGAUGAUCUUAGUGCUUGGGAUGAGGCAGUUGUCGGUUGAGAUGAGGUUGCUGGUUGGCCUGAAGCAAUUGAACGUGAUGUUGAUGCUUGGGAAACAUGUUGUGAAUGAGCAUCGAAUUUCACAAGUAAUGCACAAUAAAUAAAAAAUGGGAAAUUAGCACCUGUUUUCUCCUCCUCAUUCUCUGCUCUGAAGCAUUCAAUGGCUGAUUUGUUGUUGGUGAUGCCUGCAAAACAUGAUAAAUGUAGUAAAUGCUGAACAAUAAACAUAAAAAAUAGUAAAAUAUUUUUGUAAUAAAUAAUAAUAGUAUAAACAUACAUUGGAAUUAUUUUUUCUAGCUCGAGCUGCCUUUGCAACGGAUGGCCUUAAUGGGCAGGACCUGACAUUAUGAUUGGAUCCUCCACAGAAUGAGCAAAUGAUAAAAAAUUUUCUUUUUUCUUUAUGUGGCUCAUUUUCUACAUUUCUUGGGCCUUCCAAUCUUCCUUUGCACAAUUGGAGGAUCAAUUAAUGGUCUUCCAGUAGGCUCCCAUGUACACUGGUCUGGAAUAGGAUUAAACAUCAACGAAUACGUGCUAAGGUAAGCUUGUUUGGUAAAGCACAUUGGAACAUAUUCCUGAACUUCAUGUCUUGCAUAUCCCAUGGCAGCCAUAGCAUGUGCACAAGGGAGGCCAGCAAUUUCCCAAUAACCACAAUCACAUUUUCUGCACUCUAACAUCACUACAAACCUCCUAGCUGGAUAAUAAGCUUUAUCCAUUACUUGAAAAUUAAGAUCGCCAGAAGCUUGCACAAUCAUUUUUUGUGCAAUUGUGCUUUUUUUGUCCAGAUGUUUCAACACCUUAGGCGUCAAAGGGCUUUCCCAAGUGGCUGCUUCAUUUCUUCUCUUUGUAAACCGUUUCAUAAGUCUACAUCUGAUUUCUUCAAGCAUUGUCAAGCAAGGCCUGUCUCGAUAAGCUAAUAUCCAGCUGUUGAAGCAUUCUGAUGCGUUAUUAUCAGUUCGAUCUACCAUACAGUUUGUGUCAUACGUAUGCAUCGACCAAUUAUACCCCAAAAGCUCUUUUUCCAACCACUGAUAUGCAUCUUCUUUUUCGGCCUUAAUCUCUGCCAUUGCCUCGCUGAAAUCAUGCUUGUUACUACUUUUAGCAGCCCUCCAAAAUAGUUGUUUCAACUGUGCACCAGCAAACAACUUAGCAAAAUUUGCAUAAACAUGCCUAGUACAUGCCCUAUGAUAAGCACUAGGCCAUGUGUUUGCAAUUGCAUUAACAAGUCCCUUUUGUCUGUCACUGAUAAAUGUCACUAGUCUGCCAUCAUCUAAGUAAUUAUGCAGGUGCUCCAUAAACCAGCCCCAUGUCUCCGUAUUCUCAAUUUCACAAACACAUAAUGCCAACGGAACAAUCCCAUUGUUAGCAUCCAUACCAACGGCAGCUAAUAGCACUCCACCAUACUUACCCUUCAGGUGACAUCCAUCAACUCCAAUAAAAGGCCUACAGCCAUUGAGAAAAGCAUUUUUCUGUGCAGGAAAGGAAACAAAAAACCUUUGGAAUAAAACUUUGUCAGGUAUAGAGACAACAUCACACAAUACUUUGCAAAUUGCUCCUGGAUCAGCUUUCUGAAUAGCUGCAGCAUACUGAAACAGUUUUUGAUAUCCCUUGGAAUGAUCCCCAAAUACCUCAAGUCUUGCCUUCGUUCUAGCCCUAUACAAUGUCAUCUUUCCAAUCUUCAACCCAAAAGUCUCUUGCAAAUAAUUCUUCAAGAUAUCAAUCUUCACAUUGGGAUCAACAGCAACUUGAUUAUUUAUUUUACCAGCAACCCACGUGGAAGUUACUUUCACUGUUUUAUUAGUAAGUCUGCAGCUAUGCUUUUUUUUGUACUCUCGCAAUAUGAAACCACUUCCAUUGUUCAUUUUUGCACCAACCACAUACCAUGGACAGCCAGAUUGCUUACAAGUAGCCACAAAUCGUCUCGGCUCACUAUAUACUGUUUUAAUAGCGAACAUUUUCCUAACCAUCACCUCAUUUAAUAUCUCUCUAAAAUGAAUUACAUCUCUAAAUACAUGCCCUACUUUUAGCCUAUGUUUCCCAUCAGCACCUAUUUUGUACUCGUGUUCCUCUAUAUAAUUAGUCAAUUGGGCAGUGCCAAGCUCAAUGUCAUCAUCAGAAGAGUUAAUCACCUUUUUUACCUUUUUAUCAACAUCAGAUAAAUUAUCAUCUGAAUCAGUUUCCAAGUGGCUGCUUUUAAGUCUUUCAGUAGCUCCAUCACUAGUUCCAUCACUAGCUCCAUCACUAGCUCCAUCACUAGCUCCAUCAACAGCUCUAUCAAGAUCAGCUUGCAUGAAGUUCACAUCAAGAUCAUCAUCACUGCUAAGCCUUCUGUCCGAGCAAUCAGAUAGCAGUGCAUCCUCAUCACAGUCAUCAUCCCUAACAACAAAAUCUUUCUCAACAGCAGCAUGUUCCACCACAGAAGCAUGCCCCCCCAUAGCAGCAUGCCCCCCAACAACAGGAUUUUCCUCAACAGAAGCAUGUCCCUCAAUUGAGUUAUUUACCUGAGUAAUAAGCUCAUCAGAUAAUACAACUCCUAAGUUAGUCAACAACGCCUGAAAUAAAGCAGCAUCUUGGAACUGAGGGCAAAGAACUGGUACAACGUCAACUUCAAAUACACGGGCACCCAAACGCUUAUAUAGUGCCAACAAACACUCCAACCCAAAGUCUGAAUCUAGCACAACCUUAAGCUUAUUCUCUGGGUUUGUAACGUUUAACAGAAUCUGUGAGCUCGAGCCUAAUCCGUAUGCACCCGUAAUCGUCAAUGCAGCAUCCUUUAUUUUGGCUACAGUACAAUCAGGUCCAAGCAACCCAAAAUUCUGCGUCUUAUCUCUAAACGAUAUUACUAACUCCAGUUGUGUCAUCCUAAAUGAUUUAGCAAAUUCAGGUCCAAGCAACCCAUCGAAAAUGAUUUAGCAAAUUCAGUAACACGAUUAUAAAAUACAUGCAUUAUAGUAAAUGUUCUUUUGGUUUUGUGAAAAUAAAUUCUAGGGUUUCCAACAACAAUGGUUAACAAAAAUCACCAAUGGAACAAUAAUUAACAAAACAUUGAGACUUAAUAGUAAACAAAUUCAACGAAACUCACUUGAAAUUUGGCUGAAACCUCCUAAAUUGAAACUUCCAGGCUUGUAACAAUUCGUCUGUUUCGUCAACACUUCUGAAUCUUCGUAUGAACAAAACCCAAGCUUAUUUCUUUGAUGAAAAUAGAUGGAAAUUGGAGAUUAACUGGCUUGAUUGAGCUUUUUCAAGCAACACAGUCAAAGACGAAGGUGGAUGCCGAGAAUGUUAGGAAAUGUUUCUUACUUGCUGGACUUAGGAAAUUCUAUAUAUGAAUAGCGUUAAACGAUUGUGGAUUUCUUUUUUUUUUUUAAUUUUUCCAUAGAAGUAAAACGACGUCGUUUUACUCUUUUAGCUGGAUACUGCGAUACGAUGUAGUUUUAAGUUUCCAAAUGAAAUAUCGAUUUUGCCCCUUUAACAUCAACAAUGUUCCAACGGAGACUAGACGGAAGUGGAAAAGUGAAAUAAAAAGGUAACUUCAGGUGGCGCGUUGAAAAAAAAAAAAGUAUUUGUGUAUUUUUGCAAAAGGCUAAACAAAUAGGUGGACGGCUGUAAAUUUCCCUCAAAUAAUUGAGUACUAAUUAAGUUCGAACAAAACGAAGCGAAGCAGAAACACACACUUUGACACUGUCGCAGAAACGAACACUUUGCACUGUUACAAAUUUGUUGUAUCGAACAAACAGAAUCAUUUGUUGUAUUGGACAGACAGAAUCAAUUUCAAAUGCAAUGCCAGCCGCGGACAAACUCCUAAGCUCGCUGUUCCGUUCAAGUCGCAAAGUAUCCGCCGCGGUCGAAAGAACCUCUAACAAGUUAACAUCACGCGCCGCAAGUAUCGACUUUCCUUUGAAACAAUUCGUCUCUGCUAUCGACACCGCGAAGGAGGCGGCGGCUGCGUCGUUGUCUCCUUCUGCCGCCGCUAAUUCUAUCAUCAAUUCCUCAGUUAAACCUCCCAAACCCACUAGCUCUCCGGCCGAGGACCCCGCCGACGACGACCCCUUCUGGGAGUUAGGGCCCGAGCCGGACCCUGUCCCGAAUCCCAAUUGUGGUAUUUGUUGUUUUGUUGCAAGUUUUGGGGUCUGCAAACACUGUAGCUAAAGUGUUUGCUGAAAUGCUUACUUGCACUUGAUAGUUAGUGACUGCAUUGUUAGCUUCGAAAGCCACAUUUCAUCAAUAAACGUUCCUUUACUAGAUGUUUGAUACCGAUUCUAAACUCAAUAUGUUGUAUACAUUUCUGGGUAUUUGAGAGCUUAAUAGGGGAAAUUGUUUCUUUAUAUGCUUUUUUGGCAGCCAAUUAGAGUGCAAUUAGUUGUUGAUUGAAUAAAUUUUUGGUGUGUUUGAUUAUAAUUUAACGUGUCUGAUGCAGAUAAUUCGCUCAAACAGCUAUCUGAGGAGAUCCAAUCUCUGUUAGUUGGUAUGUUUCCGCAAAAUUUAGUUUAAUGGUGCAAAACAAUUUGGUCUUUUACUUAGUUAUUAAGAAGUUUGAAAUGGGGUAUUUUUACUACUAAUGAUGGUGUCCUAAUCGAUUGCAAGACUAGUUUUUAGGCACUUAUGUGCAUAGCUUACUAGUUUUUAGUAAGUACUUUUAAUUUUACGUUUGGAAAGAAAGAUUUUGAAAGUAUUGACUUGACAGCAUUCACUGUUUUCUUUGAAGAUGUAACAGUUGAAUGAUUUCAUUUUGAUGAAAUUGGGAGUUUCUGUUUUAUUGACUGAAAUUUUAUUUAUUUUUAUUUGUGUCUGCUGCAGCUGAUGAUUCAGAUACCUCUUCUGAUUCAAUUGGGUCAAACAACAAAAACCUUUUAGAUGUGCUGCAGAUGCCAUGGCUUUCUACUAGGUCUAAUAACGACAAUUCACUUCUACGACGAAGAGAAAUUUGGCGUGAAAGGAAACAAAAAUGGGUAUUCAGUAACGGCCAAACUCGUCGUUUUAGCCGGAUAGUCAAGCUUUGUGCAAAUCAAUUGGGAACUGAAGCUACUUUUGAAGUAUUCGGUAAGAUGGGGCGAGAAAAUGGUGUGAAAGAACACAAUUCGUUAAUAGGGAUUUGUAUAGAGAAGGCUAGGGCAUGUGAUGAUGAAGACGUUGCAGUAGAGCAAAUUUGCAGGGCUUUUCAAAUUUUUAAUUCAAUGAAGGAGAAGGGGUUUCGGUUAGAAGAGGUAACUUAUGGUCCCCUUCUUACAUAUUUCAUUGACAUGGGUAUGAUAGAAGAGUUCCACUUUUUCUGUAAUACUAUCAACAAUGGAAAUUCUAGCUCGGUUCCAAGAUUGGGUUACUAUGAGAUGUUGCUUUGGACCAAAGUAAAUGAUGAAGAAAAGAUUCGGGAACUCUGCGAACAAACUGCAGCUGAAGAAGAUGGAAACUAUCUCUGUUUUCAAGGCAUGAGCUGUUAUUAUUAUUAUUAUUAGUAUUUUCAUUGUUCUUGUCUGGAUUUUCUCUAUUUAUGUGACUGUACUUUGUUAUUUUGAUAAUCUAACUCAAAGAAACUGAUGGUUGUCAAUAUGUGCAUAUAUUUAUGUUCAAGUUCAUAUUUUAUCCUGAAAAGAUGAGGGUAUUGAUAUUAAUGUUUAUGUUUCUGAUAUUCUUACUUGCAAUAGAAAGUCAUUUAAUAGCAGAGUUAACUCUACUCAUUUUGCAUGACCAAGGCCUUACAAGAUUCAACCCUUGAAUUGCAGAGAACUACCUGUUAGCUCUUUGCGAAAGUGACCGGAAGACUGACAUUUUGCAACUUUUGGAGACUAUAGACAUAAGAAAAAUUUCAUUGCUGGACCAUUUGGCAAGUAUUUUUAAAUCAUUAGGGCGGUUGCUACUGGAGUCCGAUGCAGAGAAGUACAUAUUGGCUUUCAAAACAUCUGGUAUUUUCUUUGUAACCUUUUGCUGAUUGUACUUUUAUUUGUCUUGUUGUAGAAACUCCAUUGGUAAUAUCACUUAUAAAGGCUUAAUAGUACAGCAUGGGAAGUGUAGAGAGCUAAUAGAUCUAUUGUAGGAAAGCAGAUUGCAGGAGCAGGUCUUCUGCUACUGUAAGCAACAAAAUGUUGAUGUAGAAACGAAAUCACAGUACCAACAUGCUUGGUUAUAAGGAUUUUGGAUGCUUCAAAUAUAGUACCUUUAGCUUAAAAGAACUAAGGCUUUGCACCUAGGAGCGGAAAUAAAAAUAAAAAGAGCUUCAUAUUAUACGGUAGAAAGUUGAAUGAAUUCUUCAGUCAUCAUUACCUCCAGAACACAGAGAAUCUGAUCUCAUAACAAUUUGUAGGCCAGUAAGCUGGACACCAAGUACACUUGGUAGGAAAAAGUUUUGCAAGUCAAAAGACCUACAAAAUUCACCAAUUUAAUUCAGCUGCUGGGCUAGAUUUAAAAAGUUACUGCAACUGUCCCGAGUUUAAAAAGUUACUGCUAAACCCGGACCCGGAAUUUGCCAUCCCUAGUUACAUCAUGUAUAACCUGCAGCAACCCUAAUAGUCACUCAUAAUGUCCCCAUUAUUUAGGUUAUUAUAACCUAUAGAAUACAGAUAAUGCAACUUAACAACUGCUGUAUAGGGAUGUAUAUGGUUUUAUAACCUUGUGACUGCUUCAGUAAAAAGUGUGAGCUCUUCAAAAGUACCGUAAGCAUCAAAUGUGUCGUCUAUUAUGGAUAUUAUGCACACCACUUUGGAUGCAAAAAUUCUACCAAAUGCCAAAUUGGGCUCAUAGGACACUCCCAGCAACAUCCAAAUAUAUGUCUCUACUACUCUAUCUCUUGCAUAAGGCACCUUUUUAGGGAAGCCUAAAUCGUUCCACCACCUGAAAUUCAAUUUUAAAUCUAAUUAGAUAGAUAUUUUGCUACAUUAUAAAGUUGUCACUAUAAUAAUCGUUACUUCUGUAGUAUAUAAAAAAUACAAACAAGAACACAAUUUGGUUUCAUCUUUUAAGGAGGUAGCAAGGAAAUAUGAAAACUCGAUGGAUAAGUGAAAAAAGUUAGAAAUUUUAAAGAGAAGUUGUAAAUCUUCCAUAUUAUAUUUGGAAAAUUUGUUUCAUUAAAAAAGAGAGAGAGAGAGAGAGAAAUUUACGUGAUUUAUUUUUAUUGUUUUGUAUUUUCAUCUAAUUUAUAAAUUUAUAUCACAUCCAUUCUUAAAAAAAUUUUAUAAUUGUAUCAUUACUCUUUCAUUAUACACAUUAUCCUCCAAACACUAUAACUUAUUAUUAUUAUUAUUAUUAGCAACAAGCACAUAAUAUACAAAAACUACAACCACUACCACUGUUGACAAAUCAAGAAUACAUAAAAAUUUUACUGCAAACUAAAAAUCUUGGUUUGGUGUUAAUAAAUAAAUAAUAAUAACUAUUAUAAGAUAUUUUGCCUUGAGCCUUUGAUUAUACAAGGGGGCAACUGGUAAAAUAUGAUUUCUCUUUCUAGGGAAAGUGACAAUCUCCCAUUUCAAAACAACACCAAUAAUAGGCUUUUCCACGUUGAAAGAAUAUAUAUGAAGUUACCUGGUCAUGAUACUUGCUUCCUUCUUGUGUGCUGCUUGUAAUAUAUUAAAGUCUAACUUUGCAAACUUGAGCAAAGUUUCAUCAUGCAAAUCAUCCCUUGAAUAGAUAUCCAAAAAAUACCUUGCCUCUAACCUUGCUGCGGCUUUACGGAGAGGAAUUUGCAGAGAAUGACGUAUUUGUUCAGCAAGAUCAGAGUUUACAUGAGAAUGAUCAGAUACAGAUAUUACUGACUUAAGGUGAGUGGUAGUGAAAACAAUGGCUUCAUCUAAAAUGUCUUCCCCCCGAAUUGCUAGGUAUGCUGCCUCGUACAAACUCGACAUGCCUCGUAUAUCGUUGAUCAAUGAUUCCUUGAAUUUACCUUCGUCAUCUUUGAACUUCUCAAACACAUCUGAUGACCAUAUUCAAAAGAGGCGAGCUAGUCUCGAUUAGUGUACAUGCUUAACUUUAAUUUGAUAAUCAACAAUAAUCUUGUAAUCAACAUAAAUAGUUUAAUUAACAAAAUGAGAAACUAUUACAUACCACAUGAAAUCUUAACUCCUUGCUGUCUAAAAAGUCGAAAACGAAGAGAAACAACGUAUAGAUCAUCACUGUCAAGAUCAUGAGAUACCUUUCCCAAUUCAUCUUCAAUCUCUUUUUCAAAAUGAUAAGCGACACCUAAUCGUUGUGCUGCAUCAAUCAUGUGUAGUUUUUGGGCAAGCUUAUUGGCAGUAGUGGUUAUCAUCCUCCUGACCUCUUGCUUCAGUGCUGCGUGCUGUUCUUGAGUUGCAGCGUCAAUUGUCUGCAAACGCAAGAAAUUACUUAAUAUUUAAUGCAUUACGUAUGUCUAACAAACGAUUACUUAUGACAUAUAAUUGUACAUCGAUUGGGCUUGCCUCUCUGAUAAUUAAUGAGAUAUUUUGAUAUUGCAAUUUUUUAAUUACCUCGACAUCGGCAGUGGAUUUCAGGAAAUGGUUUCCCCAUAAAGUAGGAUGAAAAUCUGCAAUGGGACGAACAGUUUCUUCAGUUGAACUGGAAACUGCUGCUAGAAGUGGAAUAGACAUAUCUUUCAUUCCGUUUCAGACAAACCAAAUACAACUAUAUAUAUAUUUUUUUUAAGAGUUGGAGUUGCAAAAACCUCAAGACACAAAUGCUCUAUAUAUAGAGAGAAACGAUGAGGCAGUGGAACACUUUCGUUGGUACUUUGUCAUGUGCUCAGUAGUGAUCCUACGUUGGGAUCAUUAAAUUUAAUAUUAAAAAAGUCAAUGGAUCUGAUUGGGGGAUGCAGUAUUAAACCAUAUGAUAAAAUACUCUUGGACCGUUAUCUCAACAAAUUAUGGGUGCGUUUGAGAUUAAGGUUAGACAGCUGCAGUUUAAAAGUUACAAUAGUAAAGUAUUUGGUAAACACUAGCUGUUGUAACUUGAAAGUUAUGUUGAUAUGAUUUUUCACUUGUAUAAUAGAGAAUCUAUUAUAUCUUUAAUAAUUUUAUCAAAAUUAUUAUUUAAAAUUUAUAUUUACUACAUAUUAUUAACUUUUGUUUUAUAUUUACAGCUUUUUUUUUAUUGCAGCUGUAGUUUAAAAAGUACAGCACCUCAAUUCCAAACGCAACCUAAGAGACUGCGAUCAUUUUACAUAAAUUUUUAAAUUUAGAAUUUUUUUUAGGUAAUGAUAGAGAGUUAACUCUAACUGUAUCUCUAACUCUAUACAAAAAUAAAUAUAUAAAAGUUGAAAUAGUAAUAAAGUUAUAUUAAAUUUUAUCUUAAUCACAAACUGGCCACAAAAAUUUAUCUUGAUCAGAUUGAGGUGGGGUUCAUUGAUGAUAGCGAUUCAUAUCAUUUUUCAGCUUUCGUAUGCAACUUGCAUAUUGUGAUAUUGUGCGUACAUUAACUAACUACUCAACGUAACGACCGUAAAUUAUUUUGAAAACCUAUCUCUCUUUUAAUUUCACAAUAAUAAUAUUCCAAGAAGGCCAUAAUUAUUUAACUUACAUUUAUUUUAAGAGUAAUGAUAUAGGCACAAACUCUUGUACAAACUUAUUUUGUACAAAUUGAUAUGACAUGAUAAGAUUUGUUGAAUUAAAUAUCACUUGGCCCACAUAAUUUGUGUUUAUUAUUUUAUAUUUUCAUUCAACCAAUGAAUUAAUCUCACGUCAAUUUGUACAAAAUAAGUUUGUACAAGAGUUUGUGGUUGUAUCAUUACUCUUAUUUUAAUUACUCGUACCAAGCAAAAUAUUUCAGUUAUUUUAACUAAAUAAAUAUAUUUUAGUUAUUCUUAAAGCCAAAGUCUAUUUCUGGUUAGUAAAUUAUCCAAACAUUUUAUUGGGGGGUGCUUCUAAUAACUCCAUGAUAUCAUAAAUAUAAAAAUUUACUUUCUGCAGGACUUAUCUCAAAUAAAUUCUCUAAUUCAUUUUGAAGAUGAAACUAAAAAAAAAAAUGAAUCAUUGAGGCUUAAUUAAAAUAUUUUACUUAGAGUUCCAAUGAUAUUUAAGGGAAUAUGAUUUUUAUCAGUGCAUUUAACAAAUUUCACGAUUCUAAUCCUUAAAAUACUUGGACCACCAGGGAUCUUAGAAAAAUAGUAUGUGAACCACAUUUUUAGCUAUUAUCAACAACAGUAAUAUAAUAUAUUUUCUAAUCCCUAGUGUUCCCUUCGUGGGUCUGCUGAUGCUAUCAACAAUAACAAGCAAUUUUUAAUAAAAAUAAUCAUUUUACUAUUCUUUUUAAAUGUACUUCUAUAAUUUUGAGAGAUUGGAAGAUUUGAAUCCUCUACCUAAUGAAUAAGGGAGAGAAGAGUUGUCAACUAACUCAAUUAAGGAGCUCCGUUGGUUAGUUUACUAUUAAAUUUUGGUGUAUUUUAUUUACUAGUGAGAUUAUUUGCACUCUAAAAUGUACUUUGAACACCAUAUUAACUAAAAAAUUAUGGUACUAAAAUAACAUUCAUAUAAUUUAAUAUUAAGGAUAAUUUAGAAAAAUAGUUAAACAUUAUGAAUUUGGACACCUAUCUAACACAUCCAUUAAUCAUACCAUUAUUUAUGCUAACCUUAAUUUCAUCUCUUUUAUUGGGUGCCGAAUUGAAUUUAUUUUGUACUUAGAGAUCAUAAAAGAUUUGUGGCCAAGUUCCAAAAAUAUAUGAAGAUGUUUCUAUUAAUCCUUUUUGUUAUUUUUAAUUUUGUUAAUAUGUUAAUUUAGGUGGUCUUUUGCUUUAAAGUUUAAAGCGUACAAGGCGACGAAGAAGAAAAAUGUUGAAGAUGCUGGCUCGAUCAAUAAGAUGGAAUAUGGAAGAAUUAUUUUGAACAUAUAUCCAAUUAAUUGUGCUUUGUGCAGAAAAUUAAUGAAAAAGGAAUAAGAAAGAAAAAGUUUUGAGUAUACAUGAUCUUGUAGGAUGCCCCAGCAACCAAAGAAAAGUUUGUUAUUGUUGAAAUCCCAUAACACUUCUGUACAAGAAGGACUUGUGUGAGGUGGCCGGUUGGUCCACCGAUGGUCUGUCAUUUGUAGAAUAGUAGGUCCGAAAAUGAAACAAAAGUCGUACUCACUGAAUUAAGUUUACCAUCAAAAAAGAAAACAAUCAGUGACUAAACUGACAUAUGACCUAAUUGAAUUUAAUGGAUCUUAAAAUACAAUGAAUCACGGAAUAAAACACUACUGAAGUGACUGAAAUGAUUUAUGACCUUAUUUAGCACGCUAACAUAUGCAAAUUCUGUUCUACAAAUCAAGAUUAUAGAUAGCACAUCCCAUAUUACAACUCAUAUUUAAUUAUAUUAGUAUAUUAAUAUUUUUAAUCAGAUAAUUAUUGACACUAAUUUAUAAAUUUUAUAUAGCAUAAUCUGGGUACUGGGGACUAAUUUAUAAAUCUACAAUUUACAAAUUUUAUAUAACACAGCCCGGGUCAUGUUUCUAUUUAAAUAGGCUUUACAGUUAACAGAAUAUUAAAAUUAUUUUACAUAAUAUUCAAAAUAAUUUUAGUUUUAAAUUUAUUUACUUUAAUAUCAUGUUUCUAUUUAUUAUUAAAAUUACUUUAUUAUAAUAAAAUAGGUAUAAUAGAUUGUAAAAUAUUUUAAAAUUUUAAAAUUAUUUUUCUUCUCAAAAAAUUAUUUUAAAAUGUAUAUAUUAUUACAUUUAUUUUAAUGUCAUAUUUUUAUUUAUUAUAAAAUUUUGAGGUCAUUUUUUUUUAGUUCAUAGAGUUAAAAAGGUAUUAUGAUAAAAAAAAGGUCUUAAUGACUCUUAUUAAAAAUUUAGGAGUUUUUAUAACCAUUUCUCCAAAUCUUGAAAGUAUAGAUAUCUUUAUUCCUUUAAUUUAUUUAUUACUUUAAUAAAAUAUAAAAUUCUUCUAUUGUAAAAUCAUUUUAUAUUUGCAUUAGCACGCACGUGGGGCAUAAAACUAGCGUUGCAACUUUAUUCUACGUAAAUUAAGUUAAGAUGAUCUCAAACCAUGCUGGCCAAAAAAAAAAAAAAAAAAAAGAGGAGGUAUACGACUUGCUUAUGUAGUCAUGAUGGCAGAAAAAUCCCAUCUGUUACAGGAUCUGGGAAUCUUGACUAGGGAUGAUAAAUAUCUAAUUAUGGAUGGACAAUAUCUAUCAAAAUAUAAAUUUAUAAUUAUUUAUGAUGAAUAUAUUUAUAUUCAUAUUCAAUAUUUAAUAGUGGACAUGAAUAUGAAUUUUAUCCAUAUAGAUAUGGAUAUCUAUGGAUAUUUAAUUUUUAUUAUAUAAAAAAUAAUAAAAAAUAAAAUAAAAAUAAUAAUAUAGAAUAGUUAAAACCAUAUUAGAUGGACUAAUACUAAAAGCAAAAACAACAACUCACUCGCCGUAAGAAAUUGAUUAAUUUACUUUCUUUACUUUCACCACUUUGUUUUCAGUUUUUAAUUAAUUAAUUUCAUUUCGUUUUCUCCGUAUUCAUCUCCAGUUGCGUUUUGUUCUACAUCAAUGGAAAGAAUUUCAGUUUCAGCUUAGCUUACGACUAUUUUCGUUUAUUGAUCAGUCCAAAGUCAAGAUUUUUGAGAGAGUCAACCAGGGACAAGAAGGAAAAAAAUAAAGGAAAAAAGAAACCAUGGUUGUUGUUGAAUCAGCGAGUCAAGAUUCAGUUGUAUCGUCAGCGGGAUCGAUAUCGGCAUCAAACGGUCAGGAUCAUCCGAAGCAAAACGGAGGAACGAUGGUGAUGUCGCUCGAUCAGGGAUUGUACAACCAGAACAAUCAACGAUCCAACGGCGGAGGGGAUUUCAAGCGUGACAUGAGGGAGUUACAGGAGCUGUACUCGAAGCUGAAUCCGAUGGCUGAAGAGUUUGUGCCUCCUUCGCUUGCUAAAACUAACAACAAUAAUUUAGUAAAUUUGUUUUUGUUUUUUUCAUAUAAAUUAAUUAGAUUUUGGAUUUCCAUUAAAUAUCUAUACCCAUCUAAUAUCUAAUUAAAUAUUUUUAAAAUUAUCCAUAUCCACAUUCAAAAAUAUUUUAGAUGGAUAUUAUCCAAUUCAAUUAGAUUAAAUGUAUGGAUAUACAAUUUAAAUAGACCAAUUUAUCAUCCUUAAAUCCAACCAAAUUGGGACACUUUUUAGGUGUGGAAUCAGUUUAAAAUUUGAUUGGACCAGAAAGGGCCUAGGAUUAAACCCGAGAUUUAGAUUGGGUUGGCUUUGCUGCUUGUCAUGGCUCUAAAACCCAACCCAAAGUGCUUCUGGCUUUUAUCUAACGGUGUUAAAAAAUUCGGGGAUGUCAAUUCUUGCCAUUUCAUUAUACUCAAAGCAAGGAUCCACAAAAUAUACUGUUUAUGAGCCAUUUCAACAUUUCUUUGCUGUAGUUUCUAAAAAAAUUUCAUAAAUUACAUCAACAUAUACAUGUAUGACUCAAAUUAUAAUCCCAUGUAUGACUCAAAUUAUAAUCCCAUUUCAGGACAUUUUUAUAGAAUGUGCCCUAUCAAAAUAGCUUAAACACCCAAGAGUAAUGGAAAAGGUGGAAGUAGAGGCAAGGAAAGACUUUCAAAAGGAAAGAAUUGUUGAGGAAGCAUGCCGACAUGACUUACAACACUUAAAGAUAGUUGUUUGGGGGAAUAAAACAGGGUAACCAUGAUCUCCUAAAAUAAAAAGUGAGUAAAUGGUUGAUAGACUAAUAAAAAGUAAUUCUUGUGACCCUGAGUAGACCAUAUCGACCAGGUGGUAAUCUUGAGACUACGAGCAGACCACUUCGACCAGGUGGUAAUUCUUAAGACCAUGAGCAUACCACCUCGACCAGGUAGUAAUCUUGAGAUUAUGAGGAGACCACCUCGAUCAGGUGGUAAUCUUGAGACUACGAGCAGACCACUUCGACCAGGUGGUAAUUCUUAAGACCAUGAGCAUACCACCUCGAGCAGGUGGUAAUCUUGAGAUUAUGAGUAGACCACCUCAACCAGGUGGUAAUCUUGAGAUUACGAGCAGACCACCUCGACUAGGUGGUAAGCUUGAGACCAUGAGCAGUCACCUCGACCAAGGGGUAAAUCUUGUGGCCUUGGGCAAGCUAUCUCGACCAUGUGGCAAUUUUGGUGACCUCAAGCAAACGGGUUUGAGGAGACAUUAGACCAAGUCACCAGGAAGCAUGACUCAAUCAAAAUAACCGCCACAGAUCACCUCCAAAAAAUCAGGGUAUGAAUUUAAUUCAUUAAUUGCCACGAUCUAAGGUCGUGGGUGUGGAGUGUUUAUAAAAACCCAAAGAAAAUCAUGGUAAUGGAGGUUGAACUUUCUUUCUCAAUUUUGAUUUUUCUAUUACAUUUACUUAAGAUUAUUUUCUUCACAAAAACUAUAAAUUAAAUAUUUUGUUUUUCCCGUAAACCUAUAAACUGACUUGAGCAUCGGAGAGUUUUCGACGAAAAAACUUCAGCACCCCUGACCAUUCUCUGUAAUUCAGGUACUUGCUGAUUCGCAGCUUGAAGAUUAUCUGCUCAUGAAUAUUCUGUUAAUAGUCGGAGGAUCUUCUUGGAAAUCAACCAGCAGCUUCCCACCAAACAAAUUUAAUGCUGAUGCAGGGAUCUGAGAUCGAGUCACUAGCGGACUCAAUGGAUUUUGGCAUCAACAAUUGUCAAAGUUAUCAUGAUAGAUAUUUUCUAAUGCAUCUUCUAUCUCCUGUUCGAAGUGAUAGGCCACACCCAAUCGUUGGACUACAUCAUUCAAUUGUAACUUCUGGGCAGGCUUAUCUACCGUAGCUGUUAUUAGGCUCCUGACUUGUAUUCCUCUUGAUUUGAAGUAUCACUUAUCUGCAAUCCGCGCAUGUACAAAAGUCUUAAUUCAUAUUUAUGAGUCUAUAUGCUAGUUAAUUAAAAAUGAUCAUUUGUACACGUAUUAAUUAAAAAUUCACAAAAAGGACAAAUAUUUUUAUCAUUAUUUCAUCAUAUUUUGUUCUCUUUUAUCUUCUUUUUUUUAAUAAAAAUAAUCGGUUUAUUUUUUUUUAAUUAUACAUCCAUAAUUAUGGGAUAUUCGAAUCUUUUGCUUUAUGAGUAAGGGAAGGGAAGAGGUGAUGUAGGAUUGUUGUGUAUUAAAAGCAGAGUAUUUUCUAGAGGCCAUGACUUGUACUACAAAUGUCCGUUUUUAGCGUAUAAUGUACUGUUUUAAAACUUACGAUAAGAUGAACCAACCCAUAAGAACUUGCUUAGUUCUACCUUAUGGUCGAGUUAAAAAUUCUACUUCUUUCCUCGUCACUUUUCAAUUUUAAAAUGUUUUUUUUUUCUAGGAUUUUUAUCUUUUUUUUUCUAGAAUUUAGAUUUGAACACUGUUUUUCUUUUCUUAUUUAGAUUAAGAGAAUUUUAUUAUAACAUAAUAUUUCAAAUUUACAUAUUUUGAUAAAUUCACAAUAUUUAGGGUUAUUAUAUAGUGGGGCCAAAACCCUAGAUUUGUCAACCCGAUUAUUUAGGAAUUUUGUUUCAAUUAUCUUCAACCAACCUUACAAUUUCAUUUCGUAAAGAGGUGUCAACUUGCUUAGCUAAGGAGUUGUGUUGGCCAGUUUACUAUUGAACGUUCAUUUAUUUUAUUUAUAAGUGGGACUACUUGCACCUUAAAAUAUGCUUUUAACACCAUAUUUUACUAAAAAAAUUAUAAUACUAAAAUAACCUUCAUGUAAUUUAUUAUUCACGACAAUUUAAUAAAAAUAGUUAAACUAUUAUUCCGUUGGACACCUAUCCACACAUCCAUUAAUGAUGUCAUUAUUUAUGCUAACCUUAAUUUUUCUCAACUCUUCAGUACGAAAUUAUAUUUUAGUUAGAUAUCAUAAAAGAUUUGUGGGCAAGCUCAUAACAUGUAUGUGGUUGCCCAAUGCCGUUUAGUCUUUGUCCUAACUCUUUUAGAGCCCCUUUAUAUUUUUUUAAAAAAAAAAUUGUGGGCAAGUUCCAAAAACAUAUUAAGAUGUUUGUAUUAAUCCUUUUCGUUAUUUUUCAUUUUUUGAAAUAUGUUAAUUUAUGUGCAUCUUUUGCUUUCAACUUUUAAAGUAUAUAAGGUGAGAAGGGAAAUAUUGAAGAUGCUGGUUCGAUGAAUAAAACGGAACAUGGGAGAAUUAUUUUAAACAUACGUGCUUUGUGCAGAAAAUCAAUGAAAAAGGAACAAGGAAAUAAAAAGUUUUGAGUAUACAUGAAAUCUCACAGCAUUUCUGCAUAAGGAGGACUUGUGUGAGUUGUAAAAUGGAAUUAUAGUGGCAGAAAACUGAGUUGUAAAAUGGAAUUAAAGUGGGACUCUUUUACAAUUUUCAUAAUACUCUUUUACUCUUACGACGUUAAGACUUUCACAAAAAACUCAUUGCAAUAAUUAAAUAACAUUCUUUUUUUUCUUUUUUAAGUUUAAUGUCGAAAGAGUAAUGAGGUGCCUUCAGGGACAAUGAAAUCAUAAGUAGAUUUAACUUCAACAGAGUUCCUAAACGAACUUUUUUUUUUUUUUGUGGCGAGCAAUUAGGUAGUUAGUUUAUUUGAAUUAAAAAUAAAAUAAAUUCCGAAGAAUGAAUUUUUCUUUGAUAAUAUUAAAUUUCACUGUAGAAAAAAAUUGCAUGGAUAAUUAUUUUACCGAUACGGCAGAUUUUAUUUUAUUUUGAUUGAAAACUGCAAUGCCAUGAACAGUUUCUUCAACUGGAGCUGGAGUAGACAACUUCCUUAAUUAAUUGAAUCUGUAGUGAAUCAAGAGGGAGGAUGAUUUUAAAAGAUUAGAAAAGGAAUUCUGUUUUGUCUUUGCUUGGCAAUUCCUCCGUGGGGACAUUGAAAAAAUGUUAGUACAUAACACGUUGCAGAAACAUCAAGACACUUCUACCAAGUUAAGCGGCCUAUUCAUUCUUAGUCAGAGCCUCCUUUGAAAAUUAAAGAAAAGUUGUCGGGGGCAUAUUUUUCACGUUAACUAAGAGAUAUUUGUGAGAACUUGUACUUAUUUUAAAAAUUUGUGAGAUAUUUGUGGGACAUCUGCAUUCUAGAAUAAUGUUGUGUUUAUUUGUUGGAGUGGGAGUGAGGAGUGUGGAUUUCUCCCAUUCCAGCGUUUACUUUCUCUAAAUAGGAAGGGAGUGGGAAUCCCACUCCGUGGGUCCCACCUAUUUUUGGAGUAGAGAGUGGGAGUGGGACUCCCAUUGGGGGAGAUGGGAGUGGGAAUCCACUCCCACUUCUCCCUUUUUUACCCUUUUAUUUUUUUAAUUUAAUUUAAUUUAAUAUUUUAUAAUUAAUAAAAUAAAAUAAAUAUUAUUAUAUUUAUUUGAAUAAUAAUAUUAUAUUUAACUAAAUAAUAAUUUGCAUUGAUUCUAAGUUAAAAUUAUUUUAAAAUAAUAUUAUUAUAUUAAUAGAGAAUUAAUAAAUAUAAUAUUAUUAUAUUUAUUUUAAAAAUAAUAGUACUAUAUUUAUUUAAUAUUAAUAAUAAUAAAUAGUUUAUUCUAAGAAAAUAUUAAUUUUAGAAUAAACUAUUAAUUUUGUACUAAAUAAUAUUAUAUUAUUAUUUUAUAUAAUAAUAAAUUUAAUAUAAUUAUAUUAAAUAAAAUAAAAUAAGGUUUCAUUUUGUAUUAAAAUUAAUAAUUUAUUGUUCAUAAUUAAGAAUAUUAAUAAUUAUAAUAAAUUUACAAAUAUAAUAAAAUAAAUAUUAUUCAUUAAAUAUAUUUUUUAUUAGUUUUGUAAUUAAAAACUAUAAUUCUUUAAAUAAGGAUAAAAUUAUAAUUUGAAACUAUUUACUCCCAAUCCAAGACAAAGUAAACAAAUAAAUUGGAUUCUAAUCUCUAUUCCAUGCUUCCAUUCCAGUGUAAGUAAACAACUUACUCCCACUCCCACUCCACACUCUCAAUCCUAGGAUUCCCACUGCUCAGGAUUCCCAAUCCAAUCCAAAAAGUAAACGCUACCUAAUUGUACACACACAGAGACAAGCACGUACAUCAUUCUAAGUCAGCCGCCUUUGAAAAUUAAUAAAAGUUGUCUCCCGGCAUAUUUUUCACAUUAUCUAUGAGAUAUUUGUGAAAAUUUGUACUCAACUUAUGCAGACAUCUGCACCUGUCAAUAAUUAUAUAUAGGAAAAGAAACUUUUACGAUCUUAAAAUUUUGAGAAAUAGUUAAAUUUUUAAUAAUUAAAAGAUACUAAAAUUUUCUUUUUCAGCUAGAGAUGUCUAAUUAUAUUAAAAUUAAUAUAAUGUGUUUUAUUUUAUAAUAUAUUAAAAUUUAUGUUUAUUUAUUUUAUAAUAAGAAAAUCUCUUUUUUUAAUAAAGUAAGGGAAAAUUUAAAAAAUAAUAAAGCACACAAUCCAUACAAUAUAUAGAAUCAUUUAAUAUAUUAAAAUAUAUAUAUUUCAUUCUCUGGUGCGACUAUCUUUUUUUUUAUACGAACAUGCUCUUAAAUUAUGAUGUUCAAAAAAAUUAAUUUUUAACUUUUUAAAAUUAUAUAGUUUUAUAUUUUAUUUAAAAAUAAUUUUUUUAAACCGUAUGAUUUAAAAAUAAAUUUACAUUUAAAAAAAAAUGGUGUGUGUAUGUUCGUGUGGGCACUUGGGCGCGGGGCAUAAAACUAGUGUUGCAAUUUCAUUCCACUUAAAUUAAGGUGAGCCAGCUGCUAUAGGGCUCGGGGAUCUGACUGAAUUGGGUCCGGUUUCAGUGCCAAAUCUGCUUAAAAUUUGAUUGGACUCAGUAGGGCCUAAAAUCAAGGCCCAUAUCUAGAUUGGGUUGGUUUUGGGGAUUGUCAUGGCCCCGGAACCCAACCCAAAGUGCUUCUGGUUUUUACUAAUGGUGUUGAAAAUUCGUUGCGAAUUCUUGCCAUUUCAUUUUACUCAAAGCAAAUAUCCACAAAAAUAUACUGUUUUUGAGCCAUUUCAACAUUUCUUUGCAGUAGUUUCUUAAAAAUUUAAUAAAAUUACAUCAAUAUAUACAUAUAUGAAUGCUUAGCCCCAAGAAUGAGUAAUAGAAAAUGGGCUAUGUCAAGAAUGCUUAACCCCAAUGAGUAAUAGAAAGGCACAAAGAAAAGAAAUAUUGAUGAAGCAUGCCUUCAUGAAUUGCAAUACUUAAAGCUAGUCAUCAAAGAAACUCCGAGGUUACAUCUUCCUGCUACAUUGCUACUCCCAAGCGAAUGUAGAGAGGCUUGUAAAAUUUAGGAAUAUAAUUCCAGUGUUGGUUGUGCCUUAAAAAGAUGGGUCAUGCUUGUAAAAUUCAGGAAUUUGAUUCCAGAGUCAUGGUUACAAUAGAAAUCAUUUUGAAUUAAUCCCAUUUGGAGCUCGAAGAGGAUGUGCCCAGGUCUGUCUUUCGGUUAUCUUCCUCUUGCUAAAUGCUCUACCACUUUCGAUUGGAAACUCCAUGAUGGAAAAAAUAACGAAGAUCUUGUUCUGACUGAGGCUUUCGGUGUCACUCUAAGAACGAAAGGCGAUCUGUUUUUAAGCCCUUACUCUAGAUUAUGAAAUGCUCCAUCAAAGGCAUCUCAUAAAAUUUUUUUAUAAAAAAAGGUCACCGUCACCUAUUUCGUGUUGAUCAAAGCGCAGAUCGAAUUCUCGUGGACCGUCCAAGAUCUAUUUUCUCUACACACCCAUUUUUUUAGAAUUGGUUUCCCAUUCCUUAUAAUUCUAUUGAUGAAAAAUAACGAUGUAUGACAAUUUAUCAGCACUUUUAAUUAUUUUAAUUUUCCCAGUUUAGCAGUUGUUAUAAUUGAUAAGUCCUGCUGUUGUUCUGUCUGAUUGCUGUGUUCUAUUUCCUCAUUGGGUAUACCAAUUAGGCAAUUACCCUUCUAGGGGAAUGUAAUAAGUCUUAUCUUGUCAUAAUAAUCAUAGUAUAUCAGACUAAAAACACCUCAUGUGACGAGGCAAAACGAUAGCACGGAAAGUCAUUUGUAUUAUGAGUUAGGAACCGUUUAAUUGGAUCGGCAUGCAAAUCAAUCCCACCAAGUGAACAAAAACACAUGCCAAUCCGAGAUUAGCUAUACAAUCUGCAUCACCAUUAACCUCUCUGCAAGCAUGAGAAAUAUAAAAGUGCAUUUGCUUCACCAAUUAAAGACUACUAAUCCUUUAAAAAGAGAGUUAUGAAAAGAUAAAUAUUGUUUUAAUUAACAGACAUGAUGAAAGCAUUUAUUCUUUCAAAUAAUCUACAAUAUUAUUCCAUUUGAUUGUAACUUUCUUUCUAAUAAUUAAUCAUAGGAUUUCCAAAGAUUAUUUUCGAAAGGGAUUGAAUAUUGUUAUUAUUAUUAUUAUUAUUUUGAGAAGAUAAUAGAAGAAAACUACAAUCAAGUUCAGAAAGAUUCAAGAUCACUGAAUAUUGUUAUCUAAACUGAACUUGUUUGUAUGAAGUGUAAACUACAUUUCCACCCAUCUUUUGUAAUAAUACGUUAUAAAUAACCACUAUCCUGCAACAAAAUUUCCACAUGAUGCGUUAUGAUACAAUCCAAGCAAUUCCAUGAGGUGUAAUAUGAAAUAAUGGAGAAGAUCUUGGCUCUUAAUUGACUUAAUUGAGAAGCUUCUUCAUUUUGGCUGGUAAUUUACAUGAUCCCUGAUCAUAUCCUCAUGAGAUCCUCAUGAUUUCUAAUAGUCUCUUUACGAAUUAAUCAUAUAUGUAUGAAGAACUCACCGACGCACAAACAAGGACUGAAUUAGGAUUUUGGUUUGGGGUUGCCGUAAUGCAUAUAAAAAUUAUUGCAGUAAAAUAAAAUAAAUGCUUUUCAAGUCUUAAACUAACGAAAAUACAUUAUAAUAUGUAUUACACCAUCUAAUUCAAUUAUAUAUAAAAAAUGAACUUAUACCUAAAAUUAAUAAAUUAACUAUUAAUGCACAAAUCUUAAUACUAAAGUAAAAGAGAUAUUUCGUAAAUUAACACAUAAUAAAUUAUACUUAAAAAUAUAAAUUGAAAGUUCAUAAUAGAAGAUUUCAUAUUAAAUAAUAUGAAUUUAAAGAGGUCAAUACAAAUAAUUUAAACUUGAAAAGAAAAGAAGGUGACGAAAGCAAACAGCCAAAGCAAACUUGAAUCUUGACCAAGUAAACCUCGGAUCCUAGGCAGGAAAGAAUUUGAGAAAUUAAGAAGAAAGUUGAAUUGUACAUGCGGACUAAAAUGAUGAAUUCAAAACUUGAAGCAUUUAUACGGGAUCGUUUUGCUUAUUAAUUAUGUUUUCGAUUUGUCACGCGCUGGUCAUGCGGCUUACUUAAACAUUAAAACGGCAACACGGGAUGACGUUUUAAGCAACGCUUAGGUGACGCACUUGAGAAUGCAUGUUUAAAAGAGAAUCAAGUUAGGGGUAAAGCCGUUAUCCAUACGACUGAAUCCUGGGCAAUCCGGGUUUGUUAUCAGCUGUUAUAUAAGCUGAUUGUUGAGGCAGUUUCAGCAAGAAUUAGAGAGCUUUCUAGAGAGAAUUAGUUUGAUUGUUAUUUUUGAUCAAAUUCUUGUGUUUUGGUCUUAGUAUUGUUGUUGCUAAGUUCUUAAACAAUCAAUGUAUAAUCAUUUGUUCAUAAUCAUGGGCGGUGUUUGAUAGCAUGGAGAAUUUAAGGCUGUACAGAAUUCCUUCCUCAUCUUCAUCCGUCCACAUGAUUGGCACUUGCCUGACCCUUGCUCGUUUGGCUGCUGGGGUGUUGAAGAGUACCUCUUUGCUGGUCAUGGCGUAUCUAGCAUAAUUCUUCCUCGACCUGUUGGAAUCUCCGGCCAAUGUUGGGCCCCCAGCUAUCACCCUUACUGCAGGCUGCUCGUGCCUCAAGUUCCUGUCACUCUGCUUCAUUUCACUUGUUAAGGCUACCAUUGCGAAGGUCCCGUCUAUAAACUCGUCCAGAUACCGAUUUCUCACCAAAUCUUCAACCUGGGUCUUGAGAUCUCUGCAAUCUCCUGUGGUAUGGCCAUGAGUGCCAUGGAACUUACAAUAGCAUCCCUUAUCCCUCCUGCUGGGUAGCUUUGUUAUUGGGGCAGGGAGGUAUAGCAACCCUCGAUCCUUUAUGGCCUCGUACACCUCGUCCAGAGACAUCUUCAAGGAAGUAUACCGCCUAUAGUCAUGGUUCUGGUCGAUCAGGUGCACUGCUCUUUCUCUAUUUGCUCCGUUCUGAGUUGGAGACGGUGGCAGUACUUCUGGUCUGCUCCCUCUGCUACCGUGGGAGUGUUGAUGAAGACCACCAUAUGCUGAGUCAUGCCUUCUCCAAGGCUCCCUAACUGGGGAACGAGGAGGUUGCGCCCUACUGCGCUGAUACUGUGGUGGCCUCUGAUGAGGCUGGUAAGUAGUUAUCCGACCUCCUGCUCCACUACCUGAGGCCUGGUGGUCCCUCCUCCUGAUCGGCCCAUUCCCUGGUAAUACUUUCUUCUCUUUCUUCCCCAACCCUUCUAACUGGUCUGUCUUAAUCCGUGCUGCCUUUUCCUCUUCAAUCUCAAUGUCUCUCUUAGCCUGCUUAUAUGCGGCCGCAUACGUCUGAAUAACUGGGCUUCUCAAGUUGUACCACAGCCUUUCUAUCUUCACCCCUUCUUUCAAUCCCCUUAAUGCCUGAGGGUGGUUGAAGGCUCCCAAGUCGAGGACAGCACGAUGAAACCUCUUGAUGAAUUCCCGAAGGGUUUCUUGCUCCCCCUGUUUCAUGCUUUUCAGCUCCGUCAUGUCAUCUUCUGGUGCCAUUGCCCCACUAAACUGCUCUGCAAAUUCCUGGCACAUCUGCUCGAAGGUUUUAAUGCUCCCCCGAGGAAGUUUCCUGUACCACUCGCGUGCACGUCCCUCAAAGGAGAGUGGGAACACUCUUCACCUUUAGGAUUGAGAUAAUCCUUGCACCCCGGUAAUGUCGUUGAAGCGCUCUAUGUGCACCAACGGAUCAGUUUGUCCCGAAUAUCUAAGGUCUGGGAGGCGAAAAUCUCUUGGAAUGAUUGCCCUCAUGAUCUCUGCUGCGAGCGGUGAUUCUCCGUCCAACAUUAUCUUCCAACCAGGAGUUCUGCUCCUUCCUUGCAUGUUAUCGAUUACCUGCGCUAGUCUGCGCACUUCCUCCUCCAGCUGCACUACACGACCAGGGUCACGUGCUGCAACUUGAUCCCGCUUUUGCUCUACAUCAUGUAAGUGUUGUCUGAGCUCUGUUUCCUCUGCAUUCGCUACCCCGUCGUCCUCAUCAAAAGUCUGUCUCGCUGGGGAUUGCUCUUCCUCCCUCUGAAUUUCUCCCCGCAGAGGUAUGUUACCUCUCUCACCCCCAAAUCUCCCGGUGGUUUGACUUCUCCUCAUACUAUCAGGACCUGGUGCCACUCCACCACCUCUCACCCUUUCCUCCUGGGUUACUCUUCGUUCACUCCGCAGCUCAUGGAGGAUGGUUGUCAGGGUCUCCAUUUGCUUUUCCAUCCGUUCCAUCCGGUCGAACAUGGCUGUUUCCCGUGCUUCACUGGCUAUCUCCCUCAGCGUCACGGAAUCAUUAAGCCUCAUAUCACCCCCUUGUGCACUACUUCCUCCUGUCUCCAUCGCUUUUCACUUGCUUCACUCCUCUUCUUGCUAUCAACAGAAGCUUUUUGCUCAGCUCCCCACAGACGGCGCCAAAAUGUUGAUGCGAGAUUCUAGUUGUCCUCUCUCUACGACCAGGGUCUCUGCUCGAUCAACUUCAUCACGAUCAGGAUCUCUCCUCGUAAAACUUCUCCUCCAGAGGUUUUUGCGUACACAAACAGGUCAGAGUACGCCGGUUGUUUCCCCGGCGCAAACCCUCCGACGCUCAAGUCAGAUAUGAAGGUUCGGGGAAUGUUCGCCAUGAAUCUUUUGGCUUCUCUUUAGUCUCAGUUCUUAAAGCUCUCUUUUGUUUGUUCUAAUAGCAAAAAUUCUAACCCUUUUACCUUCGUUGGCUACCUUUUUAUAGGCUUCCUCUGAAUCCCGAUCUUCCGUAGUCCACGUUCGUUAUUCUCCGCACCCUCGGAUGUGGAUGCCCCACUAUCGCCAUUGUGGGCGAAUGGAGAUGGACUUCGUGCCUUGAUUCUCGGAUAGGAAUGCACGUCUUGACAACUGUCGUUGACCGGGUCUCCUCCCCUCUCGACCUCUAGCCGGAAUGGCCUUAUGCCUCUAACAGGAGUUCGACCUUGUGAAUGGCAUAUUCGCGGAUGAGCAGAAUAUUUCUGCUCCUGUUCCCCUGCUACCUGGCUCUUACAGGACACACCUGUUCGCAGAACCCUGCCAUCAAAUAUCUGCUCAUCAUGUCUGGUCUUGUCGAAGUAUUUCCCUCAAACAGUGACGAAUAGUUUCUUCGAAUGGAAUUAGAAUAGACAACUUCCUUACAGAGAAAUCAAGUAGAACUUAGUUAAUUAAUCUGAACUGAAUCAAUGGGGAGGAUUAUUUUAGAAAGAUAAAAGUUCAUAAAUAACAGGUGGCAUAAACUUUACGAUACUUCUACCGAAGUACCAAGUCGAGCAGCCUCUUCAUUCUAAUCAACUGCCUUUGAAAAUUAAGAAAAAUUAUCUUGGGCAUAUUUUUCACGUUAUCUUAGAGAUAUUUGUGAAAAUUUGUACUUAUUUUAAAAUUUUGUGUGUACUUGUGCAUCUAAAAAUAAUGAUUACAUAUUUAUAUGUGUGUAUGUGAAAUAAUUUUUUAAUUAGAAAACGUGACUAUAUUAUAGUAAGAAAUAAGUUAAAAAAAAUACAAAUUUUAAGCGAAGAUCAACAACAGGUUACAUAUUCAGAUUAGGUGGAGGUCGAUUCUUCAGCCUUGCAUAGCAAGUCUGCCACACUCCUCGACCGUAGGUUGCACUUCUCGUGCUGUCUCCUCUACCUUUCUGAGCCACACCCUGACUCAUGUAUUGCGACACUUUCCUUCACUUUCAGCUAAUCUGAUAUCUUCUUCAAUUUCAUUUUUCCUUUCUGUGAGUUCUUCUAGUUACUUAAAUUCAUUAAGAAUUGCUUAUUGAUGCAAGCAGAGCAUAAACCAGAGGCACUUCCAUUAAUAUUAAUAACUCGAAUGAAUAAAAGUUUACAAGCAUUGGCUUAUUUAUACACAAGCUAUGAAAAACGACAGCUAGCUAAAGGACAACACUUGGAAAUAAGCAAAAAAAUUGAUCCGUCAAUAUAGCUAUCAUUAACCAAUGAUGUAGAGCUUCUAGAAUCUCCAUCCUUCCAUGCUCAUGUGCUGAUAUUCCUCAGCCACCUCAUUAAAUCCAUCUCAUUUCUCUCAUUAGCUGGCUGCAGAUAGGUGUAGCUUAGGUGGCAUGCCAACGUGUCUCUGAGCUCAACUGUUGACUGUCCACUGCUGCUGCUUUCAACAUAGUUCUUUCUGAAGAGCUUUCAUGUUACCAUGGAGUUUUCUAAUGACGGCAAUUUUCGAGCAGAAGAAGAUGGUAACGAACUCACCAACUUCAAUAAAAAUUGCAUCCAGGGUUUCCAUGGCCGGCAAGUUCAAGAGAUCCACAGGUAGUGUUUUCAUAGCUAACAUGCUGACAAAACAAAAGCAGAUAAAUGAGAAAUCUGACAAGCAACAAGAACAAGAUCUGUCAAACAUGUUUUGUCAUUAAUAAGACAAUAGUCUAAUCGAGGAAGUUGCCAUCGAUAUUCUUAUAUCAUUAUCUCUCUGAUUGGUUUUUGUCUACCGUGCAAUGCAUAGAAACUUUAACAAACCCAUCGAACUUGGAGCAACCAAAAUCUUCUGGGAACUCCAAGAAUUGGUGGUGCUAUGACAAUUUAAAUCAAUAAUACAUGAGUCAAAGCCAUAGUUCUUCCAGAUUGACUGAGAAUGUAAAUUAGGUUAAAUAGGGUUGCGCGACCCUCAAUUCUUGAGGUGGCUCUAAUCCGAUUAAUGGAAAAAAGAAAUUUAAUUCUUUUUUUUUAGUUGUCAGACAUUUCUAUUAAACUUUUAAUUAGCUGAUAUUCGCAAUUUUUUUUAUUGGAUUAUUUGCUUACAUAUUACAAGGUCAGAGGGCAUGGUUCAUCUUGAUCUAAUUUUUUUGAAGCAUCUAAAGUUAUUGUGACGCAUGGCAUUUAAAUCAUUCUAAAAGCAAGAAUUAUUAUCUGUAAAUUUCUUUUAAUCAUGCACCAACAAAUUAAUAUAUAAUAAUAAGGUCAAAAAACGGCCUCCUCUAAAUGUGAAAAUAAAAUACUUUGUAGGUGGCAAACUCGCACCAAUAAAUUAAUGUAUAAACAGACAAUGAAUAUUAUUUAGAUUGGGGGAAAAGUUUCAUCCUUGAAAGAUCCAUUUUUAAUUAUUUACAUUCCAACUAGAUUUGUAAUUACUUGUUUCCUCCCUAUAGAUAAAGGGUAAUAAAAAACCUAAUAUUUUUUCAUUUACUAUUAUACGCUUCUUGAUACAUUUUUAUGAAAUUAUUGUUAAUUUAACGAUAAAAUAAAAAAAAUAAAGAAUAACUAAAACAAAUAAUUAAGUAAUUAAUUUUAAUUAAUAAAUAAAAUAUAAGAAAUGUCAUAAAUUGAUAAUUUUUUAAAUUUAAUCUUUUAAAUUGAGAUUGCUAAUUCUAUGGUUAUAUGACUAAAAUUCAAUUGGGAGAUUGCCAAUUUUUCCAUAUUGAAAUUAAUAUAUACCACUCACCCGUUAUUAUCUUCAUAAUAGUCAAUAACCCGCCGGCACUAUAAUUUUACAAUAUUACCUUUACUUUGAAAUACACUUUUAUUCAUAUUUAUUAAAAAUUAAAUAAAUGAAAUAAAUAGAAAUUUAAAUAACAAAUUUAAAUAUUAAAAAUACUAUAUAUAUACACACACACAUAUAUAUGUUUUGAUGUGAAUAAAAAAUUAAUAAUAAGAUAUUUUCUUGUGCUUUUUUUUAUUUUAAAUUCUAUAUUUAUUAUAAGAAAAUGUUUAUAAAAUAAUAAAGAAAUUAGAAGAAAAAUAUUUUAUUAUUAAUUUUUUAACUAAAAGGACCACAAUUUGGAACCACAUUAUUUGGCGAUCCAUUUUCUAGCUAGGCAUGAGUAGCUAGCAAAAUAGCCAGCACGACGUUCAUUUAUUACAACUGCUCAAAUAUACCCGAUGGAAAAUCAAUAGCAUGACGUUAAUCUUCAGAUCGCAAGGGGUUCCGUCAGCAACAAGGCAACUUGGCGUUUCAUCAUCAAUGAAUGGGUGUAGCGAUCAUGACCAUCGUCGUAGAUAAAAUGGCCUGAACGUGCGAAAUAAAGAAUCCGCUGAAGCAUAGGUAACGGGACAGUCGUUGGGUUGAGAAGCUCCUCAUUUAUAUCUUUCCAACUAUCAGCAACUUCUAACAACAACUCUUUAACUGCCUCUUCCUCGGAGACGCCAUGUUGAUUCUUGUAGCACUCAACUGCUGUGGGAUUAUGUCCUCUCUUCUGCUCAAACUACAUCACGGAUGCAUAUGAAUUGGUUAUAAGCGAACCAAAAAAAAAAAAUCAUCAGUUAGCUAAUUUUUUUUUUUUGUUUUUUUCCUUGGGCAUAUAUGUUAUGUUAUGUUAUGUGUUAAAGAGAGUUGAAAAGAAAUGCAGCCGCAAGGCCGAAUGGUUUUCAACAACCUUUAUUUUAUUGACAAUUUCUAAGUUUGAAUCUUGAGAAGCUAGGUGUUGGAAAAAUUGAUGUGGGCUUCACCCACAUCUCUACCUUUAAAAUAGAUGAAGAAAUUGUAUACUAUGGUGCACGCCUUAAGAUACGUUACAAAAUUUCUCUUCGAGAUUAGUGGUGAAUAUAGUCUUAUUGAAAUGAAUUAUAAUGUAGAAUGAAGAAUAUUAUUUACCUUAUAACCUGCUAUGUCAUCCAUGAGCCUGACAAUGGUUUCUGUCGCUUUAACACUCUUAGCGUUUUUAAGAAUGCCUUCAAAAUUGUCCUUCGUUGCAAUAAAAUCACCCAAAUCAACGAAGGAAGCGACCCCUAGCGUACGUAAACCGAUACUUCUUAAUGCAACUGAUUUGUAUUCAUCGAAGCUUGGAACAUAACCUUUAUAUAACCACUUGGCUUGAGUAAAGUAUAAUAUAAUUAAUUCUUGCAUCUGAGCAACAUAACCCAAGUCAAUAAUAAUCACCUUGCAAAAUGAUAUAACAUGAAAUUGAUUAUUAAUAAAGUAAUUGCUUACCAUCUGUAUUGCAUACGGUAUGCCGUACGAUCUUCCUUCCUUUGCCAAUUCUUCCUCAGCUUCUCUAUAAAUAUCUAAGAGUGCCUUGAAAAUAAAUUUCAUGUAUUCUGGCAGUGUAUCUAUGAGGCCAAUGUCCCAUCUGAAAAAAUCAAAUAUAAUCGAUAUAUUUGCACGUUCUUAAGAAAAUAUAUAAGCGAUACAAUUAAUUUGUUUCUAAUAAAAGUAUAUUAUGAAUUAAAUAUCCAAUCAAAGAAUUACAUUAUAGGGUUAUUAUUGUUUCACCAAUUCAAGAGUUGUAAAAUAUCAAAUGACUAUAAGAAGUAUUAUCUCCUAUCAUUUUACUACUUUUUCAUUAAAACCAUUAGUUAAUUAGUAAAAUAUCAAUAUUUCCUUUUAUGAUAAAAUACACAAAUAGAGGUAUCAAAUAAUAGACAAAAAUUAUUGGCAUGCCCUUUAAUUUUAAAAUAAUGGUUUUAACCAUGACUUUAUGAAUAACCCUAAAUUUAUCGUAACUAUAAAAAUGGUGCAUUAACAAAAUACUCAUGGAUAUUUUUCAUAAAAAAACACACAAUUUAUUCUUUAAAAAAAACACUUAAAGCUUAUUUACAGAAUCAACACUUCCAUAUUUAAUUUUUUUUCUUCUAGAAUAGAUUGUGAUUUUUUUGGGCAAAAACUUCUAGGGGUAUUUUUGUCAAUUCACUACUUUUAUGGUCGCAAUAAAUCAAGCGUUAUUCAAAAAAUUAUGGUUAAAACUAUUAUUUAACAAUUCAUGUUUAAAACUAUUAUUCAUAAUAUUAUGUAUACUAUUGGAUACCUCUUUUGUGCAUUUUAUCUUAAAGGGUAAAAUUAAUAUUUUAUUAGUCAGCUAACGAUUCUAACAAAAAAGUAGUAAAAUAAAAGGUUUUACAAAGUUAUAGUAGUAAAAUUAUGGAAAAUAAUACUUCUUGUACUUAUCUAAUAUUUUAUAAUUCUUGAGGUAAUGAAACGAUAAUAAUCUUUUAUUAUAUAGGCAUGGGGUCUUGCUAAGUUACAUCAUGUAUAACCUGCAGCAACCCUAAUAGUCACUCAUAAUGUCCCCAUUAUUUAGGUUAUUGUGACCUAUAGAAUACAGAUAAUGCAACUUAACAACUGCUGUAUAGGGAUGCAUAUGGUUUUAUAACCUUGUGACUGCUUCAGUAAAAAGUGUGAGCUCUUCAAAAGUACCGUAAGCAUCAAAUGUGUCGUCUAUUAUGGAUAUUAUGCACACCACUUUGGAUGUAAAAAUUCUACCAAAUGCCAAAUUGGGCUCAUAGGACACUCCCAGCAAAAACCAAAUAUAUGUCUCUACUACUCUAUCUCUUGCAUAAGGCACCUUUUUAGGGAAGCCUAAAUCGUUCCACCACCUGAAAUUCAAUUUUAAAUCUAAUUAGAUAGAUAUUUUGCUACAUUAUAAAGUUGCCACUAUAAUAAUCGUUACUUCUGUAGUAUAUAAUAAUCGUUACUUCUGUAUUAUAUAAAAAAUACAAACAAGAACACAAUUUGGUUUCAUCUUUUAAGGAGGUAGCAAGGAAAUAUGAAAACUCGAGGGAUAAGUGAAAAAAGUUAGAAAUUUUAAAGAGAAGUUGUAAAUCUUCCAUAUUAUAUUUGGAAAAUUUGUUUCAUUAAAAAAGAGAGAGAGAGAGAGAAAUUUACGUGAUUUAUUUUUAUUGUUUUGUAUUUUUAUCUAAUUUAUAAAUUUAUAUCACAUCCAUUCUUAAAAAAAUUUUAUAAUUGUAUCAUUACUCUUUCAUUAUACACAUUAUCCUCCCAAACACUAUAACUUAUUAUUAUUAUUAUUAUUAGCAACAAGCACAUAAUAUACAAAAACUACAACCACUACCACUGUUGACAAAUCAAGAAUACAUAAAAAUUUUACUGCAAACUAAAAAUCUUGGUUUGGUGUUAAUAAAUAAUAAUACUAAUAAUAAUAAUAAUAAUAACUAUUAUAAGAUAUUUUGCCUUGAGCCUUUGAUUAUACAAGGGGGGCAACUGGUAAAAUAUGAUUUCUCUUUCUAGGGAAAGUGACAAUCUCCCAUUUCAAAACAACACCAAUAAUAGGCUUUUCCACGUUGAAAGAAUAUCUAUGAAGUUACCUGGUCAUGAUACUUGCUUCCUUCUUGUGUGCUGCUUGUAAUAUAUUAAAGUCUAACUUUGCAAACUUGAGCAAAGUUUCAUCAUGCAAAUCAUCCCUUGAAUAGAUAUCCAAAAAAUACCUUGCCUCUAACCUUGCUGCGGCUUUACGGAGCGGAAUUUGCAGAGAAUGACGUAUUUGUUCAGCAAGAUUAGAGUUUACAUGAGAAUGAUCAGAUACAGAUAUUACUGACUUAAGGUGAGUGGUAGUGAAAACAAUGGCUUCAUCUAAAAUGUCUUCCCCCCGAAUUGCUAGGUAUGCUGCCUCGUACAAACUCAACAUGCCUCGUAUAUCGUUGAUCAAUGAUUCCUUGAAUUUACCUUCGUCAUCUUUGAACUUCUCAAACACAUCUGAUGACCAUAUUCAAAAGAGGCGAGCUAGUCUCGAUUAGUGUACAUGCUUAACUUUAAUUUGAUAAUCAACAAUAAUCUUGUAAUCAACAUAAAUAGUUUAAUUAACAAAAUGAGAAACUAUUACAUACCACAUGAAAUCUUAACUCCUUGCUGUCUAAAAAGUCGAAAACGAAGAGAAACAACGUAUAGAUCAUCACUGUCAAGAUCAUGAGAUACCUUUCCCAAUUCAUCUUCAAUCUCUUUUUCAAAAUGAUAAGCGACACCUAAUCGUUGUGCUGCAUCAAUCAUGUGUAGUUUUUGGGCAAGCUUAUUGGCAGUAGUGGUUAUCAUCCUCCUGACCUCUUGCUUCAGUGCUGCGUGCUGUUCUUGAGUUGCAGCGUCAAUUGUCUGCAAACGCAAGAAAUUACUUAAUAUUUAAUGCAUUACGUAUGUCUAACAAACGAUUACUUAUGACAUAUAAUUGUACAUCGAUUGGGCUUGCCUCUCUGAUAAUUAAUGAGAUAUUUUGAUAUUGCAAUUUUUUAAUUACCUCGACAUCGGCAGUGGAUUUCAGGAAAUGGUUUCCCCAUAAAGUAGGAUGAAAAUCUGCAAUGGGACGAACAGUUUCUUCAGUUGAACUGGAAACUGCUGCUAGAAGUGGAAUAGACAUAUCUUUCAUUCCGUUUCAGACAAACCAAAUACAACUAUAUAUAUUUUUUUUUAAGAGUUGGAGUUGCAAAAACCUCAAGACACAAAUGCUCUAUAUAUAGAGAGAAACGAUGAGGCAGUGGAACACUUUCGUUGGUACUUUGUCAUGUGCUCAGUAGUGAUCCUACGUUGGGAUCAUUAAAUUUAAUAUUAAAAAAGUCAAUGGAUCUGAUUGGGGGAUGCAGUAUUAAACCAUAUGAUAAAAUACUCUUGGACCGUUAUCUCAACAAAUUAUGGGUGCGUUUGAGAUUAAGGUUAGACAGUUGCAGUUUAAAAAUUACAAUAGUAAAGUAUUUGGUAAACACUAGCUGUUGUAACUUGAAAGUUAUGUUGAUAUGAUUUUUCACUUGUAUAAUAGAGAAUCUAUUAUAUCUUUAAUAAUUUUAUCAAAAUUAUUAUUUAAAAUUUAUAUUUACUACAUAUUAUUAACUUUUGUUUUAUAUUUACAGCUUUUUUUUUACUGCAGCUGUAGUUUAAAAAGUACAGCACCUCAAUUCCAAACGCAACCUAAGAGACUGCGAUCAUUUUACAUAAAUUUUUAAAUUUAGAAUUUUUUUUAGGUAAUGAUAGAGAGUUAACUCUAACUGUAUCUCUAACUCUAUACAAAAAUAAAUAUAUAAAAGUUGAAAUAGUAAUAAAGUUAUAUUAAAUUUUAUCUUAAUCACAAGCUGGCCACAAAAAUUUAUCUUGAUCAGAUUGAGGUGGGGUUCAUUGAUGAUAGCGAUUCAUAUCAUUUUUCAGCUUUCGUAUGCAACUUGCAUAUUGUGAUAUUGUGCGUACAUUAACUAACUACUCAACGUAACGACCGUAAAUUAUUUUGAAAACCUAUCUCUCUUUUAAUUUCACAAUAAUAAUAUUCCAAGAAGGCCAUAAUUAUUUAACUUACAUUUAUUUUAAGAGUAAUGAUAUAGGCACAAACUCUUGUACAAACUUAUUUUGUACAAAUUGAUAUGACAUGAUAAGAUUUGUUGAAUUAAAUAUCACUUGGCCCACAUAAUUUGUGUUUAUUAUUUUAUAUUUUCAUUCAACCAAUGAAUUAAUCUCACGUCAAUUUGUACAAAAUAAGUUUGUACAAGAGUUUGUGGUUGUAUCAUUACUCUUAUUUUAAUUACUCGUACCAAGCAAAAUAUUUCAGUUAUUUUAACUAAAUAAAUAUAUUUUAGUUAUUCUUAAAGCCAAAGUCUAUUUCUGGUUAGUAAAUUAUCCAAACAUUUUAUUGGGGGGUGUUUCUAAUAACUCCAAUGAUAUCAUAAAUAUAAAAAUUUACUUUCUGCAGGACUUAUCUCAAAUAAAUUCUCUAAUUCAUUUUGAAGAUGAAACUAAAAAAAAAAAAUGAAUCAUUGAGGCUUAAUUAAAAUAUUUUACUUAGAGUUCCAAUGAUAUUUAAGGGAAUAUGAUUUUUAUCAGUGCAUUUAACAAAUUUCACGAUUCUAAUCCUUAAAAUACUUGGACCACCAGGGAUCUUAGAAAAAUAGUAUGUGAACCACAUUUUUAGCUAUUAUCAACAACAGUAAUAUAAUAUAUUUUCUAAUCCCUAGUGUUCCCUUCGUGGGUCUGCCGAUGCUAUCAACAAUAACAAGCAAUUUUUAAUAAAAAUAAUCAUUUUACUGUUCUUUUUAAAUGUACUUCUAUAAUUUUGAGAGAUUGGAAGAUUUGAAUCCUCUACCUAAUGAAUAAGGGAGAGAAGAGUUGUCGACUAACUCAAUUAAGGAGCUCCGUUGGUUAGUUUACUAUUAAAUUUUGGUGUAUUUUAUUUACGAGUGAGAUUAUUUGCACUCUAAAAUGUACUUUGAACACCAUAUUAACUAAAAAAUUAUGGUACUAAAAUAACAUUCAUAUAAUUUAAUAUUAAGGAUAAUUUAGAAAAAUAGUUAAACAUUAUGAAUUUGGACACCUAUCUAACACAUCCAUUAAUCAUACCAUUAUUUAUGCUAACCUUAAUUUCAUCUAUUUUACUGGGUGCCGAAUUGAAUUUAUUUUGUACUUAGAGAUCAUAAAAGAUUUGUGGCGAAGUUCCAAAAAUAUAUGAAGAUGUUUCUAUUAAUCCUUUUUGUUAUUUUUAAUUUUGUUAAUAUGUUAAUUUAGGUGGUCUUUUGCUUUAAAGUUUAAAGCGUACAAGGCGACGAAGAAGAAAAAUGUUGAAGAUGCUGGCUCGAUCAAUAAGAUGGAAUAUGGAAGAAUUAUUUUGAACAUAUAUCCAAUUAAUUGUGCUUUGUGCAGAAAAUUAAUGAAAAAGGAAUAAGAAAGAAAAAGUUUUGAGUAUACAUGAUCUUGUAGGAUGCCCCAGCAACCAACGAAAAGUUUGUUGUUGUUGAAAUCCCAUAACACUUCUGUACAAGAAGGACUUGGUGAGGUGGCAGGUUAGUCCACCGAUGGUUUGUCAUUUGUAGAAUAGUAGGUCCGAAAAUGAAACAAAAGUCGUACUCACUGAAUUAAGUUUACCAUCAAAAAAGAAAACAAUCAGUGACUAAACUGACAUAUGACCUAAUUGAAUUUAAUGGAUCUUAAAAUACAAUGAAUCACGCAAUAAAACACUACUGAAGUGACUGAAAUGACGUAUGACUAGAGAUCAUAAAAGAUUUGUGGGCAAGUUCCAAAAAUAUAUGAAGAUGUUUCUAUUAAUCCUUUUUUGUUAUUUUUAAUUUUGUUAAUAUGUUAAUUUAUGUGGUCUUUUGCUUUAAAGUUUAAAGCGUAUAAGGCGACGAAGCAGAAAAAUGUUGAAGAUGCUGACUCGAUGAAUAAGAUGGAAUAUGGAAGAAUUAUGUUGAACAUAUAUCCAAUUAAUUGUGCUUUGUGCACAGAAUUAAUGAAAAAGGAAUAAGAAAGAAAAAGUUGAGUAUACAUGAUCUUGUGGGAUGCUCCAGCAACCCAAGAAAAAGUUUGUUAUUGUUGAAAUCUCGUAACACUAAUGUAUAAGGAGGACUUGUGUGAGACCGGCGGCCGGUUGGUCCACCGAUGGUUUGUCAUUUGUAGAAUAGUAGGUCCGAAAAUGAAACAAAAGUCGUACUCGCUGAAUUAAGUUUACCGUCAAAAAAGAAAACAAUCAAUGACUAAACUGAUAUAUGACCUAAUUGAAUUUAAUGGAUCUUAAAAUACAAUGAAUCACGUAAUAAAACACUACUGAAGUGACUGAAAUGACGUAUGACCUUAUUAAGCAUGCUGACACUGUGACACAUGCAAAUUCUGUUCUACAAAUCAUGUUUAUAGAUAGUGAAAAACUCAAAACCAAAAUACUGUAUAAGGUAGCACAUUGAACGUAAGCUGCAUUGAAAAUCUCCUCUCACGCUUACGUAUGACACUAAAAUUGAAACACCUGUCUUAUCACUUCAACCUCUAUCCUUGUAUCAACGUUUUAUCUUAUUACUUUUAUUUUCGAUCAUUCAAUUUGGUAUUCAAUUAUUUGGGUCGGCUCUACUAUUCUGUCGGUAUUUACCAUUCAAUUUGAUUUAAUUUUCUCCCAGCAGCUUUUAACAUUUAUAAUUUAUUAUUUUACAGUUUUCAUAGUACUGUAUUAUUCUUACGAUGUUCACACUUUCUUAAAAAUAAAAAAUUCAUUACAAUAUUUAAAUAACAUAUAUCUUUUUUUAUAAGUUUAAUGUCAAAAGAGUAAUGAGGUGCCUUCAAGUUCAGGGACUACGAAAUCAGAAGCAGAUUUUAGCAAAUGGUUUUCCACCAGUAGGAUUGAAAACUGCAAUGUGACGAAUAGUUUCUUCGAAUGAAAUUAGAAUAGACAACUUCCUUACAAAAAAAUCAAGUAGAACUUAAUAAAUUAAUCUGAACUGAAUCAAUGGGAGCAUAAACUUUACGACACUUCUACCGAAGUACCAAGUUGAGCGGCCUCUUCAUUCUAAUCAGCCGCCUUUUUAUUUAUUACAUAAGAUUAAUACUCAAAUUACAACUCAUAUUUAAUAAAAUUAGUAUACUGAGACUAAUUUAUGAGAGAUUAGUAUACUGAUAUUUACUAUCAGACAAUUACUGGGACUAAUUUAUGAGAGAUUAGCAUAUUGAUAUUUACAACCAGACAAUUACUGUGACUAAUUUACAAAUCUUAUAUAAGACAACCUAGAUUUUAACCCUCUCUAAUAUUCGAGGGACGUUCACUCCACUUAGAUUUCGAAAGGGAGAUGAUUAUCUUCACUCAAAUUGAGGGAGGAAAUUAACCCCCACAAUGCGUUGUGAGGACUUGAACCCAUGACCUCAUAAUUGUGAGGUUUGGGUUCUAACCACUAGGCUUUAACCUAGUGGCUUUAAUCAACCGCCUUUGAAAAUUAAGAAAUUUAAGAAAAAUUGUCGUGGGCAUAUUUUUCACGUUAUCUAAGAGAUAUUUGUGAAAAUUUGUACUCAUUCUAAAAAUUUGUGCAUACUUGCACAUCCAAAAAUAAUGAUUACAUAUUUAUAUGUGUGUGUGAAAUAAUUUUUUUAAUUAGAAAAUGUGACAAUAUCAUAGUUAGAAACAAGUUAAAAAAAUACAAAUUUUAAUGCAGUGUGCUUUGCCCUUUAUCUUCUCACUUGUAGCUCACUCUAUGUAUAUAGUAAUUUAUAAUAAGAAAAUCUCUUACUUUAAUAAAAUAAGAGACAAGCUGAAAAUGAUAAAACAUACACUCCAAUGUAGUGUAUUAUGUCAUUUACUGUAUUAAAAUUUAUAUUUUUUAUCUUUUUAUCUAUUACUUUAAUAAAAUAUGAAAUUAUCUUAUACUUUAUAUAUUUUUAUCUUUUAAUUUGAAUUUAAAACCCGUGGCUAUGAGACCCUUGGAAUUCAUCCCCUUAAAUGCUGACAGCCCGAGGGCUUAUUCCUCAUUAAGGAAUCCAAAACCCCCAUAAGGGAAACUCGUCUUUUAUCCGUCUUCUCCUUCUCCGGCAACUGAGUCAUUCAUCUCCUUCGGCGUAAAAGCUACCUUCCCUGUCUUUAUUCGGCUGGGCUAUAAUUGCAGGUAUUAUUUCUAUUUCCUCGGUCUUAGAUAGUUAUAGAAAAUUUCUUUUCUCUCUGUCUUAUUUGGGUAGUGUUUGGUGAUGUUGCUAUGGUCAUAGUUUAGGAAAUGUCAAAAGGCAAAGAGAAGGUAAUUGAGAUUGAUGAUGACGAGUUAGACUUCUUGCCUAGUCUGCUUGCCGAUCCUGCCUUUGACCCCGGGAUCCCCUUAGAAACUAUUAGAUCUAGUGUUGGGACUAGUGCUAGGAGGACGUCUCCCCAAAUACCCUCCUCAACUAGCAAUAACGGCGAUGGGGGAUCUUCUGGUUCGGAAGACACCUUGAGUGAGGACCAAAGGGAAGAUUCUGGUGAAAUGUCCUCACCAGGAACAUCACAACCAGAUAGGAAGAGUAAAAUAGAAGGUAGGGCUCUGUCGAAAUAUUACGCUAUUGACUUCAUUACGUGUACGACCACAGUAGACGAGCUCGAUAACCUCCGAGCUAGGUAUGACAUUCCUGAUGAUAUACCCCUUAGGAUCUCAAGAAAAAAGGAUACUCCUAGCCGGCCUUCUAGGGGAUACGUUACCAUAUUUAUGGAAAGUUUUAAGCUUGGGAUGAGGUGCCCCCUACUUAAGUUUGGACUACGUUACCCAAAAUGAAAGUAAACGUCCUUUUUAAAUUGGCGGGAGAUUCCAACAGGUCGAGGAAGAACUAUGCCAUGACUAGCAAAGAAGUGUUCUUCAACACCCCAGCAGCCAAGCGAGCAAGAGUCAGGCAAGUUUCGAUCAUGUGGACAUAUGAGGAUGAGGAAAGGACUCUAUAUCCACAUGAGGAUGCCUUAGUCAUUAAAGUCACCGCUGCUAGCAAGAAGUUUGAUUGGAUUCUGGUAGACACAGGAAGUUCGGUCGAUGUUUUGUUCAAGUCAACUCUGGAGGAGAUGGGAAUAGCAGACCUGAGGUUAGAACAUACCAAUACCUCUUUGAAGGAAUUUGGAGGAGGAAAGCUGGUUCCUCUUGGCGUGGUCGAACUGCCCAUCACAAUUGGCAGCUCCCCGACAUAAAAGACUAUGAUACUAGAUUUUGUGGUGGUCGAUGAAGAGGGUCCUUACCAGAUGAUCCUUGGUCGUACCUUUCUGAGGAUGAGCAAAGCAGUACUUUCCAACCAUUAUCUAGUUCUCAAGUACCGGGUGAAUGGGGUAGUUGGAGUGGUGCGAGCAGACCAGAGAAUUGCCUGAAGCUGUUACUCUACAAAAGCAAAGGAAGCAAUGCAGAUUACAUCCCUUGAUACUUGAGUGGGAGUAAAAAAUGGCAGACAAGAACCUGUAGAGGAGUUGGAGACAGUAAGCUUGGAACAAGAUGAUCCAGGAAAAACAAUCCGAAUCGGGUCGAGGCUUAAAGAAGAGCAUAAGCGGGAGUUGGUGCAAUGCUUGCGAGCUCAUGCAGAUGUGUUUGCUUGGACACAUGAAGACAUGUCGGGAAUCGACCCUGAGGUCGCAUGUCAUAGGCUGACAAUAAAGAAAGGUACUCAGGUAGUAAGGCAGAAAAUGAUGUGCUUCAUUCAGGAGAGGUAUGAGGCUAUAAAUGGCGAGGUGGAGAAGCUGUUGAAAUCAGGGUUCAUUCGGGAAGUUAACUACCCUGAGUGGAUAUUGAAUGUGGUUUUAGUGAAAAAGGCUAAUGGCAAGUAGAGGAUGUGUGUAGAUUUCACAGGCCUCAAUAAGGCGUGCCCGAAAAAUAGCUUUCCCUUACCCAAGAUCGACUAGCUGGUUGACUCAUUAACUGGACAUGGCCUGCUCAGCUUCAUGGAUGCAUUUUCGGGAUACAACCAAAUCCCAAUGUUCGAGCAGGAUGAGGAGAGCACAACAUUUAUUACUAACCAGGGUUUGUUUUGUUACAGGGUAAUGUCAUUCGGUCUUAAAAAUGCGUGGGCCACGUACCAGAGGUUGGUGAACAAAAUCUUUAAGCCACUGAUUGAGAGAUUGAACACAAGCCAUAAGAUUAGUAGCCGAUUUUCCCAAGAAAGCGAAACUUAUGUUUCUGACUUGAGUGUCGGAGGGUUUAUGCUAGGAAAACACCCGGCGUGCUCUGACUUGUUUUUGUGUACGCAGGAAUCUGUGGAGAAGAGGUCUUACAAAGAGGGAUCCUGGUCGUGGUAGAACUAGUUGAGGAGAGAUCCUGGUUGCGGACGAGCAGAAAACCAGAAUCUCACAUCAACAAUUUCAAUGGUGGCUUAACUUUCAAAGAUGAUUUAAGUACUUGCGUCAUUGCUAAAAUUUUGAAUUUUCUUGACAUUCUGAUUUUUUUUAUCACCAAAAUUUGAUCAUGGAAGUGGUAGCUUCAAUCUUGGGCUCAGCUGUAGCAGAAGCAGGCCAUGUUCUCUGUGGCCCUUUCUGCUAAAAAAUCAACAGCACCAUUAAGAUUCAAUCAAAUCUCCAAGCUUUAGAAAAGGAAUUGAAGGUUCUAAUUGGUCUCAGAGAUGACAUGAUAUGUCAACUUGCAUUAGCUGAGAAAGAUGGAAAGGUACCAACAACUCAAGUGAAAGCAUGGGUAAGAUCGGUUGAUGAAUUUAUAUUUGAAGUAGAUUUAAUGCAAGAAAGUGUGAGAGCCAAAGAGAAGAAACAUAGUGGUUGUUUCCAUAGUUGUUGUCCGCAGUAUAGACACGGCAGCAAAGUGGCAAGAAUGCUCAAGGAGGUGCAAGGACUUAAAAGUGAAGGAAUUUUUCCCCCAGGCUUGGUGAUCGCCAACCCCGAAGCAAAAUCUGUUGAGCAUAUCCUUGGACCUUCAAUAGAGCAUCAAAUUGAUGUGUCUAUUAUCAAGUAAUAGACAUAUAUCCGAGAAUAGUCUUCCUCCAUUUCCAAUUUAAUCAAGAUGUGUCUAUUAUCAAGUAAGAAAUUCUAAGAAUUUCCUUCCAGCCCAAAAAACAAAAAAUUUCCGAAUAACAUUCAUGGGAGGACGACCAAACGAGAACUUACCGAUAAAAGCUAGUUUAAAAGGCCCAGCCAUCUCUCGAAUUUUCGCUGUAGAGAAAUGGAUAGCUGGUUCACCUCUGUGCAAUUGAACUAGUUUCACAGAAAUUAAUGAAAUAGCAGAACCAAUCACAGUAUCUAAAAAAGACUUUUGUGGUCUUGAAGUGGCACGAUGACCGAGUUAAGACUAGAAGUAUAUGAAGGCUUGGGGUUGAUGUUGGUGCUACGGUUUAUGGGAGUUAGGUUGGUGGAAUGGGUUUUGGUAGCCACACAAGUUAGGUCAUUAUGAGUGGCCGAUGGUGGUUGCUGAGAUGUCAAUGUGGGUAAUGUUGUGUCUGAGAGGUUCAAGGGUGGUAAUAGUUGUCAUGCUACAGCUUCACUGACGUCAAGAAUGGCAUUAGCAAUGUGCAGGGUGUCACGUGACAUAAGUUUAUUGUUUUGAUAUGGGUGCGUGAUGUAGUGGAAGCUUAAAGUUCAAAAUAUUCUGUUGAUUCUAGAGAAUGCCGGAAUAAAAGAACAACUAAACUCACGUUGAUUCAAAAGAAUGUCGUGAAUUUAGGGGUUAAGACUCAUUGAUUCCGCAGAAUACCGAGAAUUAACUGAACUCAAAUACUCACAAAGAGAUUUGAAAAUUGAAAAUAUUAUCGAAAUCAAACAUCUGCUUGUAAAAGCUACAAAAGACACUUAUUUAUACUAACUAAUACUUAUCCUAAUAUAAUUAGAAAAGCUAUUUUAAUAAGACUUAUAUCUAAAUUAGGAAUAUUACCCAAAUAAACAAUGCCUAAACAAUAAGACCUUAAAUAGGAAACCAAAUUAAACUAGAAUACAAAUUAAUUAAAAUAUUUCUAAAUAUUAUAUAUUUAAAUCUAAUUAGGAUUUUUUCAAUUUCUUGCUUUGCAUUAUUCCCGCCAGGCUGGAGAAAAUUUGUCCUCAAAUUUUGUAUGUUGUGGUCUUCAAGAACAUCUUCAUGUUCAUAAGCAUUAAUUUUUAAAAUAGAGCUUCGACAUAGACGACAAACAUUAAAUUUUCCAACUUUUGUAAUAAUGUCCAUCCAAUCACUCCAAUGGCGUAAGAAUAAUUUCUUCUAUCAACAACUUCUCUAAUAAUGUCUUCUCGUAUUGUUCGUGUCGAACUUCAACAUAGUUGAGGAAAAACGAUUAUUUCUCAUAAUCCUCUAACUCUUGAAAAAUAUCAGAACUCUUUUUGUCUUUUUUUGCCAAAUCAAGAGAACAAUAAGAGAUUGUAUCAACAACUAUCUCUCUUUCCUCCACAAGAUCAAAAGAUGGAUGAACAAUUACCUCUUCUCGUCCUACAAUAUCAAGAUACUCAUCAAAUUUCGGCAAUUGAUCCAAAUCAAUGUCUUUGUGUUGAGGAUUUGUUGUAGACACGAAUGGCCAAUUAAUAUUCUCCUUGGAAGGAAUAAUAUUGUCGAGAGAAACAAAGUUACCAUUUUCCUCAUUAUCCUCGUAACAAACAUCAUCAUGAACAACUUCAUUAAAUCCAUAUGCCUGCUUUAUGUGUAAUGAUUUUCUAUCUUGAAGUUUCUCUAAAUCUUUAGAAAUCAAAUGCAAAAUCCUCAACAUCUUAACUAAAACAUCUCUCAAGAUGAAAUCUUCACGUCGAUGUUGUGAUUUCAUGAUAUAAUUUUUUUUCUUUUUUUCUUUUCUCUCUACUUUCUCUUUUUUUUUCUGGUGGUUGUUUGGGUUUUUUUGUGUGCUAAGAUCAGAAAAAAGGCAAUAAUGGUAUAAAUGAAAGAAUUGGGUCAAAAUUGUGAAUAAGUAAAAGUUUUAGAUUUCCGGUGACGGUGGUUGGAAAUCGAGUAAGGAUGGGUGGAUCUAAAAGAUUUUGGGUUGGUGAGUAUGAUGGUGGUGGUGGUUUGUCCAAAAAGUUGGUGUUUUGGCCAAAAUUUGGAGAUAAAGGCGGCGAUUUUGUUGUUGGCUUGAUUUCCGGCGAUCAGUGCGUCGAUCGGUGGUGUUAACCGACUAGGAAGGUUGAGCUCGAGGAGAGGAGUUGAUUGGUGGUGGUUGUGCUGGCCAAAACGAGGCAGAAAUCGAUGAAUGACGGCACGGUUGGCACGGCUGUUUUGGUUUUUUUUCCGACGAUCUGUGGCUAAUUGACGGUGUCUGAUGCUUGGGGUUUGAUGGCCGGCUUGCUUUGUCUCCGAUGAUGGUGGCUAAUCGUCUUAACGGCCAAGGAAAACCAAUGACGGCAGGUGUGGAAAGGUGGCUAACGCGGCUGUCGUUUCUGCUGACUCUGAUACCAAGCUGAUGCAGCGGAAGCUUAAAGUUCAAAUAUUCCGUUAAUUCCAGAGAAUGCCGGAAUAAAAGAACAACUAAAUUCACGUUGAUUCAAAAGAAUGCCGUGAAUUUAGGGGUUAAGACUCGUUGAUUCCGUAGAAUACUAAGAAUUAACUGAACUCAAAUACUCACAAAGAGAUUUGAAAAUUGAAAAUAUUAUUGAAAUUCAAACAUAUGCUUGUAAAAGUUACAAAAGACACUUAUUUAUACUAACUAAAAUUUAUCCUAAUAUAAUUAGAAAACUUAUUUUAAUAAAAUUUAUAACUAAAUUAGGAAUAUUACCCAAAUAAGCAAUGACUAAACAAUAAGACCCUAAAUAAGAAACCAAAUUAAAUUAGAAUUCAAAUUAAUUAAAAUAUUCUUAAAUAUUAUACAUUUAAAUCUAAUUAGAAUUUCUUCAAUUUCUUGCUUUGCAUCAGUGCGGUUGUGUUGGGUGUAGUCGAUCAGGAGGUUGAACGCCGUCAGCCACUGGUGGAUCAUCACCCCCGGUGACUACUAAAGCCAUGGGUGGUUUGUAGUGCUCUUGGGGCCUCAAAGUGCAAAAUUAUGAAUUUGCCCUUAUCGGUCAAAGGCGGCCGGUAGUCAAGCUCAAUGGCCGGCAAGCUCACGUUAGAUCCUUCAGGUCACGCUGAUUCCAAUGAUGAUGGCGGUGAGCUUUCUUGCGCGGUUGUGGCCUCUGAUCGAGCUCCUGAACCCGUGAGUCUCCAACAGUUGGUCGGCAACGAGAACGGCCAAUUUUGUACGUAAGGUUGACCGAAAAAUGAAGAGAGAAUCUUGAAGAACCAAACCCAGAUGGUAGCGUGGCCGGAAACUAACGAAAUCAGGCGAAAAUGAAGCAGCGUUUGCCGUGGUUUCGUGAGCUCGAUCAACCGUCCUCUGGUUGUUUUACAGCGGCGUUUACGCCCCGGAAACGACCGGCAUAGUUCCAGCUUCCGAUCGGUACCUCCCUUGGCCGAUGAGGUGGUCGGAGAAGGGAGUCUGUCCGGGUCAGGUCGUUGUUGUCCGGGUUCGGUUUAAUCUAAUAAGUUUUCUAUAAAUGGAAAGCAGAGCAUACCGAUAGUAUGUAACUCACAGCAGUUGAUCAGCUCAAUAUACUUGCAGACGCAGCAGAGUUAGUUAGUUAGUUAGUUUAAAGAAUAUUUCAAGCUCAGCUCACGUGCGCAGUAUGAAUUAACAAAGAGCAAUUGUUUCUAUAUAAAUAUGUAAUCUGUAUUCAUUUCUAAGAAUUAAUGAGAACAUUCUACAAGUUUCCAUUUUGUUUCUUCUCUUAAUUUUCUCACAUUUUCUCUUUUGCCAAACACUAUUGAUCAAGUUUAUUUCAUAACAAAUCUAAUAGGCUUGGUACCUAAAGAAGCAGCUACUGCUCGGAUGAUUUUAAUUUGUUGAAAAGAAUCUGUAAAGCAAAUUUAUACCUUCACAUACUCCCUACUUCACGAAUGAGUACGACGGCGUUGAAACGUCUAAUAAAUGUUAUUGUUCAUAAAUAACAGGAAACUAAGGCAACCUUGGCUGGUUGCGGUGACAGAUUAUACCACGAAGUCAUCUCCAACAAUACCUAGCUUCUCAUCUAGGGGACCUAAAAAGAUUGACGCAGUUAUCCUCAAGGUUGACUGGAUGCAUUAGUUAAAUGAUCAGUAUAUCAUAUUCAAAAUAUAUUAAUCAUUUUCAUAUAACUUUCAUAUUCAUUUCAGUCUAAUGUCACUGCACCUAGAGCGGAUAUCCCGAAUAGCAAGAUAAUAAAUUUGAACUUAACAAAUUAAUCAUGGAGCCUCCUUUGAAUGCGGUGGCCGGCACCUCCGUGGCAUAUGUCGUCAUGUAUUUGGUAUUGUUGGCCUUCUCAAAGUCACUAUACUGAGUAAUCCGGUCUGCAGUCAUGAUACCACGGGUAUGAAAUUACUCUUUUCAACAUAAAUCAAUGUGACCCUACUUGUAUUGGACUAUGCACAUAUCCAUUUCUUUUGCAGCUGAAGCAACUGAUACAACAAAAACAAGGCAGUCGUCGUUUGCUUAUGGUGCAGGACAUGCGAAUCCAUAACAUUCAGUGCUGGCACUGCGUUUGUACCUUAGCAUGUUAGCAUGAUACAUACAGUGGGGCGCAAGAAUAAUGUUAGCAUGAAGCAGUGGUGCGCCAGAAUAAUCACGACAUGCCAUUUGUCAGUUUCUAAUGUGUCCCUCUGUGGGACCAUCCAUACAAUCCACUACAUUUAAAAAAAAAAAAGAAUAUGUGGGUCUUUUUAAGGGAUCUACUAAUCCUGCUAAAUUGGGUGCUGAAUGGAUCCCAUCAUCCCGAAGAAGGUAAAUAUGUUUACUUAAUUCAGUCUUUUUUUUUUUCGAAGAAAUGAAAAAAAAAAAAAAGUUAUGAUUUAACCUUUUUGGUGCCCAGUUCGGUGUCCCCUUUCAGGGUGUAUAUAACUACUCUUAGGUUGGAUUGAAGAAAUGUGAGAAAAUGAGAGGAGAGAAAAGUAGAGGAAAGAAAGAAAAGGAGAAGAUAAGAGAGUAAAAUAUUUUUCUAAUAUUUGGUUGAUUACAAAAUUAUACAAAGAAAGGAAAUUUUCAAUUUUUUAUUCAGACAAUUUUAGCCUUAAGUGUUAAACUUUCAAUAUUUAUCAUAAAUAUAAUUCAAAAAAUUAAAAAGUAAAUUUAUUUAAUAUAUUUACAUAAAUAAAUAAUAAAAAAUAUUUUAAAUAACAUACUUUUAUUUAGAAUUUAAUUUAAUUUAAAAAAAUUUAUUAACAUAAUAUUAUUUUAUUAUUAAUUUAAGUAAUUGUAAUGAAUUUAAUUUGUUUCUAAAUAAAUCAUAAUACAAUAUAAAUAAUUUCUUAAUCAAUAUAUAUUAUAAUUUUGGAAUUUCAUUUAAAAACAAAAACAAAAAAAAGAAACAAAUCCACUGGCUACCGUCUACGAAGUCACCACCAGCAGAUGCCACACCAUCAAAUGAAAGCUCGUGAAUGAUAUGAAAAUGAUCAGAGAUUGACAAUCUCAAUAAUGGAUCAACUCAUUUAACUGAAAAUUUUGAUUCUUUUUUCGGGAUCUGUGGAGGUUAAAAAGUUUCUAAACAUUUUUAACCAGAUUUGAACAACAUAUAUCUGGUUUUUGAUCUCAACGAUAAUGUAGUAAUGUUGAUAAUUAGCUAGCGAGUCGAAUGGCAGUGGCAGUGAGAUAGUACACGUAAAUGACAACAGCGACGAUGGCGGUGGUCUAACGAUCCGAUGACUAUUAAAUUAAUAUUUCUAUAUUCUUAGAUGAAUUAAUUAAAUAAACUUAUUUUUAAAAUAUUACUCAAAUUUAAUUAAUAUAAAAUUAUCUAUAACAUUAAAUUGAUAAAAUAAAAUUAUAAAUAAUAAUUAUUUGAUUACAUUAAAUAAGUUAAAAAGUUGAACGGGUAUUUUUGGAAGCUUUGAUUUCCAACACAGGGGGAUUUCAAAUUCUUCACUUCUUAGCAUAGAAUUCAAAUUCUAGAUUAUAAUGGAUAUUAAGUUCUAAUAGAAAUUAAAAUUCUUACAUAUUAUGUCAAACCAAACAACGGAAAUAAAAAAAGAAUUCAAAUCAUUUUCCUCUCCUCCAUCCUCUCCUUCUAAACAAGCACAACCUUAAUUUAAUUCUGGUUGGACUUUUUUCUUUAGUUUAGACAUCAUGUUCCUCCUUAAAGCAUCUAAAAAAGCCUCUACAAAUUUUACUCUUUAAAUAUCUAUUUACUUGUCUAUGUGACAAAUAGAAGAGUGAAAAAAAUAUGAUAUUCUCCAAAACAUUAAUAUUAUUUUAAUUAAAUAAUUAUUUUUUUAAAGGAAAAGUCAAUAGCAAUUAACGCACUGCUCUUUCUUUUUCCAAUGAAAAGUAAUAAAAUACAAUAACAGAGCCCCUAUUGAAUAAAAAAUAUAUAUAUAUUGAAGAGGGAGAAAUCAACUCUCAAAAUUUGAAGAGAGAGAAUCAUUUUUUAUUUGAAAAAUCUUAAUUGGGGUGUCUUUUGGAGUCUUAAAUAUUGAUGUCACUCUUCAAAUAAGUAAUAAAAUCUUAUUUGAAGAGCCUUUUAGUGAUGCUCUUAUUAUAAUUUCCUUUUAUUAUCUUCUCAAAAAUAAAAAUAAUAACGACAUUAUAAUUUUUUCAAUAUACUCUUUGUAAAUUGUAUGAUUGUAAGGAAGAAAGUUACUAGGAAACGAAAUCAAAUUGUACAUUAUUCGAAAGACUACAUAGUUUCAUUAUGUUUGUUAAUCAAAACAACAUGUAUCUUUUCAUAACUCUCUUUUUAGAGGAUUAAUUGUCUUUAGUUGGUGAAGUAAGUGCACUUUUAUAUUUCUCAUGCUUAUAGAGAGGUUAAUGGUGAUGCUGAUUGUAUACCUAAUCUUGGAUUGUCUUGUGUUUCUUAAAAUACUCUUAAAUUGACACACAUCAUUAUUUUUCAUAAACAGAAUUAUAAGGAAUAGGAAUUAAAAACAGAUCACCUUUCCUUCUGACAGUAACACCGAAAGCCUCAGUCGUAGAAGAUUUUCCAUCAUGGAGUUUCCAAUCGAAGUGGUAGAGCAUUUGAGACUAUAAACAUUAGCCAUAUGGAAAGAUAAACCUGAGCACAUCCUCCUUCCAGCUCCAAAUAGGAUUCAAUUCAAAAUGAUUUCACUUGUAGCCAUGACCCUGGAAUCAUAUCCCCGAAUUUUGCAAGCCUCGCUACACUCUCGUGUAAAAGCAAUGUAGCAGGAGGAUAUAAUCUAGAGUUUAUAUCCUAUAACAGAUGGGAUUUUUCUGCCAUCAUGGCUACAUGAGCAAGUCGUGUACGUGUUUUGUUUUUUUUUUUUUUUGGUUUGGUCUCUCUUGCCCAGCAUGAUUUGAGAACAUCUUAUUCUAUUUUAUUAAAGUAAUAGAUAAAUUAAAUGAAUAAAGAUACAUACACCUUCAAGGUUUGGAGAAACGAUCAUAAAGUAAUAGAUAAAUUAAAUGAAUAAAGAUACAUACACCUUCAAGGUUUGGAGAAACGAUCAUAAAGUAAUAGAUAAAUUAAAUGAAUACAGAUACAUACACCUUCAAGGUUUGGAGAAACGAUCAUAAAGACUCUUAAGUUUUUAAUAAGAGACACUAAUACAAUUUUUUUUAUUGUAAUACUCUUUAAUUCUACGAACUCAAAAAAAAAUGACCUCAAAAUUUUCUAAUAAAUAUACAUUUUAGAAUAAUUUUAAUAUUUUAAAAUUUUUAAAAUUUUUAAAAUAAUUUACAAUAUAUUAUAUCUAUUUUAUUAUAAUAAAGCAAUUUUAAUAAUAAAUAGAAACAUGAUAUUAAAGAAAAUAAAUUUAAAAUUAAAAUUAUUUUGAAUAUUACGGAAAAAUAAUUUUAAUAUUAUUAAUAGGGAGAUAUUUUGUUAACUAUAAAGUCUAUUUAACUCAAAGAUUUAUUUAAAAUUUUUAUAAUAAAUACAAUUAUAUUAUUAAAAUAAAUAUAAUUAUUUAAAAUUUUAAUUUUUAAAUGUUAAAAAUAAUUUAAUAUUAUUAGUUUACUAGAUAGAUUAUAUUAUUUAUAUUAAAUUUGUAUAAAUUAAAAACUUUAAAGUCAAUUUUCUAAUUACUAUAUUGGAAGGGUAUUAUCAUCAAAGAAAAGAUGUUAGUGUACCUUUUUGAAAAUUGGGGGGUCUUUGUGACCAUUUUCCCAAUUAUUGUGGGUGUGAGUGUAUUUUUUUUCUAAAUUAAAAGAUUAAAAAAUAUAAAGUAAAAGAUCAUUUCAUAUUUUAUUAAAGUAAUAGAUUAAAAGAUAAAAAAUAUAAAUUUUAAUAAAGUAAAUGACAAAAUACACUACAUUGAAGUGUAUUUUUAUCAUUUUUAGUUUGUCUUUUAUUUUAUUAAAAUAAGAGAUUUUCUUAUUAUAAAUUACUAUAUACAUAGAGUGAGCUACAAGUUAAAAGAUAUAGGACCAAGCACACUGCAUUAAAAUUUAUAUUUUUUUAAACUUAUUUCUGACUAUGAUAUAAUCACAUUUUCUAAUUAAAAAAAUUAUUCCACGCACAUAUAUAAAUAUUUAAUCAUUAUUUUUGGAUGCGCAAGUACACAAAUUUUUAAAAUGAGUACAAAUUUUCACAAAUAUCUCUUAGAUAAUGUGAAAACUAUGCCCACAACAAUUUUUCUUAAUUUUCAAAGGUAGUUGGUUAGAAUGAAGAGGCUGCUCGACUUGGUACUUUGGUAGAACCGUUGUAAAGUUUAUGCCGCCUAUUAUUUACGAGCUUUGAUCUUUCUAAAAUUAUCCUCCCCAUUGAUUCAGUUCAAAUUAAUUAAUUAAGUUCUAUUUGAUUUCUCUGUAAGGAAGCUGUCUAUUCUAAUUCCAUUCGAAGAAACUAUUCGUCACAUUGCAGUUUUCAAUCCUACUGGUGGAAAACCAUUUGCUAAAAUCUGCUUAAUCGUAGUCCCUGAACUUGAAGGCAACUCAUUACUCUUUUGAUAUUAAACUUAUAAAAAAAAUAGAGCAUAAGAAUAAUAGAGCAUUAUGAAAACUGUAAAAUAAUAAAUUAUAAACGUUAAAAGCUACUGGGAGAAAAUUAAAUCAAAUUGAAUGGUAAAUACCGACAGAAUAGUAGAUCCGACACAAAUAAUUGAAUAUCAAAUUGAAUGAUCGAAAACAAAAGUAAUAAGAUAAAACGCUGAUAUAAGGAGAGAGAUUGAAGUGAUAAGACAGGUGUUUCAAUUUCAGUAUCAUACAUACGUAAACGUGAGAGGGAGAUAUUCACUGCAGCUUACGUUCAAUGCGCUACCUCAUACAGACGGAGCCCACCCAUUUUAAGGAGCAUUGGCCACUAUUUACAAGGUUUUGGUCCCACUUUUUUUGCCUAUACAGUAAUUAGUUUUUGGAGUUUUUCACUAGCUAUAAUCAUGUUUUUUUUUUAUAUAAAAAGGGCAAUAAAAAAAAAAAUCAUGUUUUGUAGAACAGAAUUUGCAUGUGUCAGCAUGUUUAAUAAGUUCAUACGUCAUUUCAGUCACUUCAGUAGUGUUUUAUUACGUGAUUCAUUAUAUUGUAAGGUCACACGUCAGUUUCGUCACUAAUUUCUCUCCUUUUUUAUGCUAAACUUAAUUCAGUGAGUACGACUUUUGUUUUAUUUUCGGACCCACUAUUCUACAAAUGACAAACCAUCGGUGGACCAACCUGCUACCGGUCUCACACAAGUCCUCCUUAUACAGCAACAAACUUUUUCUUUGGUUGCUGGAGGAUCUCAAGAUCAUGUAUACUCAAAACUUUUUCUUUCUUAUUCCUUUUUCAUUAAUUUUCUGCACAAAGCACAAUUAAUUGGAUAUAUGUUCAAAAUAAUUCUUCCAUAUUCCAUCUUUUUCGUCGAGCCAGCAUCUUCAACAUUUUUCUUCUUCGUCGCCUUAUACACUUUAAAGCUAAUGACCACAUAAAUUAACAUAUUAACAAAAUUAAAAAUAACAAAAAAGGAUUAAUAGAAACAUCUUAAUAUAUUUUUGGAACUUGCCCACAAAUCUUUUAUGAUCUCUAAGUACAAUAUAAAUUCAAUUCGGCACCGAAUAAAAGAGAUGAAGUUAAGGUUAGCACAAAUAAUUGUAUGAUUAAUGGAUGUGUUAGAUGGGUGUCCAAAGUUGUUAUAGUUUAAACUAUUUUUCUAAAUUAUUCUUAGUAUUAAAUUAUAUGAAGGUUAUUUUAGUAUCCUAAUUUUUUAGUCAAUAUGGUGUUCAAAGUACAUUUUAAAGUACAAAUGAUCUCACUCGUAAAUAAAAUACACCAAAGUUUAAUAGUAAACUAACCAACGGAACUCCUUAAUUAAGUUAUUUGGCAACUCUUCUCUCCCUUAUUCAUUAGGGGAAGGAUUCAAAUCUUCCAAUCUCCCAAAAUUAUAAAAGUACAAUUAAAAAAAAUAGUAAAAUGAUUAUUUUUAUUAAAAAAAAAUUGCUUGUUAUUGUUGAUAGCUACUGCCACUCCUUAUCAUCGGCAGACCCACGAAGGGAACACUAGCGAUUAGAAAUAUAAUAUAUUACUAUUAUUAAUUGAUAAAAGCUAAAAAUGUGGUUCACAUAUUAUUUUUCUAAGAUCCCUGGUGGUCCAAGUAUUUUAAGGAUUAGAAUCAUGAAAUUUAUUAAAUGCACUUAUAAUGAUGUUAAUUUAUUUGAAAUAGAAUUUUUGAAAAAUUGGUUAAUAGAAGAAAUUCUGAUAAAAAUCAUAUUCCCUUAAAAUAUCAGUGGAACUCUUAAGUAAAAUAUUUUAAGUGAGCCCCCAAUGAUCUUUUUUUUAAAAAAAAAAAUUCAUCUUCAAAAUGAAUUAGAGAAUUUAUUUGAGAUAAGUCCUGCAGAAAGCAAAUUUUUAUUUUUGUGAUAUCAUUGGAGUUACUAGAAAAAGCCCCCAAUAAAAUGUUUGGAUCAUUUAGUAACCAGAAAUAGACUUUGGCUUUAAGAAUAAUAUAUAUUUAUUUAGUUAAAAUAAUUGAAAUAUUUUGCUUGGUAGGGGUAAUUAAAAUAAAUGUAAGUUAAAUAAUUAUGGCCUUCUUGGAAUAUUAUUAUUGUGAAAUUAAAAGAUAGAUAGGUUUUCAAAAUAAUUUACGGUCGUUACGCUGAGUAGUUAGUUAAUGUACGCACAAUAUCACACUGUGCAAGUUGCAUAAGAAAGCUGAAAAUGAUAUGUAUCCCAUCAUCAAUGAACCCCACCUCAAUCUUAUCAAGAUAAAUUUUUGUGGCCAGUUUGUGAUUAAAAUAAAAUUUAAAACAACUUUAUUACUAUUUCAACUUUUAUAUAUUUAUUUUUUAUAGAGUUAGAGAUAGGAUUAGAGUGAACUCUCUAUCAUUACCUAAAAAAAAAUCCUAAAUUUAAAAAUUUAUGUAAAAUGAUCGCAGCUUCUUAAUAUGUUGAGAUAACGGUCCAAGAGUAUUUUAUCAUAUGAUUUAAUAAUGGAUCCCGCAAUCAGAUCCAUUGAUUUUUUUAAUAUUAAGUUUAAUGAUCCCAACGUAGGAUCACUACUGAGCACAUGACAAAGUACCAACGAAAGUGUUCCACUGCCUCAUCGUUUCUCUAUAAAUAUAGAGCAUUUGUGUCAUGAGGUUUUUGCAACUCCUACUCUUAAAAACAAACUAUAAAGUUGUAUUUGGUUUGUCUGAAACGGAAUGAAAGAUAUGUCUAUUCCACUUCUAGCAGCAGUUUCCAGUUCAACUGAAGAAACUGUUCGUCCCAUUGCAGAUUUUCAUCCUACUUUAUGGGGAAACCAUUUCCUGAAAUCCGCUGCCGAUGUCGAGGUAAUUAAACCAUUGCAAUAUCAAAAUAUCUCAUUAAUUAUCAGAGAAGUGAGCCCAAUCGAUCUACAAUCAUAUGUCAUAUAUAAUCGUUUGUUAGACACACGUAAUGCAUUAAUAUUAAGUAAUUUCUUGCGUUUGCAGACAAUUGACGCUGCAACUCAAGAACAGCACGCAGCACUGAAGCAGGAGCUCAGGAGGAUGAUAACCACUACUGCCAAUAAGCUUGCCCAUAAACUACACAUGAUUGAUUCAGUACAACGAUUAGGUGUCGCUUAUCAUUUUGAAAAACAGAUUGAAGAUGAAUUGGGAAAGUUAUCUCAUGAUCUAGACAGUGAUGAUCUAUACGUUGUUUCUCUUCGUUUUCGACUUUUUAGACAGCAAGGAGUUAAGAUUUCAUGUGGUAUGUCAUAGUUUUUCAUUUUGUUAAUUAAAUUAUUUAUGUUAAUUACAAGAUUAUUGCUAAUUAUCAAAUUAAAUUCAAGCAUGCACACUAAUCAAGACUAGCUCGCCUUUAAUUCUUUUGAAUAUGGUCAUCAGAUGUGUUUGAGAAGUUCAAAGACGAUGAAGGUAAAUUCAAGGAAUCAUUGAUCAACGAUAUACGAGGCAUGUUGAGUUUGUACGAGGCAGCAUACCUAGCAAUUCGGGGAGAAGAUAUUUUAGAUGAAGCCAUUGUUUUCACUACCACUCACCUUAAGUCAGUAAUAUCUAUAUCUGAUCAUUCUCAUGUAAACUCUAAUCUUGCUGAACAAAUACGUCAUUCUCUGCAAAUUCCUCUCCGUAAAGCAGCAGCAAGGUUAGAGGCAAGGUAUUUUUUGGAUAUCUAUUCAAGAGAUGAUU